Molecule: long non-coding RNA, 88752 nt
Filed under: Citrus maxima (pomelo)
Lineage: Eukaryota; Viridiplantae; Streptophyta; Magnoliopsida; Sapindales; Rutaceae
Description: long non-coding RNA (CMAX_LNC001224)
Source: RNAcentral
AGUUCUUAUUAGAUAGAUAUAAAAAGAUCUUUCUUUGUUUCUCUGCUGUAAUUUGUGGCUAUCCCACUCUGUUUUGCCAGUCAAGCUGAGUCUACGUUGAGACAUAAUUUUGACAUCAGAAGCGGCCUCAAUUAGUUUGGCAUUUUUAUAACCUCCUUGAAGGUUUUACGAUAAACAUAAAUCUACUGACAAAGUGGGCAAAAAGAAAAUGCAUGUAAAAGUAUGAGUUAUCAAAUAAGAUUAAAACUCACCCAAUUCAAUCCAUCAGAUUCCGUAAGGAUACAACUGGAUGUCAUACCGCCACUCCAUAUUCUCGAAAGUCCGUAGUCCUUGUCUCAACUGUGUCUGGGGCCAGUGUAAGUCCAUUUUUGCGCAAGCUCUUUAUGCACCACAGCUCUUCUGGAAGCUUUCUCAAGUAAGCACACGGGUUGACAAUUAAGCAUUCAAGUUUCGGCAUUGCUCCAGCCCCCAUCGUCCACUCAUCUAGCCAAUACAUUGACUUCAGGUGCAAAACCUUAAGUUCGGGAAAGCUACUCAAGCCAACACAAGCAAGCUUUCUUCCUAAAUACGAGUUCUGCUUCAGUUUCAGCACUCGAAGGCGUGGAAGAUUUUCCAGAAUUGGCAUGGGAUCCUCCAUUAGCUCAGUAUUUGAUAAGCUCAGUUGGAUCAGACUUGGGGGAAAUUGGUAUUCAGACAGGACCAUCCGUGAGGGCUUGCUCUCAUUCACCAGCUUCAAGCAUUCAAGUUUGUGGAGUUCGCAUAGGCUUUUGGAAACCCCUGAAUGAUAGCAACUCAAAUCUCCAGAUAUCCGAAGAGUUUGAACAUUAGGUAGUCUGCCCAAUAUAUCAGGAGUACAACUACUGGGGUUUAAAGUUGAUAUGAAAAUGAGAUUUUUCAGGGAGCUAGAAUAAUUUUUUGGAGGUGCGGGCAGAGUGAUAGAACCAAAGUUUAGAUGCAUGAGUUUUUGCAUCUUCCAAAUAUCCUCUGGUGACUGAUCUAUGUAGCUAGAUGGCAUUUCUAGUGUUUGAAGGUUUAAAAGGGUGCAUAGCAGUGAAGGAAGGCAUUUGAGCGAAGGGAUAUUCAAUUUCAAAUACUUCAAAAGGAAUAAAUUUUCUAAUCCGGGUGGAUAUUGGUCCAGGACUGCAGAACCCAAGUUCAGUACCCGAAGGUAUUUGAACCUUUUAAAAAAAUUCUCGCAAUCUUUCGGAUUAAGAUGAUAUCUUUUUGGACUGUGAUUGAGAAAAGAUUGGAGAUACAUGUCAGAAUGUUCUAAAGAAAGGAACUCAAUCAAAUCAUCGACAAUGAAGCACCGUUUAACAUUUGCGGGUGGUUCCUCUUCCACGUCAUGCAUCCAGACAAAUCCCGUCUUCUUUGCCACCACAAACAAUGAAGUGUAGUAUACAAUACUUGGAAAAUAACACGAUUUAAUUGUGCCUCCGGCCCUUCUUUUACUCACUUGAAUGAAGCCGCGAUGGAUUAGUUCUUUCAAGUAAUGUUCGGCAGUUUCUUCACUGUUGUAUGGUAUGAAACCUUCAGCUACCCACAAAUGAUAUAAUUGCCUCGUGGAUAUCUCAAUGCCUGGAGGGAAGACACACAAAUAGAUGCAGCAGAUUUUCAAGUGAAAAGGUAACUCCAACACAGAACAAAUUCCAAUGAAAAUUGUCGGAAUCGUUUCGCCUUGAACAUAAUUUUCUAAUGGCAUACUUCCAUAGUGUAGGAUGAAAAAUUGCCAGGCUUCAUGCUUUAAUCUGAUCAAUGGUCCUCCAAUGAGCACCGAAUCAAGCCGAAUCUUCUCUCCAUUUUCCAUUUCAAGCGACGCAAGGAGGUCUGGAUCAGUGACUGUUAUCAAUACUCUGCUUCCAUUCUGAUUAUCAGGAAGAACUUCUUCAAGAUCAUCCCAUAUGUCAAUGUUAUCGCAGACAUCAUCAAGCACAAUAAAGUACUUCUUGUUUGUUAGGUAAUCUCAAAGAAUAGAUUCCUUGAAUUGAUAAUCUUCACCGAUAAUUACACUAACCCGAGAUGGAGGCAUCACAGACUUGAUUAUGUCAUCCAAUAUCUUGCCCAAAUCGUAGAAUACAGAAACCCUGACCCAAGCAAGACAGUCAAAAUAGAACCUGACAUGAUUAUUGUUGUAAGUAUCUGCAGCAAAAGCAGUCCUAUCGAAGCCACUGCUGUCGAGAAUUGCAACCACUGCAAGCCCAGAUGGUCCCUCAAUCAAUAGAUCAAACAACUUCUCUCUGCCCCUUUCAAAUUCACUGAUAUCGAGCCGAGGUUGUCCCUCAUUCAAUAGGCGAAUGAUUUCGUUACUUUUUUCACUGAUAUCAAAACCAUUGUCGCCGGGCGGAAGUUGUUGCAUCCGAUUUCUAAUAUCAAUGAUUUCACUGUGGACAUGAAGAGCCAUAUUAGUGCUGCUUUCACUUUCGUUUUCACUGUUUUGCUGCUGCAUUAUGUUGAUGAAGAAUCUGUCAAUGGCUUCCUCAGAUUCAUGGACAAAGUCAUUGAUGUGCACCAGAAUUUCCAAAAUAUCUGGUCUUUUAACGUCUUCUUCAUCGCUUUCUUCUAAGUCCAACAGUUGCAAAAAAGGAAAAGAUAUUUCGAAGUCAUCGAAUUCUUCUAGAAUGAGUUGAAACAAAUGCCGAGCCAUGUCAGCUUCAUAGUUUCCCAGAAGAGUAGCAGCAAUAAUUUCGGACUCCGUAAGAAGGUUUUGAAAAAGUGGGGUUAAAUUUGUUGAAUCUGGCAGCGGCAACGUGCCUUCUUCACCUGCUAACACCCUUUUCAACCUCUCACAAAUCAGUCGGAGGUGGAAUUCCAGCAUUUCUCCUUCUCUCCGUAGCACUCAAUUAGAAUUAUCUUCGAAUUCUAAUUUAAUUGACUAAGUAGUUAUAGCUAUUCUAUUGAUUAGGUCUAGCUAUUAUAUUCUAAAUGAUUAAUUGAGAGGUAUAGUUGAAAGAUUAAACACCAUGGAAGAAUUUGAAAGGAAAAUGCCAAGAAACUGUGUAAGUGGCUAAAUUCCACAAAUAUGACAUUAUUGCUCAUUUUUUAACUCAAAAAAAGGGUACGCAUUCAUUUAGAGAAAAGUCCAAGACGCGUGCUUUUUAAAAAGAACAGGUAUCCAACCUCUAUCUUAUUAAAUUACAACCAUGACAUAAUUGAUGGUGCUUAAAUCAAUUGUUUCUUUUUUAAUUUAAAGAAUUUUUCAUUAAAAAAAUAUUUUAAUAUCAAAUUGCCUUCAGUGGCGUAACUGCCUCAGGCCCAGUAACAGGACUAAUUAAAAAUUUUACAAUUUUUGGGCAUGGAAAUAGUAGUAUUAAACAUUAGAAAGGUAAGGUUGUUCUGUUAAAGAAUUGAUAUUGACAUAAUUUUAUUUUGGUUUUCGUGGAAAAAAAAUUUGUUGACAAGUAAGAAAAUAUUUUUAUUUUUUAAAAUUUAUUAUGCAUAUUUUAUCAUAUUAAAGUAAUUUUAAUAAUAAAUAGAAACAUAAUAUUACAAUAAAUAAAUUAUAGUUUAAAUUAUUUUGAAUAUUAUAAAAAAUAAUGUUAAUAUUAUUAAUAGGAAGACAUUUUGUUAAUUUUAAAAUCUUUUUAAUCCAAAGGUUUAUUUAAAAUCUCUAUAAUAAAUACAAAUAUAAGAUUAAAAUAAAAAUCAUAAUUUCAAAAUUUUAAUAUUAUUUUAAAUGUUAAAUAUACUUUAAUGUUAUUAGCCUACUACGUAGAUUUUAUUAUUUAUAUUAUAUUCGUAUUGAUUAAAAUUUUUUAAAGUCAAUUUUUUAGUUAGUACAUUCAAGAGGUAUCAUAGUUAAAGAAAAGAUUUUGGUGCAACUGUUUUAAAAUUUCAGGGUAUAAAUGAUAAUUUUUUUUAAAAUUUUAAGGAAGUAGGUAUUAUUUUUCCGACAAUUUAUUUUAUUUUGAGGGAAAUCCGAUGAGAAAUAUCAUCAGAGAACAUUAAUUUAACAUUCUUUACCUUUAUGAAAAAAGUGGAAACCAAGAACUAUUCAAAUUUUUUUUUUUUGUGUAAUUCAAAAAAUGCAUCCACCAAACAAGCUUAUCAUAAUUUUCCCACUUUAUUCAUUUUCGAUGCUUUUCAAAAGAGGUUCCUUUAAUCCAUCUAGCAUCUGCAGCCCCCACUAUUUUACAAAUCUCCAUCCCACAUCUACACUAUCAAAAAAGUUGAUGGAAAUUGAACCCAUUAAGUUAUGUUCAUUACUGGUCAUUAUCUUUCUAUGAGCCACUUAUUUUGAGCAUUAGCGAUCUUCUAAGGAAUCAUGCCUUUUCAGGAUCGUUUUCUUUCAUUUCCUUAUUGUAGUAGUUAAUUAAAUAAAGAACGAACAAGUGAACUUUGUCUAUUUCGAGGAAGAACUAGGUUUCCAACACUAGAGGAACUUUGAAGAAAAUUAAUUGGAAGCCUUUAUUCAUCUUUGAAGAAAAUUACGUGCCAAUGUAACCAAGGCUUUUAUUCAUCUUCGGACUAUGAAUUUAUACAAAAACAUUAACAGAAAAUAACAAAGACACAGCUAAAUGAUAGCAACAAGUGUUGAUUUAGUGGACCACUUCUACAAGUAAAUAAAAACUAAAUAUUUAUUUAAGGAGGGCUUUUGUUAGUAGAGUUUUUAUAAAUAGAAAUUUAACAAAAAAAAAUUAUAGUUAUUUAGUUGUCAAUGUCCAAAUUGAUGAAUUAUUGUUCUUUUUGUUAACAUGUGUUUGUUUUACUUAAUAAUAAAAGUUUAGUUUACAAUUACACCGGUGUCAAAUCAGCAGAGCAUUUUUGCAGCCAGUCACAUUAUACAUUAUAUACUAAUAGCAUCGGCAAGAGUUUUCGAUUGUUGCAACUUGCAAUGCACGCGAUGCGAGAAAAUGAGAAUCUUGUUUAAUUGCAAUAAUGACAAACCUAAUCCUUUCAUUAGGAGUAAAUUAAUAAUCGUUUGUUAUUAUUGAAUAUGUAUAAAGAAAGGACAAUUCUAUUCAUAGAUUCGACUUAUUUUUUGUUUAAAGUAAUUAAUCAUUCAACCAUCUUCAUUUGCCUCUGGCCAAUGCCCUUGUAGAUUAGUUGAAGCGUUUAUUACUUAAUUCAGAUAAUUACAACGUCCUUUUCGCUAAUUAAUUAUGAUUAUGAACAUUUUCAUAUAGCAAGUGGCAUUGUAGAUCUAAACUACGUUGCUAUUUCAAUACGUUAAUUAAGUGAUUCUCCUCAUUGUCAUCAACGUUAUAAACAGGAAUUGUGCAAACAGUACACAAUGCUGCAGCAAGGCGUGGGUGGCUAGAGUUUUGCAACCACCCUUGAGAUCCUGUGCUGCCAGUAGUAAAAGAAUUUUACGCCAAUUUGGUAAGCCCUGGUCAGCACAACAUUUGGGUAAGAAACUCACUUGUUCCAUUAGACUCUCGAGUUAUAAAUGUUUUUUAUAAUUUACCUGCUGAAAUUAAUUGUGAGUAUGCCAAGUUGCUUGACAAAUUGACCCCGCAACAAUGGAACACAAUUUUCACGACACUUACGGUAGAGGGUGCAUCGUGGGCUAAUGAGGAGGGGCAUGUAAUUAACAAGAUAGAUUUAAAACCCAUUGCUAAGGUGUGGGUGAAAUUUCUAAAAUCCAGGCUUAUGCCAACCACCCACACCACUACUGUUUCACAGGAAAGGUUGGUGCUGUUAUAUGCUAUUGUUAGAGGGCUUCCCAUAGAUGUGGGAAGCAUUAUCGAAAAAGAAAUUCGAGAUUGUGCCAUGAAAAACCACAAGGCUGCUGCCUUGUUAUUUCUUUCACUCAUAACCAGCAUAUGUGUAGUAUCAGGUGUUCGUCUUGAUGCAAAGGAUGAAAUUUGUAAUUAUAUUAUGGCUCCAUUUGGUAUAACUUUUUAAUUCGAACUUAUUUAAGGAGAAUUUUUAUUAGUAGAGUUUUUAUAAAUAGAGAUUUUACUAAAAAACAAAAAUUAUAGUUAUUUAGUUGUCAAUGUCCAAAUUGAUGAACUAUUGUUCUUUUUGUUAACAUGUGUUUGCCAGUCACAUUAUACAUUUUUGCAACUUGCAAUGCAAGCGAUGAGAGAAAAUGAGAAUCUUGUUUAAUUGUCAAUAAUGACAAACCUAAUCGUUUCAUUAGGAGUAAUUUCAUAAUCGUUUGUUAUAAUUGAAUAUGUAUAAAGAAAGGAAAAUUCUAUUCGUAGAUUCGACUUAUUUUUUGUUUAAGGUAAUUAAUCAUUCAACCAUCUUCAUUUGCCCCUGGCCACUGCCCUUGUAGAUUAGUUGAAGCGUUAAUUGCUUAAUUCAGAUAAUUACAACGUCCUUUUCGCUAAUUAAUUAUGAUUAUAUACGUUUUCAUAUAGCAAGUGGCAUUGUAGAUCUAAAUUAUGUUGCUAUUUCAAUACGUUAAUUAAGUGAUUCUCCUCAUUGUCAUCAAGUGGAAAAUAGCUCAAUUGUUUCCCUGCAUCGAUUUUCAUUGGUAAGUGAUUUCUUAUGAUAUUCGUUUGAGCUUUCCUUAUUAAAAAAGCUUGAGCCUUGAUCACCUAAUACUGAUAUCAAUUAACUUGUGAACGAUUUUGUAAUGAAAUUAGGAGUUAAAUAUAUAAGAUUUUUACGUGAUGAAUUUUGAUUUUUUUAAUUUUUUGAUGUAGUCAAUUUGCUAAUUUUAUAUAUUUCAUAUUCAACGGAAUUUGGGCACGGAAAGUUUGGAUUCUAAUAUUUAUAUAUUUAGCUUUAAUCAGCUUGACUUUAGCAAUCUUUUUCCCUCAUCAUUAAGGGAUUCAGAAUUAGAGAAACGCUAGGAAGAGGAAGAAAAUAACUUUGGAAGUAAGUAAGAGGGAAAAAAUUAUGAAAUUUGGAAUUAUUUUUUGUAAAGUAUGUUGCGUUUACUAAACUGGAAUUAGAAUGAGCUGAAAUCAGAAUGAAUAGGAAUGCGAAUGUGCUGAAAUCGGAAUAGGUAAUGAGAAUAAGAAUAAGUUGUUUACUUGAACUGUAAAAAUCAAAAUCGGAAUGAGCUGAAUUGCAAUUACUUUGUCUUGGAAUCGGAAUCGGAAUCGGAAUGAGUUAGAUUAUAACAAAUUACUGAAAAGUACUUAAUGAAUUAUUGUCAUAAUUAUUAUUUUAUAUUUUAAUUAUAGUGAUUAUUUAUUCAAAAAUUAUUAUUAUUAAUUAUUUCCAAUAAUAUAUUAAUAUGUUAAUUAAUUUUAAAAAUUAUUAAUUAAUUUAUUAUAAUAAUAUACUAAUUAAUUAUAAUUAUUAUUAUAAAAAUAUAUUAAUAAUAAAAUUACUAAUUUAAUUGUAAUAAUAUAUGAAUUAAUUAUAAUAAUUAUUAUAAUAGUAUAUGAAUUAAUUAUAAUAAUUAUUAUAAUAGUAUAUUAAUUAAUAAUAAUAAUAAAAAUAUAUUAAUUAUGUGAUUAUUUAUUCAAAAAAUAUUAUUAUUAAUAAUUAUUGUUAAUAAUGUAUCAAUAUACUAAUUAAUUAUAAUAAUUAUUAUAAAAAUAUAUUAAUUAUUAAUAAUAAAAUUACUAAUUUAAUAAUAAUAAUAAAAAUAUAUUAAUUAUGUGAUUAUUUAUUCAAAAAUUAUAAUUAUUAAUAAUUAUUGUUAAUAAUGUAUCAAUAUAUUACUUAAUUAUAAUAUAUUAAUUAAUUAUAAUAAUAUAUUAAUUAAGUAUAAAUGAGGACAAAGUGGGUAUUUUUAAUUUCACGAAGGGGCAAAAUGGUCAAUUCUAGUAAUGGGAGACUCACUCCCACCCUCUCCUUUGGGAAUGAGUCUCCCAUUCCUCAUUCCCAAAUUGUGGUGGGCCCCAUGAUUUUGACUCCGAUUUCUAACUCAAUUUUGCGAAGUAAACGCUACCAAUGAUUCCGAUUUCGGAUUCUGAUUCACUUAUCUGAGAAGUAAAAGCAACAUAAAUGUGUAUGAAUAAUUGAUACCUAUGAAUAGUUUUGGGAGUUUUAGCUAGGAGUCAUCUAUUGAAGAUGUUUAGCAAUUGAAGAUCUCUGUCUCAGUAGUUUUCCCAAUCAAAAUCAAGAAGCAAAAAAACUUGCCAUUUUUCUACUUGAUAAUUAAUUGAAAUUUAAGAAAAUACAAUGGCAUUUCAAUUAGAAUUGGUAAUUGUUUAUCUUUUUUCAUUGAUCAAAUUCUAAUCGUGAUCCAAUAGUUAUGGAUGAAGGAAAUAUUAUGAGAGGCGAUAGGCCAAGUGAAGACGUACCAGCAAAUUCAAAAUAGUCGGGAGGUGGACGUCCAGCAUAUCUCCUUCUCUCUGUAGCACCCAGAUGCAUUGUUAUUUGCUCCAAGAAAUGUUAAAAGGAUUGGCCCUAUCUCAAUGUGGUUAGUGGCAAGGGCGGAGACAGCAUAUUAAUUGACUGUGGGCUUACUCAACUGCGAUAAAAAAAAUUUAAAAAAUAAUAAAUAAUAAAUUUAAAAGAUUUAUCAUACUUCAAUAUAUGUUUAUAAUUAUCCUUUACGAGUUUUCAUACAUUGAUAACGUUGUAUUACAACUUCAUUAUCAAUAUUAUUGUGGGCUGUUUAAAAAUUUGAUUAAUAUUAAUAUUUAUAGGCUUGAUUUUAUUUUGUAAAGCCCAUCUCUUUUUAUUUGUUUUAAAAACUUAGAGUGUGAGAAUUUAAGUAUAAUUAUGUAUUAGGAACUUGAAUAUAAAUUAGUGGGGGCUUAGGAAAAAUUUAUUAGAAAUUUUUGGCAAAUCAAAUUAGUUAGUAAAAGAUUUUUUUUUUUUUUUUCAGUGGGGACUUAAGUCCCCACUGGUCCCAAGCUAGAUCCGCCACUGGUUAGUGGUGAAAAAUUAAACACCAUGGAAGGAUUUGCAAGGAAUAUGCCAAGAAACUGGCUAAGUUCCACAAAUAUGGCAUUAUUGCUCUUUUUUUUUUAAAGAAAAAUUAUACACGUUAAUUUAGCAAAAAGUCUAAGACACGUGCCUUUUGAAAAGAAUAGCUAUUACCAUGACACAAUCGAUGCGGCUGAAACCAAAAUUUUCUUUUCUUAAUGUAAAGUUUUUUUUUUAAAUAGAUUUUAAUAUCAAAAUGCCCUUCGAUGUUAUUACUCUCACAAGCCCUGUAACAGGAGUAAUAAAAAAGUUUAGAAUUUUUGGGCAUGAAAAAAGUAGUAUUAAACAUCAGCAAGCAAAGGUUGUUCUGUUAAAGAAUUGAUAUUGACGUGAUUUUAUUUUGGUUAUCGAGAAAAAAAUAUAUUUGUUGACAAGUAAGAAAAUAUUAUUAUAUUUUACAAUCUAUUAUACAUAUUUUAUUAUAUUAAAUAAUACUAAAUAGAAACAUAAAAUUAGAAUAAAAUAAAUUAAAAUUAAAAUUAAAAUUAUUUUGAAUAUUAUGUAAAAAAUAAUGUUAAUAUCAUUGUUACUUGUAAAAUAUAUUUAGCCUAAAGAUUUAUUUAAAAUUUUAUAAUGAAUAAAAAUAUAAAAAUAAAUUAAAUAUCAUAGUUUAAAAUCUUAAUAUUAUUUUAAAUAUUAAAAAUACUUUAAUGUAUCUUAAUAUUAUUUUAAAUAUUAAAAAUACGUUAAUGUUAUUAUUCUACUACACAUGUUAUAUUAUUUAUAUUAUAUUUGUAUUAAUUAAAAAUUUUAAAGUCAACUUUCUAGUAACUAUAUUCAAAGGUAUUAUGGUUAAAUAAAGGUCUUAGUGUUUCUUUUUCAAAAUUUGAGGGUCUACAUGAUAAUUUUUCCAAACCCUAAGGUAUAGGAGUCCUUUUUGUCAAUAAUUUAUUUCACUUUUGAGAGAAUACGAUGAGAAAUAAGAUCAGAGAAAUGUCAAUUUAAUGUUCUCUAGCUUAAUGAAAAAAAAAUGGAAACCAAGAACUAUUCAAUUUUGUAUUUUUUGUUUGUAAUUCAAAAAAUCCAUCCGCCAAACAAGAUUCACGCAUUUAUGUUGUCAUAAAAUGAAAAAACAGUUUGUGAAAAAAUGGCACCAAACAUACCCUUAAUGUCCCACAUGAUUUCUUAUGAAGCCCAUAUUAGAUAUAUUUAUACAUUUUACUGCAUUUAGGACAUGUUUGAUAGCCUGCAUUAUAUAGGAUAAAAACAUAAUUUUGUAUUAAAUUAAUGCACACUCACGUUUGGCGCUAAAAGUAACUCCAGCCGCAUUGCAUUAAUGGGCUGCUACUGCGGCAAUUGCCGCACUAGCUUGCCUCUUUUUCUUUUUAAUUUUAUUUAUAAUAAUAAUAAUAAUAAUAAUAAUAAUAACAUAAUAUAACUUUUAUUUUAAUAUAAUAUUAAGUAUAAUUUUUAUUUUUACAUUAUAAUUAUUGAUAUAAAUUAAUAAAUUUAUUAUUUAUUAUUCAAUAAUAUUAUAUUAUUAUUUUUUUAUUUUUACAUUAUAAUUUAUUAGUAAAUUUAUAAUUUAAUAUAAUUAAUGAUAAUAGAAAAUAUCAUUACAUGUACUACAAAACUCUUACUUGGAUUAUUUAACACAAUUUAUUUUAUUCGUGAAUAUGUUAUAACAAUUGUAUCACUUUAUUGUUUUGUUAUUAUUUUGUGGUAUGUAUAAAUUUUUAUUCUAUUAUUCAAAGAUGACUUUUGAACUAAUCUUAUAGGUUUUAACUAUUUAUUUAUGUUGUUAUAUUAUUAGAGAUUAUUUGAUUAAAUUAUUUGCUUCGAUCUUUAUUUUACAGGUCAUAUAUUUAGAAAUUACUGAAAAAUAAAUGUUCUACUUCCAAAAAAUUUAAGGCUAUAAGCUCGAUCUUUAUGAAUAAUUGUGAUAUUUUUUAACAUUUACACUAAAAAAAUUGUUAAAUUUCUAAAAUUUAAGACUUCUAUAUUUAGUAUUUUUCCAAUUACUAAUAAGUAUUAUUUUCUAAAUAUAUAAUUUAAAUUAAUCACAAAAAAUUAAUACAGUACAGUGCAAUAUCAAAUAUAAUAUAAUUAAAAAUUAUACAGUACAAUGUAGCACCAAAUAUUGUACAAUAUUAUUAUAAAAUAGUACUGAUGCAAUACAAUAUAAUACAAUAUAGUGUGCCAAACGCACCCUUAGAGUGUGUUUGGAACAUGGGAUUAUAGGGUAUUAAAACACUGUUCACAUUAGCUUAAUACCAAUAUCAUGUUUGGAAAGAAAUUUUAAGGGAUUAAAGGGGGGUGAGCUAAUGCCAUAACUGCGCCAUUAGUGUCUUGGUUUUUUUUUAAAUAAUAAUAAAAAAUAUAAAUUCCUAAUUUUAUGUAAUAUUAUAUAAUAUUAAUUUUUAUUUUCUUUGAUCUUUACAUUAUAGUAAUUAAUAUAAGUUAAUAAAUUUAUAAUUUAUUAUUCAUAUUUUAAUUUUUAUUAUAUUAAAAAUAUAACUAAAUAAUUUAAUUUUAAUUAUAUAAUAAUUAAUGUAUAAAAUUGAUUAAUAUUUAAUAAGUUAAUACAACUAGUAAUAAGUGCUUAAAUAAUAUAUAAAAAUAAAAAUAUAACAUAAUAUUACAUUAUUUAAUUAUAUUACAAUAACUAAUAUAUAAAAAUUGAUUAUUAUUUAACAAUUUAAUAUAGCUAAUAAUAGAUACUUAAAUAAUAAUUUAAUAUAACUAAUAAUGAAUAUUGAUAUAUGAAUAUAUUUAAAUAAUAUUAAUACCAAUAUAUAUAAUAAUAUAAAAUAUUAUUACAUGUACUGUAGUAUUCUUACUUGGAUUAUUUAGCGCAAUUUAUUUUAUUAGUGAAUAUGUUACAACUAUUGUAUCACUUUAUUAUUUAAAUUAAUCAAAAAAAUUAAUACAGUACAAGAUAGCACUAAACAUUGUAUAACAUUAUUAAAAUACAGUGUUAAUGCAAUACAAUAUAAGACAAUACAUCUAUAUUAAAAUAAAAUAAAAUAAUUUAAUUUAAUAUAAUACAGUAUGUCAAACGCACCUCGUAUAUUUUAAUUUCAAAAGAAGUUGGUCCUUCCGUUAUUUAUAAAAGAUAACUUUAUUUUCAGAUUACCACUAAACUCUGAAGUAGAAUUGGUGUAAUGUUAAGAGAGAGUAACACAGUUUUCCAUUACCAUCUUUGAAAAUAGAAAGAUAUGGAUCAGUGUAUUUAAGAGUUAUCGUGAAAAUCAUACAGUUCAAUUCCCUGACACAUAUAUUUAUGAGCAUAUGCCAAAAGAAUAAAUAGAUAGAAAGUAAAUUUACAAUCCUCACUUCCUCACAAUUGUUAAAAUGAAGAUGCAUUACAACUGUGAACUGUCACUAUUUUAGCCUUUUUUAUUUUUUACUUUUAGUUAUAGUGCGAUGGAGACAGUGAACAUCAAGGAUGAGAAUAAAAGUUAAAGAUGACCCACCCACUUUCUUUUUAAAGUGCUCUGCUCAAAGACAAACUUCCUCUGGCUAAUUAAUUUAGAUGUGAAGAGAGAAUAAAGUCCUAGAUGCCUUCUGAAAUUAGAAAUACAUUUUAUAUGCUUUAAUUAUGAUUAUUUGGUAGACUAUAGACCUAAAAGACAUGUUAGAUUAUAAAACAGUGCGAUUAAAAAAAAAAGAGUAUUUGUGACGUCAAAUAACAAUUGGUAACUAAAAUCCAAAAUAUUUGAGUUGUUAAAAGCAAAUAAAAAAAAAGAAGGUAAGAGUGAUGCAGAAACACAAUAUUAGCUUAUCUUGAUUUUCCCACUUUAUUCAUUCUCGAUGCUUUUCAAAACAAAUUCUUCUAAUCUUUCUGGUGUCUGCAGCCCCUUGUCACGGGACGAGAGGUUUCGAGCCCGUGCGGUACUCUCGCAUCCCAUACUGCGAGAGUAAACCUAGUGGAAGUGGCACAAUAUCGACUGGUUUCACCCUGUCUUGGGCUCAUCAGGAGAACGGCUCCAGUUCCCAACCAGUGUGUGAAGAGCUUCGCCUAAACCCCUCUUCAACGUUAAGUCCUUGACUAGCGACAAGCUCCCCAAACUCAACCAGGUUGGCCUGCCUGAACUCCAAGAAAUCUAGGAUCAUUGUAUUCCCCACACGACGCCCCUGAAGCACGUCUCCUACAAUCAGCACAACCCUUAUCGAUACCAGCGUACAAACGCAUAUCUUCGGCGUCACAAUUGCAGUCCGUGACACCCUGCUCUUGUUAUAAAACUCCACCCCAAAUCUACACUACAAACAAGUUGAUUGAAAUUAAACAAUUGCUUUUUGAAGUGGACCCAUUGAGUCGUGGUCAUUACUCGUCAUUGUCUAUUUUUUCUAUGAGCCAUUUAUUUUGAGCAAUAGUGAGCUUCUCUGAACUACUCCAAUUAUUGAUGUAACUCCAGUGGCUGCAUCCAUAGUUGAAUAUAUGACAGUAUUAGCUCUUAUUUGAGAAUAUAGGGGGAUCUUUCUUUGUUUCUUUGUUGCAGUGUUCUAGUUUAUAGUCUUGCUGUUAAUGAAUUCACUGAGGCAUUAUUAAUUUAAUUUCAGUGAAGUAAUUAUGGAUGAAAAAUAAAUAAAGGAUAACAGAAUAGAGCUGAAGUGCUGAAUCGGCUAUUAAAGAAAGUGUCACGUGAUCACAAUCACACUGAUGCACAACUCUCUCUAUGUACUCCAAAUUCAGCCAAACCAUACAUGCCUCAACAAAAUUAAACCGUAGUUCUCAUCACUACAGUAAAUGAAGCCCACAAAGACAGCUGAAAUGGAAAAUAUUGACUAUUGAAUGGAUCAAUGCUGAAUUACACUUGAAAUGGGAAGCUUGGCUGCGGUUACGAUGUUUCCCCCUCUGAUUUUUCUCCAAAACAAAUUCCGUUGUAAAUAAUAUUCAAUGUAGCAACACUUUAUUCAGCAAAGAAAAUACCUAAUUUUUCAACUAACAAAUUCUCUUGUCUAAACUAAAAAAACUCACAUCUCUCCAAUCUAUCUACAAAAUAUUGGAGAUGAGAGGUGAUUUGUCAACUCGAUAAAUAAAUUCAUGCAUAAUGUUACCAAUAAUGAUAAAUUACUUAAUAAUUCUUAUAAAGAAUCAUAAAUAAGGAACAUUAACCAUUUUACAGUCUAUUACAUAAGUAAGAUUAAUCUUAUAAUAAGUUAACUUAUAACGUAAUAAAUAUUUCAAUUCAUAAUUAUUUAAGAAGUCACUUAACAAUAAAAUAUUUUUUUAUUUAAUUGAUCAUGUCAUAUAACGUUAUCUAAACUCCUGACGAUAUUAUUAUUACUCACUUUUCUCAAAAAAACAUGACUAACGUUUAGAGAAAAGUCAUGCCUUUUAGAUAGAUAGAAUAUGAUUACAAGCUAUCCAUACUUUAUCUUACCAUGACAAAAUUGAUGGUGAUUAAAUCUAUUUUUAAAAUAGAUUUAAUGCACAAACAUGAUGACUUUUGCCAAAAAUUAGUUUCAGAAGAUAACUAAAUUAAGUUGCAAAGGAGCUUACUUCAAUUUCUAAGCUUUUCAAUCAUGAUUCCUCCAUGCCUUCCUCUGAUACCAUUUUGUUACGUGCCAACGUAAUUGACCUUGUAAUUGGUUUGUAUAAGGAAUGAAGCCCUUUCAAGAUCGUUUCUUUUGUGUCCAUAUUGUAGUAGACUAGUAGUCAAGUAAAUAAAGAGUGAAUAACUGAAUUUGGUCUAUUUCGAAGAAGACUAUGGCCUCCACACUACAAGAAAAUAGGCGAUAGAUAACGGGAAAUAACCGUCAUAAAAGGUGGUGUAUGACAGACAGUUUAUUCGUCAUCUAUGUCACUGUCAUUAAUUUAUGACAGAAUAUUUUCCGUCAUGAAUUCUUGAUGUUAUUUUACAAUCAUAUAUCCAUCACACAAUAUUUUAAUGAGAAAAAAUAAUUAAAUAAAAUUUGAAUUUAUUAAAAUUUUUGCUCUAUUUUUUAAUUUUUUGGCGGAAAAUUAAAUUGUCAUUUGUAAAUUUCUUAUUCAAUUUUGGUGGAAAAUUUUUUUAUGACAGACUUUAUGAUGUGUAUUUCCCAUCAUAAAGUUAAUUUUUUUAAAUUAUAUUGUGAUUAUAGUUUAUUUCUGAAUUCCUGUUUACAAAUUUAAUUAAUUAAUAAAAAAUGAAUAUUGUCAAAAAAUAAAAAAAUAAUAGUAACUAAAAUCCAUUCAAUCCAACAAAUUAAUUUCAAAAUAAAUACAUCUAAUAUUCAAUGUCAUUACCACUAAUACAUAAUAAAACAUCCCAAAUUAAAAAAAAGAAUGUCAAAAUAUAAAACAAUAGUUAAAUUCCAAUUAAAUUCCAAGAAAUGUAAUUCAAAUUCCGGACACCGAGCCAAGCUCCCCAGCAAAACUUCCAAAGAUUAAUGGAAAUAUUCCAAUAGCAAGACUUCCAGAAGCAAUACCCUCUUCCAGUGGCAAUACAUUGACUAAUCUUUGAAGCCAUGACUCCUCAAGCCAAUGCCAAAAAUGUGUGCAAAAUUAAUGCUCUAUCCACAAAAAUUUCAGUCUAUAUUGGUAAGAAGAAACAUGAAGAAACAAUUACCUCAGCAUCAUCGUCAUUGGAAGCCAAAUCAGCUGUAAAGACCACAAAAUGUUUGGUUAGAACUAGUGGAAGUCUUACUCUAAAACUUUUAAUUUUUGAAUUUCGAAAGAUCUAGUAAUGACAAAGAUUCUCAUAUCCAGUGACCAAGUUUUGAAAAUUAGAAUACGGAAUAACGUCAACUAAAUUCACUAAUAUAGGGUGCAUUUGAGAUUGAGGUUGGACAGCUGUAGCUUAAAAGCUACAGUAGUAAAGUGUUUGGUAAACACUAGUUGCUGUAAUUUAAAAACUAUGUUGAUAUGAUUUUUCACUUGUAUAAUGGAGAAUCUAUUUUUUUAAAUAAUUAUGUCAAAAUUAUUAUUUAAAAUUUAUAUUUACUACAUAUUAUUAAUUUUUGUUUCAUAGUCACAGUUUUUUUUCCACAGCAGUUGUAAAGCUACAUCACCUCAAUCCCAAACGCACCCUAAGCUAGAGGAAUCCCUAGUUGAUAUAGCACACAUGCACACAUGAUAUGCAUGCAUCAGAAUACACAAUAAUAAAUUAUCUCAAAGUCAAUAAGAAGCCAAAACUAGAGAUAAACCUUUAGCCACUAUAAGGAAGACUGAUAUUUGCAGUGUGAUUACAAUAAACAAACAGAAACUUCACUACCCAUAAGUAAAGCAAAAUAAAUAAAGGAUAAUAACUAACCAAGAAAUGGAAAAGCUCACAUUCUCUGAACACGCACCCCAAAAAGAAAGAAAGAAAUAAAUGUUCCCAUUGGAUCUGAAGCACAAGCAAUCCACUGACAUCCUUCUAUAAUUAGGUAAUUUAAAGGGGUUAAGCUCACAUCUUUUACGGAAGCAACAAGAGAAUUAACAACAUUCCAGAGGAUUUAGGGAAAAACCACGAGGCAAGAAAAAAGAAAGAUCCUUCUUCAAUCUAGAUAUCUUGACACUGCUCACCAUCUACAGCAGUCUGGGGCUUAAAAAGCAUGAUCUCUCCCCCCCUCUGGCACCAUUUUCUCUCAUGUGAAUCUGUCAUUGCCCGUAGAAACAAACCAGAACUGCAUAAAUUCUCUUAUCUUCCAGCAGCUUCUUUUCUCCAGAAAUAGGCACAACUAUUUGACAUGGAAACAAUUUAUCUAACAUGGCCACCUUUAAAGACAAAGACAUACUAAGGACAUGGUUUUAGAUACGGAUACAAGAAACAAUCACAAAAUGUAAAAUCUAUACAUAUGAUAUUAAUUUCCAAUGGAUACAGCACUUCAUUCUUUGACUUAACUUCAUUAGAUUACUAGGUUUGAUUAGGUUAUACACACAUUUAUUCAUUUAUGGUUUUCAACCUAUAAUCUACAUGCACUUAGAAUGAGAGGUACCUAUAAAAACAAGUUACCAGAAAACAAUACAGCUAGAAAACAUUAAAACAUUAAUCUAAGCAGUUCUAUAGGUUUAACUAACUGCAGGAAAAAACCGUUGAUUUUGUCCGUCGGAUUAUUGAGAUCCUAAUUCUGGUAAAAAGAAAAUGAGAUAAUAGAAAAUCAAAAAUUAAAUAGACACAAAAUGAGAAAUCAAGAUCAUACGGCAACUAAUAUAUAGCAUGGGCUGCAGCUAACAAGCAAUAUAAGCCAUGAUAUUAUGCCAGAUACAAAAUUUUGAGAUCCAAGAGAGAUCAAGAAGCAUGAAUAUUGAAAGAAGUGAGUGCAGAAGGAUAAGAAAUCAGGUUGAUAUUCUUCAUACUUUGGGUCAACACGUAGUGAUGCAAUAAACUUGUAAUUAGCUUCAAGUGUAUAGGCUACCAUGUCAACAUUUCCGAAAACACACAAGAUUGUGCUGGAUUCAUAUAUAGUACAUAUAUAAAAAAACAAUCUGCUUCUAAACUUCAUGAGAACAUCGAAUAAUGAACUUACAAUUUGAUCCCUCAUCAUCUUCAUCGCACCAUUUGUUCCAAUCAACCUUAAUGUAAGGUGCUGGUUUCUCUUCUGACUUGAGUAGCCUUUUCCACCAACCUUUCUCUUCUUUUUGCACCGAGCAUAUUAUGUUCCUUAAGCCAACUUUAGUCUUACAUUUCUGCACCACCAGCAACAAAAUUCAAAGCAUUACAAAAGAGGUAUAUUUAGCCGCUCUUGACUCGAGUGAGAGAACAGGAUAAACAGCCUAGGUAUAUCCACAUCCAUGUUAUGAGAUUAAUUAUGCAACAACUAACUUUAAUAUAAAGUUUGUGCUCCAACAAAGACUAAAAUGUUUGUAAUUGUUAUGCUUCCGGAGCUAAAAUGUUUCGCAAACACUCACUUUUACUCUGCAGCUAAUAUCUAGCACCCAGCCACACAAAGUCCGUAGUCUUUGUCUCAACUUUGUCUGAGGCCAAUGUAAAUCCAAUUUGCACAAGCUCUCUAUGCACCACAGCUCUUCUGGAAGCUUUCUCAAGUACGCACAAGGGUUGACAAUUAAGCUUUCAAGUUUUGGUAUUGCUCCAGCCCCCAUCGUCCACUCAUCUAGCCAAUACAUUGAUUUCAGGCGCAAAACCUUAAGUUCCGGAAAGCCACCCGAGCAAGCACAGGCCAGCUUUCUUCCUAAAUACAAGCUCUGCUUCAGUUUCAGCACUUGAAGGCGUGGAAGCUUUUUGAUAAGGAAAGGGAGCCACGGAGGUCAACAAAGGUUCAUAAGCCUAACUACAGAUACGAGGGCUUUGUUUGAACAUUCGUAAGUCUCAUGCAGCCAUGCAUGCGGUCAUGCAUGUUGCAUGCAAUACCAUGCAAGACUUAUUUACGCAUGGAUUAAAGAGUAGUCUGUUUCUAGUUUUUUAUUUAAGAUUGCUCAGUUAUUUAAAUUGAUUUUAGCCGUGAAUUGUGGCUACAAAUCCUUAGUAGUGUUUGUAUUAACUACUAUAAAUAAGCUCCAGCAAUUAAUAAAAGGAUUAUGCAAAAAAUUAUCUCAAAGUACUAUUCUUGGUCGUUUUCACCGUAAGUAGAACAACGUAAACUUAGCUAUUGUUGAACGUUUUUGAUUGGGACCUAUCACUUUUCCAGCCUUGGCAUGGGAUCCUCCAUUAGCUCAGUAUUUGAUAAGCUCAGUUGGGUCAGACUUGGAGGAAAUUGGUAUUCAGACAGGACCGUCCGUGAGAGCUUGCUUUCAUUCACCAGCUUCAAGCAUUCAAGUUUCUCUAGUUCGCAUAGGCUUUUGGAAAUCCCAGAUUGAUAGUAACUCAAAUCUCCAGACACUCUAAGAGUUUGAAGAUUAGGUAGUCUGCCCAAUAUAGCUGGAGUGCAACUACUAGGGUGUAAGGCUGAUAUGAAAAUGAGAUUUUUCAGAGAGCUGGAAUAAUUUUUUGGAGGCGCAGGCAGAGUGAUGCAACCGAAGUUUAAAUGCACGAGUUUUCGCAUCAUCCAAAUAUCCUCUGGUGAAUGAUCUAUGUAGCUUGAUGGCAUUUCUAGUGUUUGAAGGUUUAAAAGAGUGCAUAGCAGUGAAGGAAGGCAUUUGAGCGAGGGGAUAUUCAAUUUCAAAUACUUCAAAUGGAAAAAGUUUCUAAUCCGGGCGGAUAUUGGUCGAGAAUUGCAGAACCCAAGUUCAAUACCCCAAGGUGUUUGAACGUUUGACGAAAAUUCUCGCAAUCUAUCAGAGCGAGAUGAUCGCUUUCUGAACUGUGAUUCAGAAAAGAUUGGAGAUAGAUGUCAGGAUGUUCUAAAGAUAAAAACUGAAUCAGAUGUUCCAAAAUGAAGCACCGUUUAACAUUUGCCAGUGGUUCCUUUUCCCUUUCAUGCAUGCAGACAAAUUCCGUCUGCGCUGCCACCAAAAACAAUGGAGUACAUAAAAAACUUGGAACAUAACACGCUUUAAUUGUGCCUCCGGCUCUUCUCUUACUCACUUGAAUGAAGCCGCAAUAGAUUAGUUCUUUCAAAUAAUGCUCGGCAGUUUCUUCACUGUUGUAUGGUAUGAAACCUUCAGCUACCCACAAAUGAUAUAAUUGCCUCGUAGAUAUUUCAAUACUUGGACGAAAGACACACAAAUAGAUGCAGCAGACUUUCAAGUGAAAAGGUAACUCCAUCAAAGAAUAACUGUGUCUCUAAAUUGUCGGAAUCGCUACGCCUUGAACAUAAUUUUCUAAUGGCAUACUUCCAUAGUGUAGGAUGAAAAAUUGCCAGGCUUUAUGCUUUAAUCUGAUCAAUGGUCCUCCACUGAGCACUGAAUCAAACCGAAUCAUCUCUCCGUUUUCCAUGUCCAACAGCGUAAGGGGGCAUGGAUCAGUGACCAAUAUCAAUACUCUGCUUCCAUUCUGAUUGUCAGGAAGAACUUGUUCAAGAUCAUCCAAUACAUCGUCACUCUCUUCACAGUAAUCAUCAAGCACAAUAAAGUACUUCUUGUUUGUUAGGAAAUCUCGAAGAAUAGAUUUCUUCAAUUGAUAAUGUUCACCGAUAAUUACACUAACCCGAGAUGGAGGCAUCACAGACUUGAUUAUGUCAUCCAAUAUCUUGCCAAAAUCGUAGAGUACAGAAAUCCUGACCCAAGCAAGGCAGUCAGAGAAUUGCAACCACUGCAAGCCGAGGAUGUCCUUCAAUCAAUAAAUCAAACAACUCCUCUCUACCACUUUCAAAUUCGUUGAUAUCAAGCCGAGGUUUUCCCUCAAUCAAUAAGUGAAUGAGUUUGUCCCUUUGUUCAGUGAUUACGAAACCAUUGUCGCCGGGUGGAAGUUGUUGCAUCCGAUUUCUAAUAUCAAUAAUUUUACUGUGGAGUCCAACAAGAAGAGCCAUAUUAGUACUGCUUUCACUUUCUUCUUCACUGUUUUGCUGCUGCAUGAUGUUGAUGAAGAAUGUGUCAAUGGCUUCCUCAGAUUCAUGGACAAAGUCAUUGAUGUCCUUCACAAUUUCCAGAAUGUCUGAUCUUUUAACGUCUUCAUCGCUUUCUUGUAAAAAAGCCAAAUAUAUUUCGGAUUCAUCGAAUUCUCCUCUAAUGAGUUGAAACAAAAGCCGAGCCAUGUCAGCUUCAUAGUUUCCCACCAGAGUAGUAGCAAUGAUUUCUGACUCCGUAAGAAGGUUCUGAAAAAGUGGAGUCAAAUUUGUUCAAUCAGGCAACGUUAACGCGCCUUCUUCACCUGCUAGCACCCUUUUCAACCUCUCACAAAAUAGUCGGAGGUUCACGUCCACCAUAUCUCCUUCCCUCCGUAGCACUCAGAGAAGAUUGGUCCUAUCUCAAAGUGGUUAGUGCUGUAAAAUUAAACACCAUGGAAGAAUUUGAAAGGAAUAUGCCAAGAAACUGGCCAAGUGGCUAAAUUCCACAAAUAUGACAUUAUUGCUCAUUUUCUCUCAGACACGUGAUACACGUUGAUUUAGAGGAAAGUUCAAGAAUUUUGCUUUAAAAAAAAAAAUUGAUGGUGCUUAAAUUAUUAUUUUUUUAAUUUAAAGAGUUUUGCUUUUAAAAAAAAAUUAAUAUCAAAAUGCCUUCAAUGUUAUUACUGCCACAAGCCCAGUAACAAAACUCAUUAAAAAUUUUAGAAUUUCUGGCCAUGGAAAGAGUAGUAUUAAACAUCAGAAAGCAAAGGUUGUUCCGUUAAAGAAUUGAUGUUGACAUAAUUUUAUUUUGGUUUUCGGGAAAAAAAAAAUAUUUGUUGGCAAGCAAAGAAAAUAAUUUUAUACUUUACAAUCUGCUAUACAUAUUUUAUCAUAUUAAAGUAAUUUUAAUAUCUAUCAAAAAAAUAAAUUUAAUAAUAAUUGGAACAUAAUAUUACAAUAAAUAAAUUAAAAUUAUUUUAAAUAUUAGGAAAAAAAUAUUAUUAAUAGGAAGAUAUUUUGUUAAUUGUAAAAUCCUUUUAUUCCAAAUAUUUUAUUUAAAUUUUUUAUAAUAAAUAAAAAUAUAAAAUUAAAAUAAAUAUCAUAAUUUAAAUUUUUUAUAUUAAAAAUAUUUUAAUGUUAUUAGUCUACUACAUAAAUUAUAUUAUUUAUAUUAUAUUCGUAUUGAUUAAAAUCUUUUAAAGUUAAUUUUAUAGUUACUAUAUCCACAGGGUAUUAUAUUAUAUUUAAGAGUAAUUUUUUCAAAUUUUAGGAUUGCAGAUGUCCUUCUUCCGAUAAUUUAUUUCACUUUUGAGAGAAUCCAAUGAGAAAUAUGAUAAGAGAUGGUCAGUUUAAUGUUCUCUGCCUUUAUGGAAAAAAAGUAAAAAGUAAAAACUAUUCAAUUUUGUACUUUUUGUGUCCACCAAAUAAAUUUUACACAUUUAUGUUGUCAUAAAACGAAAAAAAAGGGUUUGCCAAAAAAUGGUACCAAGCAUACCUUUAAUGUCCCACGUGAUUUCUUAUUAAGCCCAUAUUAUAUAUAUUUAUACAUUUUAUUGCAUUAAACAUUUUUAUUAUAAAAGAAGUUGGUCCUUCCCCUAGUGAUAAAAGAUAAAUAUGAUAAUGUUUGAGAUGGGUUUAGUCUUUUAUAUUUGCUGAGUCCAGUGGGUUAAAGAAUUAGAGUAAAGCAUCUGGGCAUUCUUUCAUGCAAAACUAAAAAUCCUGAAAAUAGUUGGCUUUAACUGAUUAAGACAAGCUUGGUCGAAUUGAGUUGAACUUCAUAUAUAAAAGCCAAAUAUAUUGCGGAUUCAUCGAAUUCUUCUCUAAUGAGUUGAAACAAAAGCCGAGCCAUGUCAGCUUCAUAGUUUCCCACCAGAGUAGUAGCAAUGAUUUCUGACUCCGUAAGAAGGUUUUGAAAAAGUGGAGUCAAAUUUGUUAAAUCAGGCAACGUUAACGCGCCUUCUUCACCUGCUAACACCCUUUUCAACCUCUCACAAAAUAGUCGGAGGUUCACGUCCAGCAUAUCUCCUUCUCUCCGAGAAACUGUGUAAGUGGCUAAAUUCCAGAAAUAUGACAUUAUUGCUAUUUUUUUAACUCAAAAAAAUGGUACGCGUUCAUUUAGAGAAAAGUUCAAGACGCGCGCCUUUUGAAAAAUGGUACCCGUUCAUGUAGAGAAAAGAACAGGUAUCCCAAUCGGUAUCCAACCUUUAUCUUCUUUAAUUACCACCACGACAUGAUUUUUUUUUUUUUUUUUUGAUGACAUGAGACUAUUGCUUAAAUUACAACUCAAAUUACAACUCAUAUUACAUGAGAGUAUAAUUGAUAUGUACAAUCAUAUAUACAUACUGAGAUCUAUUGACAUUAAUGCUGAUAUGACACUGCUCAGAUUUUUGUAACCCUCUCAAAUAUUCGAGGGACGUCAAACUCCUAUCCUGGGAGAAAGACUGCCUUCACUCGAGCUCUGUGGCUCCAAGGAAGGAAAUAUAAAUUAAACCUCUACAAUGCGACUGCGGAGGCUCGAACCCCUUCCCUCACAUAUGUGAGGGAGUGGCUCUAGCCACUUGGGCUAGCCCAAGUGGUUCCACGACAUGAUUGAUGGUGCUUAAAUCAAUUGUUUCUUUUUUAAUUUAAAGAAAUUUUCAUUAAAAAAAUAUUUUAAUAUCAAAUACCCUUCAAUGGCAUAACUGCCGCAAUCCCAGAAACAGGAUUAAAUAUUUUUUUUUUUUUGAAUUUUUGGGCAUGGAAAGAGCAGUAUUAAAAAUCAGAAAGCUAAGGUCGUUCUGUUAAAGAAUUGAUAUUGACAUAAUUUUUUUUUGGUUUUCGGGGGAAAAAAAAAAUUGUUGACAAGCAAGAAAAUAUUUUUAUAUUUUACAAUUUAUUAUACAUAUUUUUUUUUUUUGGAUCAAUAAUGGGCUCUAAAAGAGCUAAAGCACCAGUAAACGGGAGUGGGCAACCCCAGACACAUCGUUAUGAAGAAUACUCUGUAAAUUAGGAGGAGCAACAGUAAGUAACUGCAAUCCUAAAGGACAAGACAAAUUAAAUGAGGCCAGAAAAUCUGCUGCUAUGUUUGCUUCUCGAUAGAUGUGGUUCACUUUCACGACCCAGUCCCUGCUGAUCAGCUCACGAAUGGCAAGGAUAAGAGAAUGAUGCUCAUUAACAGGAGUGGUCGGAUUCUCCAAGAUUUGAGAUUUAUUAUACAUAUUUUAUCUUAUUAAAGUAAUUUUAAUAAUAAAUAGAAACAUAAUAUUACCAUAAAUAAAUUAAAGUUUAACUUAUUUUGAAUAUUAUAAAAAAUAAUUUUAAUAUUAUUAAUAGGAGGACAUUGUAUUAAUUUUAAAAUUUUUUAACCCAAAGGUUUAUUUAAAAUCUUUAUUAUAAAUACAAAUAUAAAAUUAAAUAUAAUAAUUUAAAAUUUUUAAUAUUAUUUUAAAUAUUAAAAAUAUUUUAAUGUUAUUAGUCUACUACAUAGAUCAUAUUACUUAUAUAAUAUUUGUAUUAUUAAAAAUUCUUAAAAUCAAAUUUUUAGUUAGUAUAUUUAUGAGGUAUUAUGGUUAAAAAAAAAACCUUAUUAUUACUUUUUAAAACAUUGAGGGCCUGCGUGAUAAUUUUUUCAAAAAGAAAAUGCUUGGUAUCUAGGAGGGUUAGAGAAACAGGACUACCAAAAUCUCUCACCCUUUUUUAAUUAAAAAAAAUUAAAAUAUCAAUAAAAAAAAUAAAGAAAAUAGAAUUUUAUCUGCUCCUUACUCCAUUUUUGUAACUCUCUCACCAUCUCUGUCGAGCAGCCCUCUCUUUCACUGUCUCUCACUAUUUCACAAUCUCUCUCUCACUCACACAGUCCUUUAGAAAAGCCCAAAAUAGGCCCAAUAAGCCCAUAAUUAAAAUAAUCGAAUCGAAUUAUUUCAAUUAAUCGAGUAUUUGAUUAUUUCGGUAAUUUGAUUAAUCGCGAUUAUGAUUUUAAAAUAAUCGUAAUCGAACGAUUAUGAAAAAUUUAGUAAAAAACCGAAUUGAACCGAACCGCACCCACCCCUACAUAAAAGAACAACAAUUACUUGUCAUUUUCAAUUUUUUCUAUAAGCUAUUUAUUUUGAGCAUUAGUGAUCUUGUCUGGACUACUCCAAUUAUUGACGUAACUCCAGUGGCUGCAUCCACUGGAAAAAGUGGAUGAGAACAUUUUUUUUUUUCAUAAAGGUAACUACUCCAAUUAUUGACAUAAUUGAUGGUGCUUAAAUCAAUUUUUUUUUUUAAUUUAAAGAAUUUUGCUUUAAAAAAUAAUUAAUAUCAAAAUGCCUUCAAUGUUGUUACCGCCACAAGCCCAGUUAGAGGACUCAUUAAAAAUUUUAGAAUUUUUAGGCCUGGAAAGCGUAGUAUUAAACAUCAGAAAGCAAAGGUUGUUAUGUCGAAGAAUUGAUGUCGACAAAAUUUUAUUUUAGUUUUCGGAAAAAAAAAAAAAUUUGUUGACAAGCAAGAAAAUAUUUUUUAUACUUUACAAUCUGCUAUACAUAUUUUAUCAUAUUAAAGUAAUUUUAAUAAUAUAUGGAAACAUAAUAUUAUAAUAAAUAAAUUAAAAUUACUUUGAAUUAUUGAAUAUUACAAAAAGAUAAUUUUAAUAUUAUUAAUAGGAAAACAUUUUUAAUUGUAAAAUCUUUUUAAUACAAAAAUUCAUUUAAAAUCUUUAUAAUAAAUACAAAUAUAAAAUUAAAAAAAUAUCAUAAUUUAAAUUUUUUAAAAUUAUUUAAAUAUUAAAAAUACUUUAAUAUUAUUAGUCUACUACAUAAAAUAUAUUAUUUAUAUUAUAUUCGUAUUGAUUAAAACGUUUUAAAGUCAAAUUUUUAAUUAGUGUAUUCAAAGAUACAAAAGAUUUUAGUAUUAUUUUUAAAAAAUUUCAGGAUAUGAAUGAUAAUUUUUUCAAAUUUUAAAGAUGUAAGAAUCUUUUUUUCUGAUAAUUUAUUUCACUUUUGAGAGAAUCCGAAAACGUUAAUUUAACAUUCUUUACCUUUGUGAAAAAAGUGAAAAUCAAGAACUAUUCAAUUUUGUUUUUAUUUGUAAUUCAAAAACUUUAUUCAUUUUCGAUGCUUUUCAAAAGAGACUCCUCUAAAUCCUUUUGGUGUCUGCAGCUCCUGCAAUUCUCAUAAAUCUCCAUCCCACAUCUACACUAUCAAACAAGUUGAUGGAAAUUCUUAUCAAAAAAAAAAAAAAAAACAAGUCGAUGGAAAUUGAUCAAUUACUUUUUGAAGUGGACCCAUUGAGUCAUGUUCAUUUCUGGUCAUUGUCUACUCUUUCCAUCAGCCAUUUAUUUUGACCAUUUGCGAUCUUAAAGGAUAUGAGAACGUAGCUGAAGUGCUGAAGGGGCUAUUAAAGAAGAGUGUCACUUGAUCACAAUCACAUUGAUGCACAACUCACUCGUGGCAAAUUUCGACUAUACGUUCUGCAAAUUCAGCCAAACCAUACAUGCAUGAACAAAACUAAAAUGUAGUUCUAAUCACAACUGCAGUUAUAAUGUUUACCCCUCUGAUUUUUCUCCAAAACAAAUUCAGUUCAAAACAAUAAUUAAAUAGCCACAUUUUGUUCGUCAAAAUAAAUGCCCAAAUUUUCAAUUAACAAAUCAUCUUCUCUAAACUAAAAAUCCCACAUCUCUAAAAUCAAUCUACAUAAUGUUGGAGAUGAGGGGUGAAUUGUUAACUCAGUAAAAAAAACUCAUGCAUAAUAUUACUAAUAAUAUAAAAUAUAUAUUAAUCAUUAUAAAGAAUCAUAAUUAGAAAAAUUAAUCAUUUUAUAAUUUAUUACACAAGUAAGAUAAAUCUCAUAAUAAGUUAUAACAUAAAAAAAACGUUAUCAAUAUAUAAUCAUUUAAGAAGUCAUUUAACAAUAAAAUCGUUCUUUAAUCAGUUGGUCAUGUCACAUAGUGUCAUCUAUAUUUACGGUGAUAAUAUUAUUACUCAGUAUUAUCAAAAAACAUGAUUUAACAUUUAGAGGAAAUUCUUGCCUUUUAAAAAAAACAUGUAUGCAACAACUACCCAUGCUUUAUCUUACCAUGACAAAUAUUUUCUCAAUGAAAGAAAAUUUUUUAAAAAUUGAUUUAAUGCACAAAUAUGAUGAUUUUUCCAAAAAUUAGUUUUGGAAAACAUAGUGAGAGAAAAUAGUGACGAUUAUUGUUUAGAUGUAUAAAUAGCCUAAACAUAAUCCUUAAUACCAAUAUCCUAAUGCAUCUUAUCAUCUUUCAUGAUAUUCUUUCAUUUAUGUCCAUUGGUUCAAGAUUUGAAUUUGAUCAUUAAAUCAUGUUCAAUAAUAUUAGAGAUUCUAACAAAUGAGUACCAACUUAAAUCCCAAUGUUAUGUGUCAUUGACCAAUUUUGUGUCAUUUUGUUAUUAACUAGGUGAUGAAUUUGUAGUUGAUAAAAUCACUUAAAAAUAUCUUAAAAAUCAAACAAUAGUUUGCUUAAUUUUUCCAAGUUAACUGCUCAAGAUGCUCUAUUAUAAAUAAUAACCUAAUUAUAUUCAUAAAAAAUGAUAUUUUUUUUGUGGUGUUGAUAAUGAGAUUAUCAUUCAACAUUUUAAAAUGUGAAAACAUAUGGAAGAUGGUUGUAAAUUGAUUGAAUGAAAACAUUUCAGUGAAGUCUCAAAAAUUUGGUACUUGUUGUCUUAUCGAAAGUUUUCUAAAUUAUAUUCGUGGCACAGCCACUAUCCAAACCAUACAAGUCCAAAGCUAUCCAAACCAUACCUGCAAGUCCGGGGCUUAAAUGGAGUACUUCUAAGCAAAAAAACAUUGACUAAAAUAGAAUAUAUACAUACAGACACACAUACAUACCAGCAUAUUCAAAAUAGCAAAAGGAGUGCAAAAGUUCAAGUUUGUAGACAACAUUGCAACCAUAGCAUGUUUAUAGCAAAUCCUCAAAAUCUGCUAAAUAAAACAAUGCCCUGUCUCAUGAAUCAAUGCUGAAUUAAAAUUGAAACUGAAAGUCUGGAUGGUUUUGUUUGUUGAGAAUGUCAAAUAAAACGGCAUUGAAGGAAGUUUUCAAAGGCAGAAUCCGCACUUGUCAAAGGGAUGAUCUGCACUUGUCAAAGACACUAUCCGCGCCGAACGGAUCGACACAUUUCCUUCCGUAUUCACAUAUGUAAUCUUUGAAAAAAUAUAGCUUCUGCAUCUAUAAAUAACGCUCAGUGUAUAAUGUUUUAUUCAAGAAAUAAAAACAAGUUUCUACAUGGUAUCAGAGCCAUGAAUGCGCUCAAGUUUCUUCAAGUUUCGCUGCUCUGUUUGUCACAAAAACAGAGGAAACCAAUUAAAUUCGUCCCACAACCAUUUUUUCCACCAUUUUCUUCCUUAAAAUCAUUCCUAACAUUACAGAAAUCCAUGCCGAUCAAAAAACAUGAAAGACAAAUUACACAUGUGCAGUAACCAAUGAUCAUAUUUCGUUACUGUCAAACACAAUGCAUCUGAGCAAAACAUUGGAAGCCAACACCAGAAUACAUAUGAAUAAACAAUUAAAGAUAGAGAAAAAAGGCUUAAACCUUGGGGGGAAAAAGUGAAAAAACAUGAAAGACAAAUUACACAUGUGCAGUAGCCAUCGAACUUAUCAGUGACAGCUGCAUCCAUUACAUUGCUCCAACAACACAAUGGCAAACCACCAGUUUCAAAUUGAGGAUAGCUAUCGAGAAUGAGAAAGUGUCCAAAACGUCAUAAAUAGACAUGUUCCGAUUGUGCAUAAUUUACAUUAUAGGCAAAUAUUCUUAUACCAUCAAAGGCAAAACAUGACACUAACAAUUGAUCACCCCCCCCCCCCCCCCCCCAACAACAAAAAAAAGGAAAAAAACAAUACAGAAAAGAUUGAAACAGAUAAGGCUACACUGAGCACAGGAUGCCAUGAAACAUAAUCCAGGAACCAAAUUAAUAAAAAAGGAAGCCAAACCAUUAUUUAACAAUCUGUUUUGUAUUUGGGAAAGUCUGAUAAAAUCUACUUGGGGAUAAUUAGAGAACCUCAACUAUUAAUCACACCUCAUAAAUGAACUAACAUUAAACAUCUACCAUCCCAACGUCACACAAACAUUCUCUACACUUCUGAACCUAAUACUUCCAUCUUCAAUUGGGGUUUUUUUUUCUUUUUCUUUGGGGGGGGGGGGGGGGGGGAUUGAAAUGCUGAUUUCGAAUCACUAACAGUAAAAUUGGAAGCUCAUGAAAAAAUAGUUUUAUCUCAAAAUUACAUCUCGAUAUAAAUUCUCUUUUCAUUUCCUUCAACUUUCUAAUUAAGCUUAAAAAAUGUACCUUCAACCACAAAGGGGUUUAAAAUUUAAAAUAUAAAAAAUAAAUUCAGAUAACAAUAAUUAAUUUAAUUAAAAAUAUAAAUAGAGUUACAGAGAAAGAGAAAAUAGAGAAAGACGUAAUGUUGAGUCCUUUGGCGCAAGUCUCUUCAUAGGUCCGAACCAUUUCUUCGGGCGUGGGUUUCGGGUCUUUAGGAUACUCCAUAGUGAUAAGCCAGUGAUUGUAAUCGCAACCCUCGAACAGAAUCGUGUCGGGUGUGAUCUCGUCGCCGUCCUUAUACAAGUGGUACGUCUUGUUAACCGACGGCGUAGACGAGAGGGAGAUCGUCGGGGACGAUCUGAACGGCCGAGAUUGGAUAAUGAUGGAGGAGGAGAAGAUUAGCGAUGACGACGCCGAUGAAAUGGAAGGGUUUACCAGAGGAGUGGAUGCGAAGAAUGCAGGGACGGCCGCAAAGAGAGAGCGGCGGAGAGCGGCGACGGACGGUAGUGACCAGCGGAGGCGGAAAAUGGCGGUAUGGGCCAUUGCUUGCGCGUCGGUGAGUGUCUCGAGUGAGAGAGUGAAGGGUUUUGGGAAAUGAAAAAUGCAAAUGUUUGAUUUUGUUGCUAGAAACUUCUUCUGCCGCUGCCUUUUAUUUUCGCUAUAAUAAUAAUAAUUUGUUAAUCAAAUAUUUUCUUAAAAAAGAUAAAUUUCUACAACAAAAUUUAUAUUAAAUCAAAUUGUAAAAAUGUCUAUUAGGGUUAAUUUCUCCUUAAUAUUAUUAUUAGUAGAUGUAGAUUUUCGAAUUAGUCUUGAUAUAUUUCAGAGUUGUAUUAUAAAUGUAUAUGUAUCUGGAUUGCAAUUAUAUUUUUAAAAAAUAUAAUUUUUUUAAUUAUUGCACAAUAAAUGUAAAUAGUAUCUAUAAAAUAAUAUUAUUAGGACUACGAAAAAAAUAUUAUUUUAGAGAAGUUAUUUAUUUAUUAUUGAAUGAAUAAAAAAAUUAGUUUGGCAUUUUUAUAACCUCCUUGAAGGUUUUACGAUAAACAUAAAUCUACUGAGAAAGUGGGAAAAAAAAAAGAAAAUGCAUAUAAAAGUAUGAGUUAUCAGAUAAGAUUAAAACUCACCCAAUUCAAUCCAUCAGAUUCCGUAAGGAUAUAACUGGAUGUCAUACCGCCACUCCAUAUCCUCGAAAGUCCGUAGUCCUUGUCUCAACUGUGUCUGAGGCCAGUGUAAGUCCAAUUUGCGCAAGCUCUUUAUGCACCACAGCUCUUCUGGAAGCUUUCUCAAGUAAGCACAUGGGUUGACAAUUAAGCUUUCAAGUUUCGGCAUUGCUCCAGCCCCCAUCGUCCACUCAUCUAGCCAAUACAUUGAUUUCAGGUGCAAAACCUUAAGUUCGGGAAAGCUACUCAAGCCAACACAAGCAAGCUUUCUUCCUAAAUACGAGUUCUGCUUCAGUUUCAGCACUCGAAGGCGUGGAAGAUUUUCCAGAAUUGGCAUGGGAUCCUCCAUUAGCUCAGUAUUUGAUAAGCUCAGUUGGAUCAGACUUGGGGGAAAUUGGUAUUCAGACAGGACCAUCCGUGAGGGCUUGCUCUCAUUCACCAGCUUCAAGCAUUCAAGUUUGUGGAGUUCGCAAAGGCUUUUGGAAACCCCAGAUUGAUAGUAACUCAAAUCUCCAGAUAUCCGAAGAGUCUGAACACUAGGUAGUCUGCCCAAUAUAUCAGGAGUACAACUGCUACGGUUUAAAGCUGAUAUGAAAAUGAGAUUUUUCAGAGAGCUAGAAUAAUUUUUUGGAGGUGCGGGCAGAGUGAUAGAACCAAAGUUUAGAUGCAUGAGUUUUUGCAUCAUCCAAAUAUCCUCUGGUGACUGAUCUAUGUAGCUAAAUGGCAUUUCUAGUGUUUCAAGGUUUAAAAGGGUGCAUAGCAGUGAAGGAAGACAUUUGAGCGAAGGGAUAUUCAAUUUCAAAUACUUCAAAAGAUAUAAAUUUUCUAAUCCGGGCGGAUAUUGGUCCAGGACUGCAGAACCCAUGUUCAAUACCCGAAGGUGUUUGAACUUUUUACAAAAAUUCUCGCAAUCUAUCAGAGCGAGACGAUCGCUUUCUGAACUGUGAUUCAGAAAAGAUUGGAGACGCAUGUCAGAAUAUUCUAAAGGAAAGAAGUCAAUCAGACGUUCCACAAUGAAGCACCGUUUAACAUUUGCCACUGAUUCCUCUUCCAUGUCAGGCGUCCAGACAAAUCCCGCCUUCUUUGCCAGAAAAUACAAUGAAGUGUAUACAAAACUUGGAACAUAACACGCUUUAAUUGUGCCGCCGGCGCUUCUCUUACUCACUUGAAUGAAGCCGCGAUGGAUUAGUUCUUUCAAGAAAUGGUCGGCAGUUUCUUCACCGUUGUAUGGUACGAAACCUUCAGCUACCCACAACUGAUGUAAUUGCCUCCUGGAUAUCUCAAUACUUGGAGGGAAGACACACAAAUAGAUGAAGCAGACUUUCAAAUGAAAAGGUAACUCCAUCACAGAAAAAAUUUGUCUCCAAACUGUCGGAAUCGCUUCGCCUUGAAGAUAAUUUUCUAAUGGCAUACUUCCAUAGUGUAGGAUGAAAAAUUGCCAGGCUUCAUGCUUUAAUCUGAUCAAUGGUCCUCCAAAGAGCACUGAAUCACGCCGAAUCUUCUCUCCGUUUUCCAUUUCCAACGACGCAAGGAGGUCUGGAUUAGUGACUGUUAUCAAUACUCUGCUUCCAUUCUGCUUAUCAGGAAGAACUUCUUCAAGAUCAUCCCAUAUGUCACUGUCAUUGAAGACAUCAUCAAGCACAAUAAAGUACUUCUUGUUUGUCAGGUAAUCUCGAAGAAUAGAUUUCUUCAAGCGAUAAUCUUCACUGAUAAUUACCCUAGCCCGAGAUGGAGGCAUCAAAGAAUUGAUUAUGUCAUCCAAUAUCUUGCCAAAAUCGUAGGCUAUAGAAACCCUGACCCAAGAAAGACAGUCAAAAUAGAACUUGACAUGGUUAUUAUUGUAAGUAUCUGCAGCAAAAGCAGUCUUAUCGAAGCCACUGCUGUCGAGAAUUGCAACCACUGAAAGCCCAGAUGGUCCCUCAAUCAAUAGAUCAAAAAACUUCUCUCUGCCCCUUUCAAAUUCACUGAUAUCGAGCCGAGGUUGUCCCUCAUUCAAUAGGCGAAUGAUUUCGUUACUUUUUUCACUGAUAUCAAAACCAUUGUCGCCGGGUGGAAGUUGUUGCAUCCGAUUUCUAAUAUCAAUGAUUUUAGUGUGGAGUCCAACAAGAAGAGCCAUAUCAGUACUGCUUUCACUUUCGUUUUCACUGUUUUGCUGCUGCAUUAUGUUGAUGAAGAAUCUGUCAAUGGCUUCCUCAGAUUCAUGGACAACGGGAUUGAUGUCCUCCAGAAUUUCCAAAAUAUCUGCUGUUUCAACGUCUUCUUUAUCGCUUUCUUCUAAGUCCAACAGUUGCAAAAAAGGCAAUGAUAUUUUGGAGUCAUCGAAUUCUUCUCUAAUGAGUUGAAACAAAUGCCGAGCCAUGUCAGCUUCAUAUUUUCCCAGCAGAGUAGUAGCAAUAAUUUCGGACUCCGUAAGAAGGUUUUGAAAAAGUGGAGUUAAAUUUGUUGAAUCAGGCAAAGUUAACGUGCCUUCUUCACCUGCUAACACCCUUUUCAACCUCACACAAAACAGUCGGAGGUGGAGUUCCAGCAUAUCUCCUUCUCUCCGCAGCACUCAGAGGUAUAGUUGAAAGAUUAAACACCAUGGAAGAAUUUGAAAGGAAUAUGCCAAGAAACUGUGUAAGUGGCUAAAUUCCACAAAUGCGGCAUUAUUGCUCAUUUUUAACUCAAAAAAUUGAUACGCGUUCAUUUAGAGAAAAGUCCAAGACGCGUGCCUUUUGAAAAGAACAGGUAUCCCAAUCGGUAUCCAACCUCUAUCUUAUUUAAUUACUAUCAUGACAUAAUUGAUGGUGCUUAAAUCAAUUGUUUCUUUUUUAAUUUAAAGAAUUUUUCAUUAAAAAAAUAUUUUAAUAUCAAAUUGCCUUCAGUGGCGUAACUGCCUCAAGCCCAGUAACAGGACUAAUUAAAGAUUUUACAAUUUUUGGGCAUGGAAAUAGUAGUAUUAAAUAUUAGAAAGGUGAGGUUGUUCUGUUAAAGAAUUGAUCUUGACAUAAUUUUAUUUUGGUUUUCGUGGAAAAAUAAAAUUUGUUGACAAGCAAGAAAAUAUUUUUAUAUUUUAAAAUUUAUUAUGCAUAUUUUAUCAUAUUAAAGUAGUUUUAAUAAUAAAUAGAAACAUAAUAUUACGAUAAAUAAAUUAAAAUUUAACUUAUUUUGAAUAUUAUAAAAAAAAUUUUAAUAUUAUUAAUAGGAAGACAUUGUAUUAAUUUUAAAAUUUUUUAACCCAAAGGUUUAUUUAAAAUCUUUAUUAUAAAUACAAAUAUAAAAUUAAAUAUCAUAAUUUAAAAAUUUUAAUAUUAUUUUAAGUAUUAAAAAUAUUUUAAUGUUAUUAGUCUACUACAUAGAUCAUAUUACUUAUAUAAUAUUUGUAUUAUUAAAAAUUCUUAAAAUCAAAUUUUUAGUUAGUAUAUUCAUGAGGUAUUAUGGUUAAAAAAAAAAAAGACCUUAUUAUUACUUUUUAAAAAAUUGAGGGUCUGCGUGAUAAUUUUUUCAAAAAGAAAAUGCUUGGUAUGUAGGAGGGGUAGAGAAACAGGACUCCCAAAAUCUCUCACCCUUCUUUAAUUAAAAAUAAAUAAAAUAUUAAUAAAAAAUAAUAAAGAAAAUAGAAUUUUAUCUGCUCCUUACUCCAUUUUUGUAACUCUCUCACCAUCUCUGUCGAGCAGCCCUCUCUUUCGUUGUCUCUCACUAUUUCACGAUCUCUCUCUCACUCACACAGUCCUUUAAAAAAGCCCAAAAUAGGCCCAAUAAGCCCAUAAUUAAAAUAAUCGAAUCGAAUUAUUUUAAUUAAUCGAGUAUUUGAUUAUUUCGGUAAUUUAAUUAAUCGCAAUUAUGAUUUUAAAAUAAUCGUAAUCGAACGAUUAUGAAAAAUUUAGUAAAAAAACCGAACUGAACCGAACCGCACCCACCCCUACAUAAAAGAACAUCAAUUACUUGUCAUUUUCAAUUUUUUCUAUAAGCUAUUUAUUUUGAGCAUUAGUGAUCUUGUCUGGACUACUCCAAUUAUUGACGUAACUCCAGUGGCUGCAUCCACUGGAAAAAGUGGAUGAUAACAUUUUUUUUUUUUUCAUAAAGGUAACUACUCCAAUUAUUGACAUAAUUGAUGGUGCUUAAAUCAAUUUUUUUUUUAAUUUAAAGAAUUUUGCUUUAAAAAAUAAUUAAUAUCAAAAUGCCUUCAAUGUUGUUACCGCCACAAGCCCAGUUAGAGGACUCAUUAAAACUUUUAGAAUUUUUAGGCCUGGAAAGCAUAGUAUUAAACAUCAGAAAGCAAAGGUUGUUAUGUCGAAGAAUUGAUGUCGACAAAAUUUUAUUUUAGUUUUCGGAAAAAAAAAAUUUGUUGACAAGCAAGAAAAUAUUUUUUAUACUUUACAAUCUGCUAUACAUAUUUUAUCAUAUUAAAGUAAUUUUAAUAAUAUAUGGAAACAUAAUAUUAUAAUAAAUAAAUUAAAAUUAAAAUUACUUUGAAUUAUUAAAUAUUACAAAAAGAUAAUUUUAAUAUUAUUAAUAGGAAAACAUUUUUAAUUGUAAAAUCUUUUUAAUACAAAAAUUCAUUUAAAAUCUUUAUAAUAAAUACAAAUAUAAAAUUAAAAAUAUCAUAAUUUAAAAUUUUUAAUAUUAUUUUAAUAUUAAAAAUACUUUAAUAUUAUUAGUCUACUACAUAAAAUAUAUUAUUUAUAUUAUAUUCGUAUUGAUUAAAACGUUUUAAAGUCAAAUUUUUAAUUAUUGUAUUCAAAGGUACAAAAGAUUUUAGUAUUAUUUUUUAAAAAUUUUAGGAUAUGAAUGAUAAUUUUUUCGAAUUUUAAAGAUGUAAGAAUCUUUUUUUCUAAUAAUUUAUUUCACUUUUGAGAGAAUCCGAAAACGUUAAUUUAACAUUCUUUACCUUUGUGAAAAAAGUGAAAAUCAAGAACUAUUCAAUUUUGUUUUUAUUUGUAAUUCAAAAACUUUAUUCAUUUUCGAUGCUUUUCGAAAGAGAUUCCGUUAAAUCCUUUUGGUGUCGGCAGCUCCUGCUAUUCUCAUAAAUCUCCAUUCCACAUCUACACUAUCAAACAAGUUGAUGGAAAUUCUUAUAAAAAAAAAACAAGUCGAUGGAAAUUGAUCAAUUACUUUUUGAAGUGGACCCAUUGAGUCAUGUUCAUUUCUGGUCAUUGUCUACUCUUUCCAUCAGCCAUUUAUUUUGACCAUUUGCGAUCUUAAAGGAUAUGAGAACGUAGCUGAAGUGCUGAAGGGGCUAUUAAAGAAGAGUGUCACUUGAUCACAAUCACAUUGAUGCACAACUCACUCGUGGCAAAUUUCGACUAUACGUUCUGCAAAUUCAGCCAAACCAUACGUGCAUGAACAAAACUAAAAUGUAGUUCUAAUCACAACUCCAGUUAUGAUGUUUACCCCUCUGAUUUUUCUCCAAAACAAAUUCAGUUCAAAACAAUAAUCAAAAUAGCCACAUUUUGUUCGUCAAAAUAAAUGCCCAAAUUUUCAAUUAACAAAUCAUCUUCUCUAAACUAAAAAUCCCACAUCUCUAAAAUCAAUCUACAUAAUGUUGGAGAUGAGGGGUGAAUUGUUAACUCAGUAAAAAAAACUCAUGCAUAAUAUUACUAAUAAUAUAAAAUAUAUAUUAAUCAUUAUAAAGAAUCAUAAUUAGAAAAAUUAAUCAUUUUAUAAUUUAUUACACAAGUAAGAUAAAUCUCAUAAUAAGUUAUAACAUAAAAAAAACGUUAUCAAUAUAUAAUCAUUUAAGAAGUCAUUUAACAAUAAAAUCGUUCUUUAAUCAGUUGGUCAUGUCACAUAGUGUCAUCUAUAUUUACGGUGAUAAUAUUAUUACUCAGUAUUAUCAAAAAACAUGAUUUAACAUUUAGAGGAAAUUCUUGCCUUUUAAAAAAAAACAUGUAUGCAACAGCUACCCAUGCUUUAUCUUACCAUGACAAAUAUUUUCUCAAUGAAAGAAAAUUUUUUAAAAAUUGAUUUAAUGCACAAAUAUGAUGAUUUUUCCAAAAAUUAGUUUUGGAAAACAUAGUGAGAGAAAAUAGUGACGAUUAUUGUUUAGAUGUAUAAAUAGCCUAAACAUAAUCCUUAAUACCAAUAUCCUAAUGCAUCUUAUCAUCUUUCAUGAUAUUCUUUCAUUUAUGUCCAUUGGUUCAAGAUUUGAAUUUGAUCAUUAAAUCAUGUUCAAUAAUAUUAGAGAUUCUAACAAAUGAGUACCAACUUAAAUCCCAAUGUUAUGUGUCAUUGACCAAUUUUGUGUCAUUUUGUUAUUAACUAGGUGAUGAAUUUGUAGUUGAUAAAAUCACUUAAAAAUAUCUUAAAAAUCAAACAAUAGUUUGCUUAAUUUUUCCAAGUUAACUGCUCAAGAUGCUCUAUUAUAAAUAAUAACCUAAUUAUAUUCAUAAAAAAUGAUAUUUUUUUUGUGGUGUUGAUAAUGAGAUUAUCAUUCAACAUUUUAAAAUGUGAAAACAUAUGGAAGAUGGUUGUAAAUUGAUUGAAUGAAAACAUUUCAGUGAAGUCUCAAAAAUUUGGUACUUGUUGUCUUAUCGAAAGUUUUCUAAAUUAUAUUCGUGGCACAGCCACUAUCCAAACCAUACAAGUCCAAAGCUAUCCAAACCAUACCUGCAAGUCCGGGGCUUAAAUGGAGUACUUCUAAGCAAAAAAACAUUGACUAAAAUAGAAUAUAUACAUACAGACACACAUACAUACCAGCAUAUUCAAAAUAGCAAAAGGAGUGCAAAAGUUCAAGUUUGUAGACAACAUUGCAACCAUAGCAUGUUUAUAGCAAAUCCUCAAAAUCUGCUAAAUAAAACAAUGCCCUGUCUCAUGAAUCAAUGCUGAAUUAAAAUUGAAACUGAAAGUCUGGAUGGUUUUGUUUGUUGAGAAUGUCAAAUAAAACGGCAUUGAAGGAAGUUUUCAAAGGCAGAAUCCGCACUUGUCAAAGGGAUGACCUGCACUUGUCAAAGACACGAUCCGCGCCGAACGGAUCGACACAUUUCCUUCCGUAUUCACAUAUGUAAACUUUGAAAAAAUAUAGCUUCUGCAUCUAUAAAUAACGCUCAGUGUAUAAUGUUUUAUUCAAGAAAUAAAAACAAGUUUCUACAUGGUAUCAGAGCCAUGAAUGCGCUCAAGUUUCUUCAAGUUUCGCUGCUCUGUUUGUCACAAAAACAGAGGAAACCAAUUAAAUUCGUCCCACAACCAUUUUUUCCACCAUUUUCUUCCUUAAAAUCAUUCCUAACAUUACAGAAAUCCAUGCCGAUCAAAAACAUGAAAGACAAAUUACACAUGUGCAGUAACCAAUGAUCAUAUUUUGUUACUGUCAAACACAAUGCAUCUGAGCAAAACAUUGGAAGCCAACACCAGAAUACAUAUGAAUAAACAAUUAAAGAUAGAGAAAAAAGGCUUAAACCUUGGGGGAAAAAGUGAAAAAACAUGAAAGACAAAUUACACAUGUGCAGUAACCAUCGAACUUAUCAGUGACAGCUGCAUCUAUUACAUUGCUCCAACAACACAAGGGCAAACCACCAGUUUCAAAUUGAGGAUAGCUAUCGAGAAUGAGAAAGUGUCCAAAACGUCAUAAAUAGACAUGUUCCUAUUGUGCAUAAUUUACAUUAUAGGCAAAUAUUUUUAUACCAUCAAAGGCAAAACAUGACACUAACAAUUGAUCACCCCCCCCCCCCCCCCCCCCAACAACAAAAAAAAGGAAAAAACAAUACAGAAAAGAUUGAAACAGAUAAGGCUACACUGAGCACAGGAUGCCAUGAAACAUAAUCCAGGAACCAAAUUAAUAAAAAAGGAAGCCAAACCAUUAUUUAACAAUCUGUUUUGUAUUUGGGAAAGUCUGAUAAAAUCUACUUGGGGAUAAUUAGAGAACCUCAACUAUUAAUCACACCUCAUAAAUGAACUAACAUUAAACAUCUACCAUCCCAACGUCACACAAACAUUCUCUACACUUCUGAACCUAAUACUUCCAUCUUCAAUUGGGGGUUUUUUUUUUCUUUUUCUUUGGGGGGGGGGGGGGAUUGAAAUGCUGAUUUCGAAUCACUAACAGUAAAAUUGGAAGCUCAUGAAAAAAUAGUUUUAUCUCAAAAUUACAUCUCGAUAUAAAUUCUCUUUUCAUUUCCUUCAACUUUCUAAUUAAGCUUAAAAAAUGUACCUUCAACCACAAAGGGGUUUAAAAUUUAAAAUAUAAAAAAUAAAUUCAGAUAACAAUAAUUAAUUUAAUUAAAAAUAUAAAUAGAGUUACAGAGAAAGAGAAAAUAGAGAAAGACGUAAUGUUGAGUCCUUUGGCGCAAGUCUCUUCAUAGGUCCGAACCAUUUCUUCGGGCGUGGGUUUCGGGUCUUUAGGAUACUCCAUAGUGAUAAGCCAGUGAUUGUAAUCGCAACCCUCGAACAGAAUCGUGUCGGGUGUGAUCUCGUCGCCGUCCUUAUACAAGUGGUACGUCUUGUUAACCGACGGCGUAGACGAGAGGGAGAUCGUCGGGGACGAUCUGAACGGCCGAGAUUGGAUAAUGAUGGAGGAGGAGAAGAUUAGCGAUGACGACGCCGAUGAAAUGGAAGGGUUUACCAGAGGAGUGGAUGCGAAGAAUGCAGGGACGGCCGCAAAGAGAGAGCGGCGGAGAGCGGCGACGGACGGUAGUGACCGGCGGAGAGCGGAAGAUGGCGGUAUGGGCCAUUGCUUGCGCGUCAGUGAGUGUCUCGAGUGAGGAGUGAAGGGUUUUGUACUUUUGUUUAGGGUUUUGGGAAAUGAAAAAUGCAAAUGUUUGAUUUUGUUGCUAGAAACUUCUUCUGCCGCCGCUUUUUAUUUUCGCUAAAUAAUAAUAAUAAUUUGUUAAUAAAAUACUUUCUUAGAAAAGAUAAAUUUAUAGAACAAAAUUUAUAUUAAAUCAAAUUGUAAAAAUGUGGAAUAGGGCUAAUUUCUCCUGAAUAUUAUUAUUAGUAGAAGUAGAUUUUCGAAAUAGUCUUGAUAUAUUUCAAAGUUGUAUUAUAGAUGUACAUGUAUCUGGAUUGUAAUUAUAUUUUAAAAAAUAUACAUUUUUUUUCAUUAUUGCACAAUAAAUGUAGAAAGUGUCUAUAAAAUAAUAUUAUUAGAACUAUGAAAAUAUAUUAUUUUAGAGUAGUUAUUUAUUUAUUUUUGAAUAAAUAAUUUAUUAAUUUAUUAAUUUAUUGAUAAAUUAAUAAAUAUUAAUUUAAAGAGAGAUUUUUUUUUUUGGGGGUUUUUAAGAAGAGUUUUGUUGGUAUAUGUACAAACUUAUAAAGAAAUACAAAAAAUGCUUCCUCAAGUCAAUAGUAUUUACUUUAAUUCAUAAUAGUAUAGUUUAAUCAAGAAACUUAUAAUUAUACUAUAUCUUUCUUUCUUUGUUCUAUUUGGUGGGACAUUGUGAUAAAUCAUUGGAUUAAAAUGCAUUUCUAAAUGAAAACUUGUUAAAACCUAAUUUAUUUGGGAACGACAUUUUAUUUGUCAGUCGUAUUUCUCAACUUCGUAAGUUAUUUCUAAUUUAUCGGUCUCUAUUGGUUCUCUUAAGUACCUAUUUGGCAUGACUUAUUUAAUAGUAAUAAGUGCUUAUUUAAUCUCAUAAGUUUUUUCCCUCUCUGACAAUUGAGUUAGGGGGUCAAACUUGAAAGUAUCUUAAAAUUAGACAACAAUUUAACUAUUUUUUUUUUUUUAGAUAACUGCUAAUAUGCUCUAUUAGACAAUGAUGAGUGAUAACCUAGGUGUUUGCAUUUAAAGGGAUACUUUUUGUGGUGUUGAUAAAGAGGUUAAGUAUGAUUCAACAAUUUAAAAUAUGAAAACAUAUGGAAGACGGCCGCAAUUAAAUUAAUUGUAUGAAAAUAUUUCAAUGAAAUUUUAAAAAUUUAGUAUUUGUUAUCUUAUCGAGAGUUUUUUAAAAUUAUAUUACUACUUGAACUUGACUGCUUUUGUAUUUAAUUCCUACCGUUGCCAUUGCUUCUACUCAAAAGCCAUUUAAGUUUGUGUAAGCUACGUAUAGUUUGAACAACAAUUUACUCAUGAAUUGUUGUUCAUAAUAGCAUCAGUGCAUGCAUCAUUUUAAUGAGAAAGAAUAUUCUAAGAACGAAAUUGAACGUGGGAGGUAUCGGGAAGGAAUUGGAAUGGAAUAAUAUCGAUUCAUAUAGAUACAGAAGAAAAAGUUCUCUAUUGAUUCAAAUGCUGUGCCUAUGGGAUAAGGAUAGAGAAAGAGGAAAAAACCGAAGCCAGAAAUGUACACGCAUGAGGAACUUUUCCUAGAAGAUUGAUAUUUCUUUGACUAGCAAACCAUACAAGUCCAAAGCUAGCCAAACCAUACCUGCAAGUCGGGGGUUUAAAUGGAAUACUUCUAAGCAUAAAACAUUGAUUAAAACAGAAUACACACAUACAUACCAGCAAAUUCAAAAUAGCAAAAGGAGUGCAAAAGUUCAAGUUUGUAGACAACAUUGCAACCAUGGCAUGUUUAUAGCAAAUCCUCGAAAUCUGCUAAAUAAAACAAUGCCCUGUCUCAUGAAUCAAUGCUGAAUUAAAAUUGAAACUGAAAGUCCGGCUGGCGUUGUUUCCCUCUCCAAUUUUGCCUACAUAAGUGAAAAUAAGAAUAAUAAAUGAAAAUCUGCUUUUACGGUUCUUAUUAGAUAGAUAAAAGGGGGAUCUUUCUUUGUUUCUCUGCUGCAAUGUGUGGCUAUCCCACUCUGUUUUGCCACCCAAGCUGAGUCUAUGCUGAGACAUAAUUUUGACAUCAGAAGCAAUCUCAAUUAGUUUGGCACUUUUAAGCAAUCUCAUAUUUUGCUCACUUGAAGGUUUUACGAUAAACAUAAAUCUACAGAGAAAGUGGGAAAAAAAAAAGAAAAUGCAUAUAAAUAUAUGAGUUAUCAGAUAAGAUUAAAACUCACCCAAUUCAAUCCAUCAGAUUCCGUAAGGAUAUAACUGGAUGUCAUACCGCCACUCCAUAUCCUUGAAAGUCCGUAGUGUUUGUCUCAACUCUGUCUGAGGCCAAUGUAAAUUCAAUUUGCGCAAGCUCUUUAUGCACCACAGCUCUUCUGGAAGCUUUCUCAAGUAAGCACAUGGGUUGACAAUUAAGCUUUCAAGUUUCGGCAUUGCUCCAGCCCCCAUCGUCCACUCAUCUAGCCAAUACAUUGAUUUCAGGUGCAAAACCUUAAGUUCCGGAAAGCUACUCAAGCCAACACAAGCAAGCUUUCUUCCUAAAUACGAGUUCUGCUUCAGUUUCAGCACUCGAAGGCGUGGAAGAUUUUCCAGAAUUGGCAUGGGAUCCUCCAUUAGCUCAGUAUUUGAUAAGCUCAGUUGGAUCAGACUUGGGGGAAAUUGGUAUUCAGACAGGACCAUCCGUGAGGGCUUGCUCUCAUUCACCAGCUUCAAGCAUUCAAGUUUGUGGAGUUCGCAAAGGCUUUUGGAAACCGCAGAUUGAUAGUAACUCAAAUCUCCAGAUAUCCGAAGAGUCUGAACACUAGGUAGUCUGCCCAAUAUAUCAGGAGUACAACUACUAGGGUUUAAAGCUGAUAUGAAAAUGAGAUUUUUCAGAGAGCUGGAAUAAUUUUUUGGAGGUGCGGGCAGAGUGAUAGAACCAAAGUUUAGAUGCAUGAGUUUUUGCAUCAUCCAAAUAUCCUCUGGUGACUGAUCUAUGUAGCUAGAUGGCAUUUCUAGUGUUUCAAGGUUUAAAAGGGUGCAUAGCAGCGAAGGAAGGCGUUUGAGCAAAGGGAUAUUCAAUUUCAAAUACUUCAAAAGGAAUAAAUUUUCUAAUCCGGGUGGAAAUUGGUCGAGAACUGCAGAACCGAAGUUCAGUACCCGAAGGUGUUUGAACUUUUUACAAAAAUUCUCGCAAUCUAUCACAGCGAGAUGAUCGCCUUCUAAACUUUGAUUGAUAAAAGAUUGGAGAUAGAUCUCACCAUGUUCUAAAGAAAUGAAGUCAGUCAGAUGUUCCAAAAUGAUGUAGCGUUUAACAUUUGCAAAUGGUUCCGCUUCCAUUCCAGGCAUCCAGAGAAAUUUCGUCUUGUCUGCCACCAAACCCAAUGAAGUAUAUACAAAACUUGGAACAUAGCAAGCUUUAAUUGUGCCGCCGGCUCUUCUCUUACUCACUUGAAUGAAGCCGCGAUGGAUUAGUUCUUUCAAGUAAUGUUCGGCAGUUUCUUCACCGUUGUAUGGUAUGAAACCUUCAGCUACCCACAACUGAUAUAAUUGCUCCGUAGAUAUCUCCAUACUUGGAGGGAAGACCAACAAAUAGAUGCAGCAGACCUUCAAGUGAAAAGGUAACUCCAUCACAGAAAAAAUUUGUCUCCAAACUGUCGGAAUCGCUUCGCCUUGAAGAUAAUUUUCUAAUGGCAUACUUCCAUAGUGUAGGAUGAAAAAUUGCCAGGCUUCAUGCUUUAAUCUUAUCAAUGGUCCUCCAAUGAGCACUGAAUCACGCCGAAUUUCCUCUCCAUUUUCCAUUUCCAACGACACAAGGAGGUCUGGUUCAGUGACUGUUAUCAAUACUCUGCUUCCAUUCUCAUCAUCAGGGAGAACUUCUUCCAGAUCAUCCCAUAUCUCACAGUCAUCGAAGACGUCAUCAAGCACAAUAAAAUACUUCUUGUUUGUUAGGUAAUCUCGAAGAAUAGAUUCCUUGAAUUGAUAAUCUUCACCGAUAAUUACACUAACCCGAGAUGGAGGCAUCACAGACUUGAUUAUGUCAUCCAAUAUCUUGCGAAAAUCGUAGAGUAGAGAAACCCUGACCCAAGCAAGACAGUCAAAAUAGAACUUGACAUAGUUAUUAUUGUAAGUAUCUGCAGCAAAAGCAGUCUUAUCGAAGCCACUGCUGUCGAGAAUUGCAACCACUGAAAGCCCAGAUGGUCCCUCAAUCAAUAGAUCAAACAACUCCUCUCUGCCCCUUUCAAAUUCACUGAUAUCAAGCCGAGGAUGUCCCUCAUUCAAUAGGCGAAUCAUUUCGUUACUUUUUUCACUGAUAUCAAAACCAUUGUCGCCGGGUGGAAGUUGUUGCAUCCGAUUUCUAAUAUCAAUGAUUUCACUGUGGAGUCCAUCAGGAAGAGCCAUAUUAGUGCUGCUUUCACUUUCGUUUUCACUGUUUUGCUGCUGCAUGAUGUUGAUGAAGAAUGUGUCAAUGACUUCCUCAGAGUCACGGACAAAGUUAUUGAUGUCCUUCAGAAUUUCAAAAAUAUCUGCUGUUUCAACGUCUUCUUCAUCGCUUUCUUCUAAGUCCAACAGUUGCAAAAAAGGCAAAGAUAUUUUGGAGUCAUCGAUAUCUUCUCUAAGGAGUUGAAUCAAAUGCCGAGCCAUGUCGGCUUCAUAGUUUCCCAGAAGAGUAGUAGCAAUAAUUUCGGACUCCGUAAGAAGGUUUUGAAAAAGUGGAGUUAAAUUUGUUGAAUCUGGCAGAGGCAACGUGCCUUCUUCACCUGCUAACACCCUUUUCAACCUCUCACAAAACAGUCGGAGGUGGACGUCCAGCAUAUCUCCUUCUCUCUGUAGCACCCAGAGGUAUUGUUUUUUGCUCCAAGAAAUAUUAAAAGGAUUGGUUCUAUCUAAAAGUGGUUACUGGUGUAAAAUUAAACGCCAUGGGAGAAUUUGAAAGGAAGAUGCCAAGGAACUGGCGAAGUGGCUAAAUUCCACAAAUACGGCAUUAUUGCUCAUUUUUAACUCAAAAAAUUGAUACGCCUUCAUUUAGCGAAAAGUCCAAGACGCUUGCCUUUUGAAAAGAAGAGGUAUCCAUAGAUAUCCAACAUUUAUCUUAUUUUAAUUACUACCACGACAUGAUUGAUGGUUGUUAAAUCAAUUGUUUCUUUUUUAAUUUAAAGAAAUUUUCAUUAAAAAAUAGUUUAAUAGACACAUAAUAUUACAAUAAAUAAAGUAAAGUUUAAAUUAUUUUGAAUAUUAUAAAAAAUAAUUUUAAUAUUAUUAAUAGGAAGACAUUUUGUUAAUUUUAAAAUCUUUUUAACCCAAAGGUUUAUUUAAAAUCUUUAUUAUAAAUACAAAUAUAAAAUUAAAUAUCAUAAUUUAAAAUUUUUAAUAUUAUUUUAAGUAUUAAAAAUAUUUUAAUGUUAUUAGUCUACUACAUAGAUUUUAUUAUUUAUAUUAUAUCUGUAUUGAUUAAAAUUUUUUAAAGUCAAUUUUUUAGUCAAUAUAUUCAAGAGGUAUUAUAGUUAAAGAAAAGAUUUUGGUGUUAUUUUUUGAAAAUUUUAAGGUUUAAAUGAUUUUUUUUUUAAUUUUAAGGAUGUGGGUAUUAUUUUUCCGACAAUUUAUUUUAUUUUUGGGGAAUCCGAUGAGAAAUAUCAUGAGAGAAGGUUAAUUUUACAUUCUUUACCUUUAUGAAAAAAGUGGAAACCAAGAACUAUUCAAUUUUGUAUUUUUUGUUUGUAAUUCAAAAAAUGCAUCCACCAAACAAGCUUAUCUUGAUUUUCCCACUUUAUUCAUUUUCGAUCCUUUAAUCCAUCUAGCAUCUGCAGCCCCCGCUAUUUUCACAAAGAGUAAUGAUACAGCCACAAAUUCUUGUACAAAUUUAUUUUGUAUAAACUGACGUGGCAUGAUAAGAUUGGUUGAAUUAAAUAUCACUUGGCCCACAUGAUUUGUUUUUAUUAUUUUAUAUUUUUAUUCAACCAAUGAAUUAAUGCCACGUCAGUUUGUACAAAAUAAAUUUGUACAAGAGUUUGUGGCUGUAUCAUUACUCUGUCAAGAAUCUCCAUCCCACAGCUACACUAUCAAACAAGUUGAUGGAAAUUGAACAAUUGCUUUUUGAAGUGGACCCAUUAGGUUAUGUUCAUUACUGGUCAUUGUCUAUUCUUUCUAAGAGCCACUUAUUUUGAGCAUUAGCGAUCCUAUCUGGACUACUCCAAUUAUUGAUGUAACUCCAAUGGUUGCAUCAACAGUUGAAUGUAAGAUAGUGUCAGUUCUUUUUUGAGAAUAUAGAGGGAUCUUUAUUUGUUUCUCCGUUGCAGCGUAUUAGUAUAAAUUUCUUGACCUUACAGUUCCUACAGUCUUCCUGUUAAUGAAUUCGCUGAGGCAUUAUUGAUCCAAUCUCAGUGAAGUAAUUGUGGGUGAAAAAAAAAUAAAGGAUAAGAGAACGUAGCUCAAGUGCUGAAUUGACUAUUAAAGAAGAGCGUCACCUGAUCACAAUCACAUUGAUGCACAACUCACUCGAGGCAAAUUUCAUCUAUAUAUACUGCAAAUUCAGCCAAGCCAUGCAUGCAUGAACAAAACUAAAAUGAAGUUCAUAAUCACAACUGUAAUUAGAGCUACAAAAGGUGGCAAACCAUACAUGCAUGAACAAAAUUAGACAUAAAUUGAAGCCACAACAUUAAUUGAAGCCACAAAAGCCAGCAAAUCCAAAUGAAAACUUAAAAGGAAGAUCUUAUCGAAGUUUGUCCCCAAAAGACAGCGGAAAUGAAAAAUAUUGACUAUCGAGUGGAUCAAUGCUGAAUUACAUUUGACCUGGAAAGCUUGGCUGCAGUUGCGAUGUUCCCCCUCUGAUUUUCCCUAAAACAAAUUCAGUUGUAAACAAUAACUGGAGUAGCAACAAUUUAUUCAUUAUAGAAAAUACCUAAAUUUUCAACUAUCAAAUCCUCUUGUCUAAACUAAAAAACUCAUAUCUCUAAAAUCUAUAUACAAAAUGUCAUAAAUGAGGGUGAUCUCUCAAUUCGGUAAACAAAUUCAUGCAUAAUAUUACCAAUAAUGAUAAAUUACAUAAUAAUUAUUAUAAAGAAUCAUAAAUUGGAAACAUUAAUCAUUUUAAAAUCUAUUACAUAAUAAAAAUAAAUCUUAUAAUAAGUUACGUUAGAACAUAACAAAUAUUUAAAAUGAUAUAUAUAAUUAUUUAAGAAGUCUUUUAACAAUAAUUUUUUUUUUCUUUUUCAGUUGAUCAUGUCAUAGCGUUAUCUAAAAUGCUAGCGAUAUCAUUAUUCCCCACUUUUCUCAAAAAAAAGAAAAAGAUAAAGAAAAAAGAAAUAUGAUUAACGUUUGGAGAAAAGUCAUGCCUUUUAAAAAGAAUAUGUAUACAAUACCAAUUCAUACUUUAUCUUACCAUAAAAAAAUUGUUUAAAAUAGAUUUAAUGCACAAAUAUGAUGACUUUUGGCAGAAAUGAGUUUCGGAAAUAUUGGGAUGAAAACCAUAUUGGUUCAGACUUAAAAUUACUUAAUAAAAUUACUUAACUACCAUUUAAUAAAUAAAAAUCAUAUUAGUUGAAAGUUAAAUUAAGAUUUAAAUGUUGAGAUAUCUAACGUUACUCAAUCAGAAUAAACAAUAAUCAAUUCAAAUUAUGACUAUCAUGUAGAAGCAAAUGUUUAUGCUUGGGUCUUUUACUUCUUGAAUUUGAUUGGAAAAAUUUCUGAGACAGGGAAGUGAGUGUUUUGGAUAAUAUUUUUCGGGAUUGAAACCACAAGUUGGUCGAGGAAAAUAAUUUUGGACAAAUUUUUAUUAUAUUGUAGAACCUUUUUGGUUCCUUUUGUGUCGGCAGCCCCUCACUAUUCUCUUAACCCUGAGUUUUGAGAUAGAAAUUUCCCGAACUCCAACCCCACAUCCACAGACAAGUUGAUUGAAACAAUUGCUCUUGUAAUUAAGAGGAUGAGUUAGGGUUCAGUUCUUAUCAUUGUCUGUUAUUUCUUUGAAUCAUUAUCUUAGUUAAUUACAUCAAUUGUUUCUUUUCUUAAUUUAAAGAAUUUUUCUUUUAAAAAAAUAUUUUAAUAUCAAAAUGCGUUAAAUGGUAUUACUGCCGCAAUCCCAGUAACAGGAUUAAUUAAAAAAAUAUUCUUAGGAAGAUAUUUUGUUUAUUGUAAAAUCUUUUUAACCCAAAGGUUUAUUUAAAAUCGUUAUAAUAAAUAAAAAUAUAAAAAAAAAUAAAUAUCAUAAUUUAAAAUUUUAAUAUUAUUUUAAAUAUUAAAAAUACUUUAAUGCUAUUAGUCUACUACACAGGUUAUAUUACUUAUAUUAUAUUUGUAUAAAUUAAAACUUUUAAAGUUAAAUUUUUAAUUACUAUAUUGAAAAGGUAUUAUGGUUAAAAAAAGUUUUGGCAUUUGUUUUUUGAAAAUUUGAGGGUCUGCAUGACAAUUUGUCCAAAUCCUAGAGGUAUAGGUGUCUUUUUUUUUCGAUAAUUCAUUUUACUUUUGAGGGAAUCCGAUGAGAAAUAAGAUAAGAGAAACGUCAAUUUAACGUUCUCUAGGGAAAACCAAGAACUAUUCAAUUUUGUAUUUUUUGUUUGUAAAACAAAAAACAGUUUGCCAAAAAAGGUACCAAACAUAUCCUUAAUGUCUCACAUGAUUUCUUAUUAAGUCCAUACUCGAUAUAUUUAUACAUUUUAGGUAUUUUAGUUAUAAAAGAAGUUGGUCCUCCCUCUGUUUAUAAAAGGUAACUUUAUUUCGAGAUUACCACUAAAGUCUUACAAAGAAUUAGUGUAAUGUUAAGAGAGACUAACACAGUUUUCCAUUACCAUUUUGAAAAUAGAAAGAUAUGGAUGUGUGCAUUUAAUGGUGCGUUUACUUGCCGGAUUGGGGAAUCAGAAUCUGGAAUCAGAAUGAUUGAUGGUGUUUACUUCACAAAUAUGGAGCAGGAAUCGGAAUUGGAAUGGUGGGGCCCACCACUAUUUGGGAAUGGGAGAUUGAUUCCCAUGGGGGAAGGUGGGAAUGAGUCUCUCAUUCCCUGGAUUGACCAUUUUGCCCUCCCUCAAAAUUAAAAAUGCCUACUUUGUCCUCUUUUAUAAUUAAUUAAUAUAAUAUUAUAAUUAAUUAAUUAAUAUAUAAAUAUUUUAUUAACUAUAAUUAUUAAAAAUUAUAGUUCUUGAAUAAAUAAUCACAAUAAUUAAUUUAUUAUUAUUAUUGUUAAUGAAUUAAUAUAAUUAUUACUAUUAAUUAAUAUAUUAAUAUAUUAUUAACAAUAAUAUAUUAAUAAUUAUUGUUCGUGAAUAAAUAAUCACAAUAAUUAAUAUAUUAUUAUUGAAAUUAAUUAAUUAAUAUACUAUUAUAAUAAUUAUUAUAAUUAAUUCAUAUAUUAUUAUUAAUUAAUUAAUAAAAUUAAAAUUAUUAAUUAAAUAAAUAAUAUAAUUAUUACUACUAAUUAAUAUAUUAAUAUAUUAUUAAAAAUAAUUAUUAAUAAUUAUAAUUUUUGAAUAAAUAAUCACAAUAAUUAAUAUAUUAUUUUAAUUAAGUAAUUAAUAUUAAUAUUAUUAGUUAAUAUAUUUUUAUAAUAAUUUUUGAUAUAGUUAUUAUAAUUAAUUAAAAUUUUUUACAAUUAAUUAAUAUAUUAGUUAAUAAUAAUUAUGACAAUAAUUCAUUAAGUACUUUUUAGUAAUUUGUUACAAUCUAAUUCAUUCCGAUUCCGAUUUCAAGACAAAGUAAACACAUUAAUGGCAAUCUAGCUCAUUCCGAUUUCGAUUCUUACAGUUCAAGUAAACAACUUAUUUUGAUUCCCAUUACCUAUUCCCAUUCCAGCCCAUUCUCAUUUCUGCCCAUUUCAAUUCCAGCUCAUUCCGAUUCCAGUUUAGUAAACGCAGCAUAAGAGUUAUCAUGAAAAUCAUACAAUUUAAUUUCCUGAAAUAUAUAUUUUAUUCACAUGUGCCAAAAGAAUAAAUAGAUAGAAAGUAAAUUUACAAUCCUCACUCCCUCAUAAUUGUUAAAGUGAAUAUGCAUUACAACUGUGAACUGUCACUACUUUAGCCCUUUAUUUGUUUUUUCAAUUAUAGUGUGAUGGAGACAGUGAACAUUAAGGAUAAAGUGCUCUGCUGAAAGCCAAACUUCCUUUGGCUAAUUAAUUUAGAAGUAAAGCAGAGAAUAAAGUCCUUGAUGCCUUCUGAAAUUAGAAAUACAUUUUAUAUGCUUUAAUUAUGAUUAUUUGGUAGACUAUUGACCAAAAGACAUGUUAAAGUAUAAAACAGAGCGAUUAAAGAAAAAAAAAAGGAGCGUUUGUGACGUAGAAUAACAAUUUGUAAGCAAAGUCCUAAUUUGAGUUGUCAAAAAGCAAACAUAACAGAGAAGGUAAGAGAGAUGCAAAAACAGAAAACUAUUAGCUUAUCUUGAUUUUCCCACUAUAUUCAUUUUCGAUGCUUUUCAAACGAGAUUCUUUUAAUCCUUCUGGCGUCUGCAGCCCCUGCUCUUCUUAUAAAUCUCCUUCCCACAUCUGCACUACGAACAAGUUGACUAAAAUUAAAUAAUGUUGGAGACGAGGGGUGAGCCGUCAACUUAUUAAAAAAAACUCAUGUAUAAUAUUAUCAAUAAUAUAAAAUAUAUAAUAAUUAUUAUAAAGAAUCAUAAAUUAGAAAAAUUAAUUAUUUUACAAUUUAUUUCUUAAGUAAGAUAAAUCUCGUAAUAAGUUAAGUUUAAUGUAAAAAAUAUUUUCAAUUUAUAAUCAUUUAAGAAGUCAUUUAACAAUAAAAUCUUUUUUUUGAUCAGGUGGCCAUGCCAUAGAGUAUCAUCUAUAUUCGUGGUGAUAUUAUUAUUACUCAAUAUCCUCAAAAGACACUAUUUAACAUUUAGAGAAAAUUUCUGCCUUUUAAAAAGAACAUGUAUGCAAUAGCUAGCCACACUUUAUUUUACCACGACAAAAUUGAUAGUGAUUAAAUCAAUUUUCUCAAUUAAAGAAAUUUUUUUUAAAUUGAUUUAAUGCACAAAUAUGAUGAGUUUUUGCAAAAAUUAGUUUUGGAAAAUAUAGUGAGAGAGAAUGGUGACGAUUAUUUUUCAGAUGUGCAAAUAGCCUAAACAUAAUCUCUAAUACCAAUAUCCUUGUGCAUCUUAACACCUUUCAUGAUAUUCUUUCAUUCAUAACCAUUUGUUCAAUAUUUGAAUUUGAUUAUUAAAUUAUGUUCAAUAAUGUUAGAGACCCCAACAAUUGGGUACCAACUUAAAUCCCAAUGCUAUGUGUCAAUGUAACAUAGCAAAAUCCCAUUAACAAAUGUUGUGUCAUUUAUCAUUAUUGAAUGAAUAAUUCGUUAAUUUAUUGAUAAAUGAAAAUUUAUUAAUUUAAAGAGAGAUUUUUUUUUUUGGUUUUAAGAAGAGUUUUGUUGGUACAUGUACAUACUUAUAAAGGAAAAACUUGUAAUUAUACUAUAUCUUUCUUUCUUUGUUCAGUUUGGUGGGAUAUUGUGAUAAAUCAUUGGAUUAAAAUGCAUUUCUAAAUUGAAACUUGUUAAAAUCUAAUUUAUUUGGGAAACGCAUAUUAUUUGUCAGUCGUACUUCUCAACUUAGCAAGUUAUUUCUAACUUGUCGGUCUCUAUUGGUUCUCUUAAAACUAAUAGUCUCGUAUCUCCCGCAUUUGAUAUCUUGCCAUUACUGUUGGCAUUAACAUGUUACCUGAGAUUGGGAUUCAUUAAAAUCCUCAAUGUAAUCGGUGGAACGAAUGGAUUUCUUCUGUUCACCAAUCCACCAAAAUUUCUGUAAUUAAAUUCAAAAGUCAAGAUCUAUGCUUAUAAUCUAUUCAACAGCUAAUAUUCUAUUUUAUAUUUACUUAAAUAUGAAGAGCUAUGCUUGUAGUUAACUUCAAAUGUGAUCGAAGCAGCCUUACAUCUAUAUAUUACUUAUGCCCAACCUUUUUUUUUGACUUCAUAUACAUUCUUUUCAUGUUAUUUACUCUUUUUUCCCCCUCUCUGACAAUUGAGGUAGGGGGUCAAACUUGAAAGUAUCUUAAAAUCAGACAAUAAUUUUUUUUUUUUAAAGAUAGCUACUAAUAUGCUCUAUUAGACAAUGAUAAGUAAUAACCUAGUUGUUUGCAUUAGAAAUGAUAUUUUUUGUGGUGCUGAUAAAGAGGUUGAUUAUGAUUCAACAAUUUAAAAUAUGAAAACAUGUGGAAGACGGCCGCAAUUAAAUUGAUUGUAUGAAAAUAUUUCAAUGAAAUUUUAAAAGUUUAGUACUUGUUAUCUUAUCGAGAGUUUUUUUAAAUUAUAUUACUACUUGAACUUGACUGCUUUUGUAUUGAAUUCCUACCGUUGCCAUUGCUUCUACUCAAAAGCCAUUUAAGUUUGUGUAAGCUACCUAUAGUUUGAACAACAAUUUACUCAUGAAUUGUUGUUCAUAUUAGCAAUUUGAUUGAAAGUGCGGCUGCACUAAUUUUCUAGAUGAAUUUUUUCCUACAUGCUUGUUCUCGUAUGACCCAAAAUCCUACUACAUCAGUUGUAUUAGAAAUUAAUCAACUGGGUUACAAUUAUGCAUCCCCACCAAUAUUUAAGCAAUUUAAUUACAGAAAUAUUUCUUGAGGAAAGAAACUCAUAUCGCCACUAGGCUUGUAAUGAGGCUCAUUUUUAUGAAUCUGGAUGGCAUUAGAUAUCUCUACGAAUAUUGGUGGGAGUAGAUCGCAGAUCUCUGGGCUAUACUACAAAGUUUAUGUACGUUGACUCUCAAUAAAUACAAACGAUUCUCUGAUAUGAUUCAAACAUCAGUGCAUGCAUCAUUUUAAUGAGAAAGAAUAUUCUAAGAACGAAAUUGAAGGUGCAAUCAGCAGCUAAAAUGAAGCCAGAAAUGUACAUGCAUGAGGAAUUUUUCCUAGAAGAUUGAUAUUUCUUUGACUAGCAAACCAUACAAGUCCAAAGCUAGCCAAACCAUACCUGCAAGGUGGGGGUUUAAAUGGAAUACUUCUAAGCAUAAAACAUUGAUUAAAACAGAAUACACACAUACAUACCAGCAAAUUCAAAAUAGCAAGAGGAGUGCAAAAGUUCAAGUUUGUAGACAACAUUGCAACCAUGGCAAGUUUAUAGCAAAUCCUCGAAAUCUGCUAAAUAAAACAAUGCCCUGUCUCAUGAAUCAAUGCUUAAUUAAAAUUGAAACUGAAAGUCUGGCUGACGUUGUUUCCCUCUCCAAUUUUGCCUACAUAAGUGAAAAUAAGAAUAAUAAAUGAAAAUCUGCUUUUACAGUUCUUAUUAGAUAGAUAUAAAUGGAUCUUUCUUUGUUUCUCUGCUGUAUUUUGUGGCUAUCCCACUCUGUUUUGCCAGUCAAGCUGAGUCUAUGUUGAGACAUAAUUUUGACAUCAGAAGCAAUCUCAAUUAGUUUGGCACUUUUAUGACCUCCUUAAAGGUUUUACAAUAAACAUAAAUCUACUGAGAAAGUGGGAAAAAAAAGAAAAUGCAUAUAAAAAUAUGAGUUAUCAGAUAAGAUUAAAACUCACCCAAUUCAAUCCAUCAGAUUCCGUAAGGAUAUAACUGGAUGUCAUACCGCCACUCCAUAUCCUUGAAAGUCCGUAGUGUUUGUCUCAACUCUGUCUGAGGCCAAUGUAAAUUCAAUUUGCGCAAGCUCUUUAUGCACCACAGCUCUUCUGGAAGCUUUCUCAAGUAAGCACAUGGGUUGACGAUUAAGCUUUCAAGUUUCGGCAUUGCUCCAGCCCCCAUCGUCCACUCAUCUAGCCAAUACAUUGAUUUCAGGUGCAAAACCUUAAGUUCGGGAAAGCUACUCAAGCCAACACAAGCAAGCUUUCUUCCUAAAUACGAGUUCUGCUUCAGUUUCAGCACUCGAAGGCGUGGAAGAUUUUCCAGAAUUGGCAUGGGAUCCUCCAUUAGCUCAGUAUUUGAUAAGCUCAGUUGGAUCAGACUUGGGGGAAAUUGGUAUUCAGACAGGACCAUCCGUGAGGGCUUGCUCUCAUUCACCAGCUUCAAGCAUUCAAGUUUGUGGACUUCGCAAAGGCUUUUGGAAACCCCAGAUUGAUAGUAACUCAAAUCUCCAGAUAUCCGAAGAGUCUGAACACUAGGUAGUCUGCCCAAUAUUUCAGGAGUACAACUACUAGGGUUUAAAGCUGAUAUAAAAAUGAGUUUUUUCAGAGAGCUAGAAUAAUUUUUUGGAGGUGCGGGUAGAGUGAUAGAACCAAAGUUUAGAUGUAUGAGUUUUUGCAUCAUCCAAAUAUCCUCUGGUGACUGAUCUAUGUAGCUAGAUGGCAUUUCUAGUGUUUCAAGGUUUAAAAGGGUGCAUAGCAGUGGAGGAAGGCAUUUGAGCGAAGGGAUAUUCAUUUUCAAAUACUUCAAAAGAUAUAAAUUUUCUAAUCCAGGUGGAAAUUGGUCGAGAACUGCAGAACCGAAGUUCAGUACCCGAAGGUGUUUGAACUUUUUACAAAAAUUCUCGCAAUCUAUCACAGCGAGAUGAUCGCCUUCUGAACUUUGAUUGAUAAAAGAUUGGAGAUAGAUCUCACCAUGUUCUAAAGAAAUGAACUCAGUCAGAUGCUCCAAAAUGAUGUACCGUUUAACAUUUGCAAAUGGUUCCGCUUCCCUGUCAGGCAUCCAGAGAAAUUUCGUCUUGUCUGCCAUCAAACCCAAUGAAGUAUAUACAAAACUUGGAACAUAGCAAGCUGUAAUUGUGCCGCCGGCUCUUCUCUUACUCACAUGAAUGAAGCCGCGAUGGAUUAGCUCUUUUAAGUAAUGUUCGGCAGUUUCCUCACCGUUGUAUGGAAUAAAGCCUUCAGCUAUCCACAACUGACAUAAUUGCCUGGUAGAUAUCUCAAUGCCUGGACGGAAGACACACAAAUAAAGGCAGCAGACUUUCAAGUGAAAAGGUAACUCCAACACAGAACAAAUUCGACUCAAGAGUGUCAAAACCACUUUUUCAUCCAUAUAAUUUACUAAUGGGGCACUUCCAUAGUGUAGGAUGAAAAAUUUCCAGGCUUCAUGCUUUAAUCUGAUCAAUGGUCCUCCAACAGGCACUGAAUAAAGCGGAAUGAUCCCUCCAUGCUCCAAUUCAAAAAAGGUAAGGAGGAAUGGAUCAGUGACCAAUAUCAAUACUCUGCUUCCAUUCUGCUUAUCAGGAAGAACUUCUUCAAGAUCAUCCCAUAUGUCACUGUCAUUGAAGACAUCAUCAAGCACAAUAAAGUACUUCUUGUUUGUCAGGUAAUCUCGAAGAAUAGAUUUCUUCAAGUGAUAAUCUUCACCGAUAAUUACCCUAGCCCGAGAUGGAGGCAUUAAAGAAUUGAUUAUGUCAUCCAAUAUCUUGCCAAAAUAGUAGCCUAUAGAAACCCUUACCCAAGCAAGACAGUCAAAAUAGAACUUGACAUGAUUAUUAUUGUAAAUAUCUGCAGCAAAAACAGUCUUAUGGAAGCCAUUGCUGUCGAGAAUUGCAAUCACUGAAAGCCCAGAUGGUCCCUCAAUCAAUAGAUCAAACAACUCCUCUCUGCCCCUUUCAAAUUCACUGACAUCAAGCCAGUGUUGUCCCUUACUCAAUAGGCGAAUGAUUUUGUUACUUUGUUCAGUGAUAUCAAAACCAUUGUCGCUGGGUGGAAGUUGUUGCAUUCGAUCUCUAAUAUCAAUGAUUUUACUGUGGAGUCCAACAAGAAGAGCCAUAUUAGUACUGCUUUCACUUUCGUUUUCACUGUUUUGCUGCUGCAUGAUGUUGAUGAAGAAUGUGUCAAUCGCUUCAUCAGAUUCAUGGACAAAGUGAUUGAUGUCGUCCAGAAUUUCCAAAAUGUCCCGUCUUUUUACGUCUUCAUCAGUGUCUUCUAAGUCUAACAGUUGCAGACAAAGCCAAGCCAUUUCAGCUCCAUUGAGUUGUUCUCUAAUGAUGCGUCGAAUCACACGACGAGUCAUGUCACCUUCAUAGUUCCCGAGCAGAGUAGUAAUAAUUUCAGUCUCCGUAAAAAGGUUUUGAAAAAGCGGGGCUAAGUUUGUUGAAUCAGGCAACGUUAACGUGCCUUCUUCACCUGCUACCACCCUUUUCAACCUCUCACAAAAUAGUCGGAGGUGGACGUCCAGCAUAUCUCCUUCUCUCUGUGGCACCCAGAGGUAUUGUUAUUUGCUCCAAGAAAUGUUAAAAGGAUUGGUCCUAUCUCAAAGAGGUUAGUGGUGUAAAGUUAAACACAAUGGAAGAAUUUGAAAGGAAUAUACCAAGAAACUGUGUAAGUGGCUAAAUUCCACAAAUAUGGCAUUGUUGCUCAUUUUUAACUCAAAAAAAUACACGUUAAUUUAGCGAAAAGUCCAAGACACGUGCUUUUUGAAAAGAACAGGUAUCCCAAUAGGUAUCCAACCUUUAUCUUAAUCAAUUACUACCAUGACAUACUUGAUGGUGCUUAAAUCAAUUUUUCUUUUCUUAAUGUAAAGAUUUUAUUUUUUUAAAACAGAUUUUAAUAUCAAGAAAAAAUAUCACUCGUAUAUCCUUAAAUGACACUUGUAUCAAACGUACUACAACACUUUUAACAUGUAUCACUUGUAUACCUUAAGUUGACAAAUUGUGUCUACCAUCCACCAAACCGUUAGUUGCCGUUUGCAAGCGCUGACAUCAUAAAGGUAAUCUAGUCUUUUCAAAUGGAAGAAACUUUGAUUAAAAAAACGACAUGUCAUCCCAUUUACCUCGUAAAAAAUGACAUAUCAUAUGAUAUAUAUUGACAAAAAAUGACAUGUCAUCCCAUUUAUCGGAAGAUGAUGUCAUCUAUGUGAAACAACGUUGUUUCAACGGGACUAAAAAAAAAAUGAUACUCCACAACCGAAUCGACUCCUCCAAACUUUAACUUGAAUAUUUGAAGAUCUACUCAUCCAAGCUCCAACUGGAAUUUUUUAUGGUAUAAUAUGUUGUUAAUAAUUUUUUAUGGUAUAAUAUGGAUUAUUUUUUAUGGAUAAUUGUUAAUAAUACGUACCAUUAAUAAUUCAUUUUUUAAUAAAAAAUGUAUUGUUAAUAAAAAAUAAAAAAUAUAUUGAAAAUUUACGUUAAUUUUUUGGGCAAAUAUGUAUUUUUACCUUAUUUUGAGUUUCAAGGGCGAAAUAGUCAAUUUGUCAUAAUUCUGUUAACUUUCUAAUGGUAGCUAACAGUUUGGUGGACAGCAGACACAUUUUGUCAACUUAGGGUGUACGAGUAAUACAUGUUAAAAGUGCUGCAAUACGUUUGAUACAAGUGUCAUUUAAAGGUAUAUGAGUGAUACAUGUUAAAAGAGUUGUAGUACAUUUGAUACAAGUGUCAUUUAAGGGGAUAUAAGUGAUAUUUUCCCUAAUAUCAAAUUGCCUUCGAUGUUUUUACAGCUACAAGCUCAGUAACAGGAUUAAUUAAAAAGUUUAGAAUUGUUGGGCGUGCAAAGAGUAGUUUUAAACACCAGAAAGCAAAGGUUGUUAUUGACAUAAUUUUAUUUUUGUUUUCGAGGGAAUUUGUUUUUUUUGUUGACAAGAAAAUAGUAUUAUAUUUUACAAUCUAUUAUACAUAUUUUAUCAUAUUAAAGUAAUUUUAAUAUUAAAUGGAAACAUUAAAUUUAAAUUAAUUAAUUAAAAAUUGAAUUAUUUUGAAUAUUAUGUAAAAAAUUAUUUUAAUAUCAUUAAUAAGGAGAUAUUUUGUUAAUUGUAAAAUAUUUUUAACCCAAAUAUAUAUUAAAUUUUUUAUAAUAAAUACAAAUACAAAUAUAAAAAUAAAAUAAAUAUCAUAGUUUAAAAUUUUAAUGUUAUUUUAAAUAUUAAAAAUAAUUUAAUGCUAUUAGUCUAUUACACAGGUUAUAUUAUAUUUGCAUUAAUUAAAAGUUUUAAAGUCAAUUUUCCAGUUUCUAUAUUCAAAGGUAUAAUGGUUAAAAGAAAGUUCUUGGUGUUUCUUUUUAAAAAUUUGAGGGUCUUAAUGAUAAUUUUUCUAAAUCGUAAGGGUAUAGGUGUCUUUUUUUCCGAUAAUUUAUUUCACGGGUAUCCAAUAAGAAACAUGGUAAGAGAACGUCAAUUACUUAUCAUUUUCUAUUUUUUCUAUGAGUCAUUUAUUUUGAGCAUUAGUGAUCUUAUCUGGACUACUCCAACUAUUGAUGCAACUCCAGUGGCUGCAUCCACAGUUAAAUAUAUGAUAGUGUUAGCUCUUAUUUGAGAAUUUAGAGGGAUCUUUCUUUGUUUCUCUGUUGCAAUGUGCUAGUAUAAAUUUCUUUACCUUAAAAUUUAUAUAGUCUUGCAGUUAAAGAAUUCACUGAGGCAUUGUUGAUUCAAUUUCAGUGAAGCAAUUGUGGGUGAAAGAUAAAUGAAGGAAAAGAGAACAGAGCUGAAGUGCUAAAUUGGCUAUUGAAGAAGGAUGUCACAUGAUCACAAUCACAUUGAUGCACAACUCUCUGGAGGCAAAGUUUGUCUAUAUGUACUCUGAAUUCAGCCAAGCCAUACAUGCAUGAACAAAAAUUAAACCGUAGUUCUAAUCACAACAGUAAUUGAAGCUACAAAAGCCAGCAAAUCUGAACGAAGACUUAAAAGAAAGAUCUUAUUCAAGUUUGUCCCCAAAAGACAGCUGAAAUGAAAAAUAUUGACUGUUGAAUGGGCCAAUGCUGAAUUACAUUUCAAAUGGAAAGCUUGGCAGCAGUUACAAUGUUUCCCCCUCUGAUUUUCCUCCAAAACAAAUUCAGUUGUAAACAAUAACCGAAGUAGUAAUAAUUUAUUCAUCAAAGAAAAUGCCCCCAAGUUUUCAAUUAAAAAAUCCUCUUGUCCAAACUAAAAGAACUCAUAUCUCUAAAAUUUAUUUGCAAAAUGUUGGAAAUGAGGAGUGAUCCGUUAACUCUGUAAAUAAACUCAUGCAUAAUGUUAACAAUAAUGAUAAAUUACAUAAUAAUUAUUAUAGAGAAUCAUAAAUUGGAAACGCUAAUCAUUCUACUAUUAUAUAAGUAAGAUAAAUAUCAUAAUAAGUUAAGUUAUAAUGUAAUAAAUAUUUGCAAUAUAUAAUUAUUUAAGAAGUCAUUUAACAAUAAAAUAUUUUUUUAUCCAGUUGAUCAUAUAGCGUUAUCUAAACUCUUGACAAUAUUAUUAUUACUCACUUUUCUCAAAAAAACAUGAUUAACUUUUAGAGAAAGUCAUGUCUUUGAGAAAGAAUAUGUAUACAAGCUAUCCAUACUUUAUCUUACUGUGACAAAAUUGAUGGUGAUUAAUUGUAUUUUUUAAAAUAGAUUUAACGCACAAAUAAGAUGACUUUUGGCAAAAAUUAUUUUCGGAAGAUAUAGUGAUAGAAAAUAGUGAUGAUAAUUAUUGUUUAAAUGUGUAAAUAGCCUAAGCAUAGCCCGUAAUACCAAUAUUCAUUUGCACCUUGAAAGAAACUUAGUUCUAUAUUGUUUGGCAAGCAAGAAAGUAAAGGAAAAUGAAAGAGAACUCUAAAGAACCUUUUUUAUUAUACUCAGAUAUCUCAACUUAAUGAAUACUGAUUGACAUUUAUACUAAGCUACAAUCUUCACUACACACACGAGUUUGUAACAUCACAUAACCAUUUGCUGCAUAACUAACUUUACACAUCAGCUCAACCAGCUAACUAACUUUGACAGGUCAGCUCAGUGAGUUGAUCUGCUACAACCAGCUACACAGCAACAGCAUGCUCUGCUCCAGCUAUACAGCAACAUCAUGCUCUGUUCCAGCUUUAUCCGCUCUGCUUUGCUCUGCUCCAGCUUUGACAGGUCAGCUCAGUGAGUUGAUCUGCUACAACCAGCUACACAGCAACAACAUGCUCUGCUCCAGCUAUACAGCAACAUCAUGCUCUGCUCCAGCUUUAUCCAAUUCACUAACAUCCCCCCUCAAGCUAAAAUGUUUAGGAUGAACAUUCAGCUUGCUUCUGAAGUAACUGAAUUGUUUGAAAGUAAGAGCCUUAGUUAACACAUCUGCUGUUUGAUCUGGACUAGGCACAUAGCAUACUGCAACCUCUUUAGCAGUGACCUUAUCUCGGAUAAAAUGUAUAUCCAAUUCAACAUGCUUAGUCUUAGCAUGAUAAACUGGAUUAUAAGCUAAAGCAAUUGCUCCUUGAUUAUCACACCACAUUAUAGGAGUGGAGCUUAAUGUGAUACUAAGUUCACCAAGUAAGGAUUUAAUCCAGGUAACCUCUGAAGCAGCAUGGGCAAGAGAUCUAUACUCAGCUUCUGUGCUGGAUCUGGAAACAACAACUUGUUUCUUUGACGACCAGGAAACAAGAUUAGGACCUAGAUAAACAGCAAAGCCAGCCACUGACUUCCUAUCAUCAUGAUCACAAGCCCAAUCAGAAUCUGAAAAACAAUGUAAUUGCAGAGCUCCUUGAUUGUAGAAAUGCAGCCCCAGAUGGAUAGUGCCUUUUAAGUACCUCAAUAACCUUUUACAUGCUUCCCAAUGUUGAGUUCUAGGACUGGAAAGGAACUGACUUAACUUGUUUACAGAGAAGGCAAUGUCAGGUCUGGUAAGAGUAACAUAUUGAAGAGCUCCUAUAACACUUCGAUAUUGAGAAACAUUUUCAAGUGGCUCUCCUGAGUCUUUGGUGAGAUAAAAGCCUGUAGACAUUGGAGUUGGCACAGGACUGCAGUCUGUCAUGCCAUGUUUAUCCAGAAUAUUAGCAAUGUACUUUGCUUGUGUCAAGGAAACCCCUUGUGAAGAUUUGCUGACUUCAAUCCCCAGAAAAUAGUGAAGUUCCCCCAGGUCUUUUAAAGCAAAAGCUUGAUGCAUAUGCUGGAUAACUUGUUGAAUUAUGGAUGGACUGGAACCAGUGAUGAUAAUAUCAUCAACAUAGACCAAAACAACAGUUAGAUGACCACUGUUCCAGGCAUAAAAGAGAGAGUUAUCAGACCUGGAAUGCUGAAAAUGCCACUUGGAGAUCAUUGCAUCCUUAAACCUAUCAAACCAGGCUCUAGGAGCUUGUUUUAAGCCAUACAAAGCCUUAUUUAGCUUGCAGAUAUGAUUAGGUUUAGUUGAAUCAACAAAACCUUGAGGUUGAGCCAUGUACACAUCUUCAAUUAAAAUGCCAUUUAGAAAGGCAUUGUUAACAUCCACCUGCCUUACAACCCAGUGACUCAAUACUGCUAAGCUAAGAAUAACUCUAACAGUGGAGGACUUAACCACUGGACUGAAGGUUUCUGUGUAGUCAAUCCCAUGUGUCUGAUGAAACCCUUUAGCCACAAGCCUGGCUUUAUACCUUGAAACUGAACCAUCUGAGUUAUACUUUACUCGAAAUACCCACUUGUUGCCAACUAUCUUCACUGGAGUAGCAGGUAAGACUAAAUCCCAGGUGUGAUUGGUUUUAAGAGCUAGAUACUCUUCUUGCAUAGCUUUAUACCACAUAGGAUCAGAAAGUGCUUUGGAAACAGAGGUUGGUUCUGACUUCUGAGCUAGUAAAGCUGACAAGUAGAUCUUGGGCUUGAAGAUACCUGCUUUUGACCUGGUUAUCAUUGGAUGACCAGAUGAUGCAGGUUGUGACAAGGUAUGUGGAGGUGAAUGAUGGGAUGGUGAAGAAGGAGAAGAAGAAGUGGAAUUGAAAUUAUCAGAAAAGUAAACUGGAGUAGAAUUUGGGAAGGAAAUAGAAGCAUGUGACUGAGAAUCAUUAAGAAGAUAUUCUGAUGAUGCUGCUAAAGGUGCUUGUAACUGAGUAACAAAAGGAGUAGAAGAAUUAAAAGAAGACUCAGAAUGAGUUGAUGACUGACAGUUUGAAGAAACUGAAGAAAAAUCUGUUCCUGACUCAUAAGGAAAAGAACGUUCAUAAAAGGUUACAUGAUUUGAAAUAUAGACCCUCCCAGAAGAGUGAAGACACUGAUAUCCCUUGUGUUGUGAACUGUAGCCAAUGAAUAUACAUCUAGCUGUUCUGAAAUCAAACUUAUGUCUAUUGUAUGGUCUGAGUGUUGGAUAACAAGCACAGCCGAAAAUUUUAAGUGUUGAAUAAUCUGGUUGGGAAUGAAACAACUUUUGAAAAGGAGAAAUGCUGUUUAGAACUGGAGUUGGAAGUCUGUUUAUCAAGUAGACAGCUGUAUGGAAUGCAUUCCACCAAAAUUUGAGUGGUAAAUGUGCUUGAGCUAAUAAAGUCAGUCCUACAUCAACUAUGUGUCUAUGUUUCCUCUCAAUUUUUCCAUUUUGAUGAUGAAUGUGGGGGCAAGGAUGUCGAAAAUGGAUGCCAGAAGUGGUGAGUAAUGAUGAAAAUGUUCUGAACUCCCCUCCCCAGUCAGUUUGGACAGUUUUGAUGGAAAGUUGAAGAUGCUUCUCAAUGAAUAUUUUGAAAUUGGUAAAAACUUCAAGAGCAUCAGAUUUUGCUGAUAAGGGAAAAAUCCAGGUAAACCUACUGUAAUCAUCUAGGAUUGACAAGUAGUAAUUAUAUCCUUGGGUAGAACAAACAUGAGAAGGGCCCCAAAGAUCUGCAUAUAUCAGUUGUAAAGGUGCUGAAGUUUUUGUUUCUACUGAAUCAAAAUGCAGCAUGUGAUUUUUACCAUAUUGGCAUGCUGAACAAAAUUUCAAACUGUCAACUUUAUUAAAAGCAGUAGAGUUGUUACAAGCUUUGAGAAUGGUUUUGAGAGUAUAAGAUGCUGGGUGUCAUAAUCUUCUAUGAAGAAGAUUUACAUCAAUAGAACCCUUUACAACAACUGACAGACAUGACUUUUUAUUCAACUCAUAAGAGCUAACAGUAGAGAGCUGAGCAGAAUUAAAAACAGGAGAACAAGCAAAAAGAGACUGAAUUUUGUUUUGACCAACUGAACUGAGAAAGACUGAAUGAACAGCAGCAUGAGAAGAGACUUUAUACAAGCUGUUGUGCAAAUUUUAAUGUACUCGCAAGCGCACGAAUCUAUUAUAGUAUAGAUCAAUGGUGACGAGUGUCGAUCCCACGAGGAGGUAGAUUUUAAUUGUGUAUAGAAUUAAUUUUGCAAAUGGUUGAUUGGAUUUGUAGUGGAAAUGAUUAGGAAUAUGCUAAAACUUAAAUUAAAAUGGCGAGAAUAAAUUCUAAAAUUGGAAUUGCAAUGGCGAGAAUAAAUUGAAGAGAAAUGUAUUGAAAUGACGUACUUGGGUAUCUGGAUCCGUAUCAACAUGCAUCAUGGGCUAAAUAAUCCGUAUUAAUGCCAAUUAAAUCAUGAGGGGGGAAUCCACACCUCAUGAACCACGCUCUAAUCAAUAUGGUGCUAAGGGCUUAUCGUGCCAAAUAAUAAUAACCUUAUACUAGAGAGCCGGUGUAACCAAGGCGGUAUCUAGACAAGAUCAGUAUUAUUUGUCGACGAUAAGUCAAAUCAUCCACAAAAACUAGAGGGGAAAAGAAAAUAAAUUUACCAAAUAAAGCCCAUGACACAUGUUGAGACUUCACCUUCAACCCAAGCUUGAAAGGAAAUUAGCUACUCAUAAUUGAACUAGGGGCAAAAUGGGAAUUUAUUAAAAUACAAAGAAAAUACAAGAUGGAGAGGGAAUUACAGAAAAUGGAUCCCAAAAAUGGAUUCAGAGAUAUCAAAUUAGGGGGGGAGGCCCAUUUUUUAUAGAUACAUGGAGUAAAUCAUGGCCAUCGGAUUAAAAACAGUUUGGACGCUCAGGAUUGCGCCACGUCAUCAGUCAACAGUCAACGGUUUGACCACGCGGAUGAACAGUAACAUGGUUUGGUUGAAAAUAAUCCUGUGUGAUGCAUACACCGUACGCGAGAUUUUUCGUCCACUGAUAUGCUGCCACGUCACCAUCAACAGUACAUAAGAAUUUUAGUCCAACAGGAUCGUGACACCUCAUCAGUCAAUGCCACAUCAUCGGUCAAUGCCACGUCAUCGAUCCGUCUAUGUGAACAGUGUCGUGAACAGUAACGUAGACAGUACCGUAUACGUGAAUAGUACCGUACAUGUGAAUAGUGCCAUUUUUCCUUUUAUGCUCCUCCUAAGGUUUUCGACCGUCCUGAGUUCAAAAGUGAUGUCCGUUUUGCCGUCUGAUCUCUCCUUUAUUGUGAAAUGACUAUAAUGCCCCUAAAAUACAUAAAAUACUUAAUUAAAAUAACACACACGUAAUUACAUCACAAGAGGGUUAAAUACAUAAAAGUAAGGGUUGUUAGUAAGACUUGAAACGUAAAAUGACGGUUUUCUCCUUUAUAAAUAUGCAUUUUCUAACACUCAACACAAGCCACCUUUAGCAACACCUUCAAGUAAAAUUUUCCCUGUGUUCCUGGCCUUUAUAAAACACAAAUUACCAAGAAAUUCAACAGUAACUGGAUUGUCAGCCAACAAUUUUGAGAUGCUAAGCAAAUUCUUAGUAAUAAAAGGGACAUGAAGAACAUGGUUAAGAAAUAAGGAUUGAGAAGCUGAAGUAUUUAGCACAACUGACCCUACAUGUGUAAUAGCUAAUGCAUUUCCAUCUCCAACAAAUAACCUUUCAGUACCAGUGUAAACUUUUGAAUCCAGAAGCUUACCUAGAUCAUUGGUAAUAUGAUUUGUUGCUCCACUAUCAAUAUACCAGGAAGGAUCUUCAAUGUGUUCAGGUGGGAGUGAAGAAGACAUAGCAGAGGAGGAGGAAGCACUUGACUGUUCCAGAUUAUUAUGUCCUAGACAGAAACAAAAUUAGAUGAUCCAGGGUUGAAUGAGAAAUAAGCAGAUGGGUUGCUUUCUGGAUAUACUAUAUUUCCUUGAUAGCCAAAACCCCUGGGGGCAUUACCAAAACCAACAUUUUGUCCAAAACCAGCAUUUGAACCAAAACCUCCAAAACCUCUUCCACUAUUACCAUUAAAGGCUCUUCCUCGACCAUAUUGCCCUUGAUUAAAACCUCUGCCACCAUUCAUAUUACCUCUACCAUGGUUCCUCUGUGGAACAAAAGAUGAGUUGUACCUAUUUCUGCAUUUAUAGGCUGCAUGACCAGGUAUGAAGCAAAUUUGGCAAACAACUUCAGAGAAAUUACUAUUAUUAUUAAACUGACCAUAUCCAUAUCCAGAAUUAUUACCACCUCCAGAGUUAUUUCCAUACUGUUUCUGAAAAUUUCCAUUAUUCUUUCCAGCAUAUGAGUUCUUCUGAACAAUAUUUGCUGUCAUGUUAUGCAUCACAUCACCAGCAAUUUUUCCUUUCUUUUGCUCAACUCUAUUUUCAUGAUUCAACAGCAAAGAAUAUAGUUCAUCUAAUGUUAUCUUUUCACCUCGAGCUAACACAGCAGUGACUAAAGAUUCAUAAUCUGAUGAAUCAAGACCAGUUAAUACAUGCAUCACAAGAUCAUUUAACUCAACAGGUUUUCCAGCUAGAGCUAAAGUAUCAGCUAUACGUUUUACUUUUACAAAGUAAUCAGACAUAUGCAUUGCACCUUUCUUAAUAGUUUGAAUCUGCAUUCUAAGUGUUUGAAUUCUAGCUUGUGAUUGAGAGAUAAACAUACUAGCAAGAGUCUCCCAAAGCUGUUUUGAGGUUGUUGAGUCAAUCACAGUAGCAAGCAGAUUUUGUUGUAUCAAUGACAUCAUCCAACUCAGCAGAAGUUGAUCAGCCUUCAUCCAAGCUACGAACUCUGGAUUAACAGAUCUGGAUCCAGAUUCAGUAACAGAUCUGGAUCCAGAUUCAAUUAAGAUUUCAGCUCCAUUGUUGUUGCCAGAAGAAAGAAACUGCUCAGGACAUUCUCGAUCACCAUUGAUAAAACCUUCCAAACCAUUUCCUUUGAUCGAAGCUAGAAUUUGUGUGCGCCACAAAAUAUAGUUGUUUUGAUCUAGCUUUACAGGCGUAACAAAACUAAAAGAGUUGUUGUUUUGAACUGUAUUUGCCAUUUAUGGCUCUGAUACCAUGAAAGAAACUUAGUUCUAUAUUGUUUGGCAAGCAAGAAAGUAAAGGAAAAUGAAAGAGAACUCUAAAGAACCUUUUUUAUUAUACUCAGAUAUCUCAACUUAAUGAAUAUUGAUUGACAUUUAUACUAAGCUACAAUCUUCACUACACACACGAGUUUGUUACAUCACAUAACCAUUUGCUGCAUAACUAACUUUACACAUCAGCUCAACCAGCUAACUAACUUUGAUAGGUCAGCUCAGUGAGUUGAUCUGCUACAACCAGCUACACAGCAACAGCAUGCUCUGCUCCAGCUAUACAGCAACAUCAUGCUCUGCUCCAGCUUUAUCCGCUCUGCUCUGCUCUGCUCCAGCUUUGACAGGUCAGCUCAGUGAGUUGAUCUGCUACAACCAGCUACACAGCAACAGCAUGCUCUGCUCCAGCUAUACAGCAACAUCAUGCUCUGCUCCGGCUUUAUCCAAUUCACUAACACACCUUCAUUUGUGUUAUCACAUUUCAUGAUAUUCUUUCAUUUAUGACCAUUGUUCAAGAUUUUAAUUUGAUUAUAAACUAAGUUGCAAGGGAGCUUACUUCAGUUUCUAAGCUUUUCAAUCGUGAUUCCUGCAUGCCAAACGUAACUGACCUUAUAAUUGGUCUGUAUAAGAAAUCAAGCCCUUUCAGGAUCGUUUUCUUUUUCUCCCUAUUGUAGUAGUCAACUAAAUAAAGAAUGAACAACUAAACUUGGUCUAUUUCGAGGAAGACUAAGGCUUCCAAUACUAGAUGAACUUUGAAGAAAAUUAAUCCGUUGUUUUUAUUCAUCUUUGGACUAUGAAUUUAUACAAAGACUUUAACAGAAAAUAACAAAGACACAGCUAAAUGAUAGCAAUAAGUGCUGACUUGGUGGACCACUUCUGCAAGUAAAUAAAAACUAAAUAUUUAUUUUGACUAUAACAACAACUACGCUGAUGAAUAGGAUUUCACAGCAGCCACGUGACAACUAAUUUCUCCUUAAUAUUAUUAUUAGUAGAAGUAGAUUUUAAAACUAGUCUUGAUAUAUUUCAAAGUUGUAUUAUCAAUGUAUAUGUGUCUAGAUUGUAACUAUAUUUUAAAAAAUAUAAAAUUUUUAAUUAUUGCACAGUAUAUGUAGCAAAAUAUCUAUAGAAUGAUAUUAUUAGGACUAAGAUUUUUUUUUAUUUUAGAUAAGUUAUUUAUUUAUUAUCGAAUGAAUAAUUUAUUAAUUUACUGAUAAAUGAAUAUUUAUUAAUUUAAAGAGAGAUUUUUUUGGUUUUAACAAGAGUUUGUUUGGUAAAUGUACACACUUAUAAAGAAACAUAAAAAGUGGUUCCUCAAGUCAAUAGUAUUUGCUUCAAUCGCAAUGGUUCAUAAUAAUAUAGCAUAGUUAGGAAAUUUGUAAUUAUAUUAUGGCUCUGUUUGGUAGUAAAACUCAUUUAAGUAGAGUUGUUGUUAAUAGAGCUUUUAUAAAUAAAGCUUUUACUAAAAAAAAUUUAGUUGUUUGCUUGUCAAUGUCCAAAUUGAUAAACUUUUGUUCUUUUGUUAAGAUAUGUUUGUUUUACUUAAUAAUAGCAUCGGCAAGAGUUUUCGAUUGUUGCAACUUGCAAUGCACGCGGUGAGAGAAAAUGAGAAUCUUGUUUAAUUGUCAAUAUAUAAUGACAAACCUAAUCCUUUCAUUAGGAGUAAUUUAAUAAUCGUUUGUUAUAACUGAAUAUGUAUAAAGAAAGGAAAAUUCUAUUCAUAAAUUUCGACUUAUUUUUUGUUUAAAGUAAUUAAUCAUUCAACCAUCUUCAUUUGCCUCUGGCCAAUGCCCUUGUAGAUUAGUUUACUUAAUUAUGAUUAUAUACAUUUUCAUAUAGCAAGUGGCAUUGUAGAUCUAAACUAAGUUGCUAUUUCAAUACCAGCAAAUUCAAAAUAGAAAAGGAGUGCAACUAUUCAACUUUGUAGACAAUAUUGCAACCAUGGCAUAUUUAUAGCAAAUCAUUGAAAUCUGCUAAAGAAAACAAUGCCCUGUCUCAUGAAUCGAUGCUCAAUUAAAAUUUAAAUUGAAAGUCCGGCUGGUGUUGUUUUCCUCUCCAGCGAAAUAAGAAUCAUAAGUGAAAAUAGGCUUUGACAGGUCUUAUUUCUUUGUUUCUCUGCUGCAAUGUGUGGUUAUCCCACUCUGUUUUGCCACUCAAGCUGAGUCUACGUUGAGACAUUAUUUCAGUAUUGAGGUAACAAUAAUUUCGGACUCCGUAAGAAGGUUUUGAAAAAGUGGAGUCACAUUUGUUGAAUCAGGCAACGUCAACGUGCCUUCUUCACCUGCUAACACCCUUUUCAACCUCUCACAAAAUAGUCGGAGGUGGACGUCCAGCAUAUCUCAUUCACAUUUGUUGAAUUUGCAUGGAAUUUGCAAGGAGUAUGCCAAAGAAUUUGCAAGGAAUAUGCCAAGAAUUUGCAAGGAAUAUGCCAAGAAACUGGCCAACCCGCUUAGCUUAAUUCCACAAAUAUGACGUUAUUGCUCAUUUUUCUCUCAAGCACAUAAUACACGUUCUUCGAGACGCGUGCCUUCUGAAAAGGACAGGUAUCCAACCUCAUCUUAAUUACUACCAUGACAUAAUUGAUGGUUGCUUAAAUCAAUUUUUUCUUCUUUUUUUUUUUUAAUUUAAAGAAUUUUCCCUUAAAAAAAAUUUAAUAUCAAAAUGCCUUCAAUGUUAUUACUGCCGAAAGCCAAACUUCCUUUGGGUAAUUAAUUUAGAAGUGAAGCAGAGAAUAAAGUCCUAGAUGCCUUUUGAAAUUAGAAAUACAUUUUAUAUGCUUUAAUUAAUCAAUUCACUGAGGCAUUAUUGAUCCAAUCCCAGUGAAGUAAUUGUGGGUGAAAAAAAAAUAAAGUGCUGAAUUGGCUACUAAGAAAGAGUGUCACUUGAUCACAAUCACAUUGAUCCACAACUCACUCGAGGCAAAUUUCAUCUAUGUGUACUGCAAAUUUAGCCAAACCAUACAUGCAUGAACAAAAUUAGGCCGUAGUCCUCAUCACAACAUUAAUUGAAGCCACAAAAGCCAGCAAAUCCAAACAAAAACUUAAAAGAAAAUGCUUGGUAUAGAGAAGCACGAGAGAAAGACGAGAAAAACAAUGAAGAAAGUGGUAGAGAGAGAGUGAGUGGGUAGAGAGAGAGCAAAAUUCUCUCGUCUUUCUCUCGUGCUUCUCUCUCUCUAUCACUACUCAAACUUAAAAGGAAGAUCUUAUUCAAGUUUGUCCCCAAAAGACAGCUGAAAUGAAAAAUAUUGACUAUUGAGUGGGUCGAUGCUGAAUUACAUUUGACAUGGAAAGCUUGGCUGCAGUUGCGAUGUUCCCCCUUCUGAUUUUCCUCCAAAACAAAUUCAUUUGUAAACAAUAACGGAAGUAGCAACAAUUUAUUCAUUAUAGAAAAUACCUAAAUUUUCAACUAUCAAAUCCUCUUGUCUAAACUAAAAAACUCAUAUCUCUAAAAUCUAUAUACAAAAUGUCAAAAACGGGUGAUCUCUCAAUUCGAUAAAUAAAUUCAUGCAUAAUGUUACUAGUAAUGAUAAAUUACAUAAUAAUUAUUAUAAAGAAUCAUAAAUUGGAAACAUUAAUCAUUUUACAAUAUAUUACAUAAUAAAGAUAAAUUUUAUAACAAGUUAAGUUAGAACAUAUCAAAUAUUUUCAAUAUAUAUAAUUAUUUAAGAAGUCUUUUAACAAUAAUUUUUUUCUUUUUCAGUUAAUCAUGUCAUAUACCGUUAUCUAAAAUGCUGGCGAUAUUAUUAUUCCUCACUUUUCUCAAACAAAAAAGAAAAGAAAAAAGAAACAUGAUUAACGUUUAGAGAAAAGUCACGCCUUUUAAAAACAAUAUGUAUACAAUAGCAAUCCAUACUUUAUAAAAUUGAUGGUGAUUACAAAGAAAAAUUGUUUAAAAUAGAUUUAAUGCACAAAUAUGAUGACUUUUGGCAAAAAUUAGUUUCGGAAAUGUUGGGAUGAAAACCAUAUUAAUUGAGAAUUAAAAUUACUUAAUAAAAUUACUUAACUACCAUCUAAUAGAUGAAAACCAUAUCAAUUGGGACUUAAAUUAAGAUUUAAAUGUUGAAAUAUCUAGCAUUACUCACAAUAACCAAUUCAAAUUAUGACUAUCAUGUAGAAGCAAAUGUUUAUGCUUGGGUUUUUUACUUCUUGAAUUUGAUUGGAAAAAUUUCUGAGAUAGAGAAGUGUUUUGGAUAAUUUUUUCGGGAUUGAAACCACAAAUUGGUAGAGGAAAUUAAUUUUGGACAAAUUUUUCUUAUAUUGUAGGACCUUCUAGUUGGAGUAGUGAUGGCUUUGUCUUCAUUUUUGGUUCCUUUUGUGUCAGCAACCCCUUACUAUUCUCUUGACCCUGAGUUUGAGAUAGAAAUUUAUCAACCUCCAACCCCACAUCCACAAACAAGUUGAUUGAAACAAUUACUCUUUUAAUUAAGAGGACCCAAAUGAUUUAGGUUUCAGUUCUUAUCAUUUGUCUAUUAUUUCUUUGAAACAUUUAUUUUGAGCGUUACUGAUCUUAAUUAUCUGUAUUUCUCCAAUUAUUGAAGAAUUUCAAGUGGCCACUUUUUCUCCUUUUUAUAUAUGUUUAUUUUUUGGAGUGAUCAAACGGGUGAAAAAUCAAGUAUUCGCUGGUCUGUAGUUUAGCCAACGAUGGCUGAUCCACACAGUUGAUUAUAUGAUACUAUUAGCUCUCAAAAUCUUUCUUAUUUGAGAACAUAAAUUGCCCAUUGAAGUUAAACUAUGUUACCCAGCUCCAUGCACAUACAUUAAAUGUUUAGGUAGUUUUACAAAAUGAUAACAGCAUGCCAAAACUUGAUGUUGUCAUAUUCGACAUUUCAAAUUGAAAAAUAUGCAAGCAAUCUUCAGUGACCAUUACGUUUUUAUUGAAUAAUUUAAAUGGCCAGUAAAUCAACAGUCCGUGAGUUUUAAAUCUGUUAUGACUUAAUGUAUCUUUCUGUAUUCGUACACAGGUUAUAUUAUCAUAGUUUAAAAUUUUAAUAUUAUUUUAAAUGUUAUAAAUACUUUAAUGCUAUUAGUCUACUACACAGGUUAUAUUAUUUAUAUUAUAUUUGUAUUAAUUAAAACUUUUAAUGUCAACUUUCUAAUUACUAUAUUGAAAAGGUAUUAUGGUUAAGAAAAAGUUUUGGCAUUUCUUCUAAAAAAUUUGAGGGUAUGCAUGACAACACUACAAGAAAAAUGACCUACCAUGACAGUCCUCUGUGUGACAGUUUUUGGUCUGCAGAGCUACUACGAUAGAUGGAUGAUAAAUUUUUUUUCUAUCAUUCAUUUAUGACAUACUUGUGAUAGAAAUUUCAUCUAUCAAGCACUUAUGAUAGACUGAUGAUAAAUUAUUUGGUUAUCAAGAAGUAAUGACAAGUUUGUGAUAUAAUUUAGAUCAUCAAGUAGCUUUUUUAUUUUGACUUUAUUUCACAAGGUUGACUGAAAAUUUUAAAAUGAAUGAAAAAAAUAAAUAAAGAAUAAACGGUACCGUUUGGAUUAAAAGUUUCUCUUUGGACAAGAAACGACACCGUUUAGAUUGAAGCUAAAUAAAAACAAAACCCUCUUCAGUUUUCACUAAUCGAAUUUUUUUUCCCUAAGUGUCGGCACUCUCACUCACUCUCGUCUCUCGCUCAGUCAUUCUCGUCAAUCUCACACUCACAAAGCCCUUUUCACCCGAAAUCCUUGCAUGGGCACUGAACCACUGCCGCCAUUCUCUUGUAUUUGACUAUCAAUUUUGGCUCUCACCGAGAACUAUAUGGAAUACCCACCAAACGCAUGUGCUUCUACUAUUGAAUUUCAAUACCCUAACUGAGAGCCCACGCUCACCCACUAUUGUAACCGUUCGAUCAAUACAGGUAAAUAAUAUUUCUAGUGUUGUGUUCCAUUUCAAUUUUAAUGUUCUUGUCAAACUCGAACCCUAUAUAUGUAAACUUAAAAACCCUAGAUGUGUUCUUGUCAAAUUCGAACCCUACACACCUAAAUCUUGUAAAACCUAGAUGUUUUCUUGUCAAAUUUGAACCCUGUACGUGUAAAACUUGAAAAUCCUAGGUGUGCUCUUGUUAAAUUUGGAUCUAUUUGAUUGGUCUUCUAUGUUUCUUUAUUUAUGGAAUUUUAAACAUUUAUUUGAUUUUUUUGGAAUUUAAUUAUUAUAGUUUUAUUGUUAAAUUAAUUUGAUUUAGGCUGUAAAGAUCCUUGCCAAUUUAAUCGUGAUGGGUGUUGGGAUAUUGUCUAGGCUGCUUUAUCUUUGGGGUUUUCUAAUAACUAAUUUUUUUUUUUCACUUUUUUGUGGAUGCAUGGAACUAUAUAUAUAGAUAAUUCUCAAAUUCGUUCACUGUGAUGCAAAGUCUUUUUUUUUUCAAUUUCAUUGGUUAAAUUCACUAAUUCGUUGAAAUUAGUGGUGAUUGUGGGCCGAGUCGCAUGUGCAGGAAGUGGUGUCAGGUCUGGGCGCACAUUGAGUCAUGCACUUGGUGGGCAAUUGGUAUUGUUUCUAUUGUGUGUGUUGGAAAUAAUGUCAAUAUCAUCCAACCAAUGUGUGUUUCUAGUGGCUGUUUUUGCACCGAGCAGAUAAUUUAUUAUUACAUCAGAGUUCCCCAUCCCUUGUUUCUCUUUUGGGUAAUGCAGGUAUUGACUAGUUCAUUUCCAUUUUCAUUUGUCUUGAGGGAAUGUUAUCAAUUUUUCGAUCUUACAAGAUAUUGAUUGAUACAUAUGUGUACAAUACAUUAAAAAUCAUUAAACAUUUUGCUCUUAGUUACAAUUUUGAAUGAAUGUCACAUGGAAAGAUCCUCUAAGAAUAUCAAUAGUAUUGUGGUUUCUACUCAAUUUCCACUCUCCGCACUCAUAUGAGCAUGGUUUGAAUCUCAAGCCUUUUGUACCAUUCAAAAAUUUAUACCAAUUAACAACAUAGCUUGCUAGCACCACAAAUUGUUUCAACUCCAAGGCAGAGAAUUCCUAGAAGAUAUAUACAUAUUGAUAUAUACUUGCAUGUAGCCGUAUGCUCACUACCUUCGAAUUGGGGAUAUAGUCACUAUUUUUGUAUUCCCUCCAAGUGUUUGAUAAAAAGCAUGAAUGAAUCUUGGCUCUUUAAUUGUUGCAGGCCAUUUCUACCUAUGAGGAGCAAAGGAAUAUGAAGCUUAUUAUAUUCAUUCACAAAGCAAAGCUGAUAUAAUUCAUGGCAAAGCUUGAUGAGGUGUUGUAUUUAAUCUUGCUCAUGAGAUCAAUUACCUAUCUUGUUGGACUUUAUUCUUGUAAUUAAGGUCCAUCCAAAGUUGAUGGCUUGUUUGUCAGAAAGAUAAUCUGAAGGCUAUGAUUGAUUACUUGCGGGCCGAUGGAAAUGUCUCCAUGAUUGGUUUAUGAGGUUGUUAAAUUACUAAAUAGGUAUAUUUACUUUUCAUGAGCUUUAUCUUCGUUUUUCCAUUAUGGAAAUGUCUCUAUGAUUGUAACUUUUAACACGUGGAACUCUUGAACCCUAUGUUUAGUUAUAUACUUAUAUUGGGACUUGUAUAAAUUAAUAUGAUGGUUUUAUUAUUAUUAUUAUUAGUAGUAGUAGUAGUAGUAGUAGCAGCUACAAAAGAUCAAAAGAACUUAAAGGUGUGGCUUGUGGCUUUCUUGCUGUUUGGGCUUUAACUGCUGCCUCACUUGUCAUUGUUGCUAAUCUGGUGUGCCACGUCCAUUUCAGUGUAAUUACAUAAGUUAGUUUGCUUGAUUAAUUAAUUAAUUAGUUAGCGGAUUGAAUAGCCAGAGUACUACAUUUUGCAUAGGUCUGAUGCUGGAUGAAUUUUCAUGUCUUGGCUUUGGGGCUGCUGGAUUUUGCUGCUGGAAGACUAGAUUUUGCAAUUUUGUUGCUGGAAGACUACAUUUUGUGUAGGUUUGUUGCUGGAUGUUGCUGAAUGCGGAGUACUUUGCUUGGUUUUGGAUUGGCCUUUGUUGUCUAUUGGCUCGACUUUGGAAUAUGGAUUAACUAAUGUAAUGUACUUUGGAUAUUUUUAUGGUUAAUAAAGUUCACUAAUUUAGUUCAUUAGUUUUGGAUUUAAUUGCAUUUAGUAAUUUAUUUUCUUUCAUAUAAUUUUAAUAAUUUUAAUAAUUUUAAUUUUUAAAUUUCAUAAUUUUUAUUUUAAAUUAAUAAAUAAAAUAAAUAAUCAAUUUUUUCAAAAAAAAUGUGAUAGAAAAUACUAGUCAUACACACAAUUGAUAUCCCAAAAAAAAAUACAAUCCAAAAAUUUCUAAAAAAAUGAAAAUAUAAAAUAAAAAAAUAAUUUCCCUCUUCUAAGUAGUAUGACAUAAUUAUGAUAGGUAAAAUCUAUCACAACUUGUGACGCGAUUUUAUCUGUCAUCUUUUCUUGACGCUGACUAUAAUGACAGUAAGGAUAACCGUCAUCUACCCCCUAAGAUGACAGUUUUUACCUAUCAUAAUAGGUCAUUUUUCUUGUAGUGCAAUUUUUCCAAUUCUAAGGGUAUAGGUUUGAAAAUUUAACGUUAUUUAACUUAAUGAAACAAAAGGGGAAACCAAGAACUAUUCAAUUUUGUAUUUUUUGUUUGUAAUUCAAAAAAUACAUCCACCAAACAAGUUUUACACAUUAAUGCUGUCAUAAAACGAAAAACAGUUUGCCAAAAAAUGGUACCGUCACAUGAUUUCUUAGUAAGUCCAUAUUAGAUAUAUUUAUACAUUUUAGGUAUUUUAGUUAUAAAAGAAGUUGGUCCUCCCCCUAUUUAUAAAAGAUAACUUUGUUUCGAUAUUACCACUAAACUCUUACAUAGAAUUAGUGUAAUGUUAAGAGAGAGUAAUGCGGUUUUCCAUUACCAUCUUUGAAAAUAGAAAGAUAUGGAUGCGUGCAUUUAAGAGUCAUCGUGAAAAUCAUACAAUUCAAUUUCCUGACAUAUAUAUUUAUGCACGUAUGCCAAAAGAAUAAAUAGACAGAAAGUAAAUUUAUAGUCCUCACUUCCUCACAAUUGUUAACGUGGAGAUGCAUUACAACUGUGAACUGUCACUACUUUAGCCUUUUUUUUUUUUAAUUAUAGUGUGAUGGAGACAUUAAGGAUGAGCAUAAUAGUUAAAGAUGACUCAUUUCUCAUUUUCUUUUUAAAGUGCUCUGCUGAAAGCCAAACUUCCUUUGGCUAAUUAAUUUAGAAGUAAAGCAGAGAAUAAAGUCCUAGAUGCCUUCUGAAAUUAGAAAUACAUUUUAUAUGCUUUAAUUAUGAUUAUUUGGUAGACUAAAGACCUAAAAGAUAUGUCAAAAGUAUAAAACAGAGCGAUUAAAGAAAAAAGAAAAAAAAAACAGAGUAUUUGUGACGUAGAAUAACAAUUGGUAAAUAAAUCCUAAAUAUUUGAGUUGUUAAAAGCAAAUAUAACAGAGACGGUAAGAGAGAUGCUGAAACAGAAAACUAUUAGCUUAUCUUGAUUUUCCCACUAUAUUCAUUUUCGAUGCUUUUCAAACGAGAUUCUUUUAAUUCUUCUGGUGUCUCUUAUAGAUCUCCAUCCCACAUCUGCACUACGAACAAGUUGAUUAAAAUUAAAUACUGUUGGAGAUGUGGGGUGAGCGGUCAACUUGGUAAAAAAACUAUGUAUAAUAUUGUUAAUAAUAUAAAAUAUAAAAUAAUAAUUACAAAGAAUCAUAAAUUAGAAAAAUUAUUUAUUUUACAAUCUAUUUCUUAAGUAAGAUAAAUCUCGUAAUAAGUUAAGUUAUAAUGUAAAAAAUAUUUUCAAUUUAUAAUCAUUUAAGGAGUCAUUUAACAAUAAAAUCUUUCUUUUUUUGAUCAAUUGGUCAUGCUACAGAGCAUCAUCUAUUCGUGGUGAUAUUAUUAUUACUCCGUAUUCUCAAAAAACACGAUUUAACAUUUAGAGAAAGUUCCUACCUUUUAAAAAGAACAUGUAUGCAACAACUACCCAUACUUUAUCUUACCACGACAAAACUAAUAGUGACUAAAUCAAUUUUCUCGAAUAAAGAAAAAUUUCUUAAAAUUAAUUUAAUAUACAAAUAUGAUGACUUUUUGCAAAAAUUAGUUUUGGAAAAUUAGUGACAGAAAAUAGUAACGAUUAUUGUUUAGAUGUGUAAAUAGCCUAAACAUGAUCCCUAAUACCAAUAUCCACGUGCAUCUUAACACCUUUCGUCAUAUUCUUUCAUUCAUGGUCACUGGUUCAAGAUUUGAAUUUGAUCAUUAAAUCAUGUUCAAUAAUAUUAGAGAUCCCAACAAUUGAGUACCAACUUAAAUCCCAAUGCUAUGUGUCAUUAACAAAUGUUGUGUCAUUUAUAAUUAUUGAAUGAAUAAUUCGUUAAUUUAUUGAUAAAUGAAAAUUUAUUAAUUUAAAGAGAGAUAUUUUUUUUUUGGGUUUUAAGAAGAGUUUUGUUGGUACAUGUACAUACUUAUAAAGAAAUAAACUUGUAAUUAUACUAUAUCUUUCUUUCUUUAUUCAGUUUGGUGGGAUAUUGUGAUAAAUCAUUGGAUUAAAAUGCAUUUCUAAAUUAAAACUUGUUAAAAUCUAAUUUAUUUGGGAAGCGCAUAUUAUUUGUCAGUCGUACUUCUCAAGUCUCAACUUAGCAAGUUAUUUCUAACUUGUCAGUCUCUAUUUGUUCUCUAAAAGCUAAUAGUCUCGAAUCUCCCGCAUUUGAUAUCUUGCCAUUAUUGUUGGCAUUAACAUGUUACCUGAGAUUGGGAUUCAUUAAAAUCCUCAAUGUAAUCGGUGGAACGAAUGGAUUUCUUCUGUUCACCAAUCCACCAAAAUUUCUGUAAUUAAAUUCAAGAGUCAAGAUCUAUGCUUAUAAUCUAUUCUAACAGCUAAUAUUCUAUUUUAUAUUUACUUAAAUAUGAAGAGCUAUGCUUGUCAUUAACUUCAAAUGUGAUCGAAGCAGCCAUACAUCUGUAUAUUACUUAUUCCCAACCUUUUUUUUUGACUUCAUAUACUUUCUUUUCAUGUUAUUUACUCUUUUUUUCCCCUCUCUGACAAUUGAGGUAGGGGGUCAAACUUGAAAGUAUCUUAAAAUCAGACAAUUUUUUUUUUUUUUAAGAUAGCUGCUAAUAUGCUCUAUUAGACAAUGAUAAGUAAUAACCUAGUUGUUUGCAUUAGAAAUGAUAUUUUUUGUGGUGCUGAUAAAGAGGUUGAUUAUGAUUCAACAAUUUAAAAUAUGAAAACAUGUGGAAGACGGCCGCAAUUAAAUUGAUUGUAUGAAAAUAUUUCAAUGAAAUUUUAAAAAUUUAGUACUUGUUAUCUUAUCGAGAGUUUUUUUAAAUUAUAUUACUACUUGAACUUGGGUACUUGUUAUCUUAUCGAGAGUUUUUUUAAAUUAUAUUACUACUUGAACUUGGCUGCUUUUGUAUUGAAUUCCUAGCGUUGCCAUUGCUUCUACUCAAAAGCCAUUUAAGUUUGUGUAAGCUACCUAUAGUUUGAACAACAAUUUACUCAUGAAUUGUUGUUCAUAAUAGCAAUUUGAUUGAAAGUGCGGCUGCACUAAUUUUCUAGAUGAAUUUUUUCCUACAUGCUUGUUCUCGUAUGACCCAAAAUCCUGCUACAUCAGUUGUAUUAGAAAUUAAUACUGGGUUACAAUUAUGCAUCCCCACCAAUAUUUAAGCAAUUUAAUUACAGGAACAUUUCUUGAGGAAAGAAACUCAUAUCGCCCCUAGGCUUUUAAUGAGGCUCAUUUUUAUGAAUCUGGAUGGCAUUAGAUAUCUCUCCGAAUAUUGGUGGGAGUAUAUCGCAGAUCUCUGGGCUAUACUACAAAGUGUAUGUACGUUGACUCUCAAUAAAUACAAACGAUUCUCUGAUAUGAUUCAAAACAUCAGUGCACGCAUCAUUUUAACGAGAGAGAAUAUUCUAAGAACGAAAUUGAAGGUGCAAUCAACAACUAAAAUGAAGCCAGAAAUGUACACGCAUGAGGAAGUUUUCCUAGAAGAUUGAUAUUUCUUUAACUAGCAAACAAUACAAGUCCAAAGCUAACCAAACCAUACCUGCAAGUCCGGGGCUUAAAUGGAGUACUUGUAAGCAUAAAACAUUAAUCAAAACACAGUAUAGACACACACACACACCCCUACAUACAUACCAGCAAAUUCGAAAUAGAAAAAGGAGUGCAACUAUUCAAGUUUGUUGACAAUAUUGCAACCAUGGCAUAUUAAAGCAAAUCCUUAAAAUCAGCUAAACGAAACAAUUCCCUGUCUCAUGAAUCGAUGCUCAAUUAAAAUUGAAAUUGAAAGUCCGGCUGGUGUUGUUUCCCUCUCCAGGUUUGCCUACAUAAGUAAAGGGAAAUGAGAAUCAUAAAUGAAAAUCUGCUUCGAUCACUGUUCACAAAUCACUGUUCACAAAUCCCUAAUUCAAAAAUUACUGUUGAUUAUCGUUUUACAGCAGCGCCUCAGCUCCAGCCUUCACCCCGCAACGCAAGCAGCAGCCAGCGCGAACCAGUCGCGCCCAACGCAAGCCCCAGCAACCCAGAUUGUUAGCUCCAGCCGCGCGCAACGUAGCUGAGCAGCAGCAGACCAGCAGCGCGAACCAGCUCUCGCGCGCAACACAACGCGAACGCAGCAGUGCGUAGAUGCAGCCCAGCAACGCAGCGCGAACCAGCAAUGCAGCCUCACCAGCGCGCAACGCAAGCCCCCGCACGCGCAGCACCAGCAUCCCGUUUCUCGCAGCGCAGCAGCGCGCAACGCAGCGCAGCACCCGCAAAGCAAGCCUCACCAGCGCGCAACGCAAGCCCGCAACGCAGCAACGAGCACGCCCUGCAACGCAACCAGCUUACGCCUUGUAUUCCAGCCGGGUAAAUCGAAAUCCGUGAGUACAAUUAUUGUAACAAUGCCGAAGAGGAAAGCAUCCACUUCCAAGUCAUCGAAAAAGACACCCAUCGCAAAGAAAUCUAAGAUUGCCGCUCCCACUACGGUUCCAUGGAACACAAUUUCAGAUUCACGCCAAGCCGUGAGACAAAGAUCGAAGCAUGGAAAAGGCAUGAGUAUUUUGCCACUUGCGGAAUCCAAUCUCGAAGGGUGCCUUGCAUUCGCGACUCAACAAGAGAAAGAGAGGUACAAAGAUAUUUCCACGGGCAAAAUACUUCCAGCUAAGAAUUUUUGGAUAUGUCUAUGUUUGAAAGAACAUGUGUGGUUGAAUUCAAGGAGGGGAGAUUUCAGUUUACUGAACCAGGACCCACUCAACUUCCGAAGAAGCUUUAUGCUAGGAGUGGUGCUACCUCUGAUGACGAGUUUGACGACGACACUGCUGCCCCGCCAACUAUUCCUUCUACAUCCGCACCACCUUUGAGCAUUCAAUUAGAGAAAAUGGAGCACAAGCUGAACAAGAUGGAGCAGAAUUUGGCCGCAUACUUCGAGAGUGUGGGAUUUACCCCACCAUUUCCGCCAAGCCCAUAGACGUUAUGUGGAUCAAAGCUCACAAUUCAGGGAAGUUUCUUUUUGCCCUUAAUCCUUUAUCCUUACGCUUUAAUUUUUAUGUGAGCUUUGAUUAUCUUACAUUGGGGACAAUGUAAGUUCUUGGUGUGGGGGAGGGAUUUUUGCAUUAUUGAUGUCUGGAAUUAUUGUUUUCACUCUACUUAUUUUUUUUUUUCACUCUACUCAUCCUUAAAUGAUUUUGGAGUUAGUAUGCUUUAUAUAUUAUUAUUUUUUCUUUUCUUUUAUUUCUCACAACUUUUUUUUUCCCAUCUAUCUCAAAUUAUUUACAUCUAUUUUUAUUCUAUCAUACUGUUUCAUCGCUCACAUUUUAUCUUUCACUUUUCAUCUUUCUCACUUCUUAUCAUUUUUACCUUUCCUUUUAUAUAUCACCCAUACCUUCUUCUCAUUCUACACCACUAUUGAUGGUUGAUUCAUUUGAAGAGUGUACAUGAUUUGAUGGCAAAUUUACCAACUUUGUGAGGAUUUGAGCCUAUGAGCAACCACUUUGCUCUAAUAUUUUUGUUAUGUGAAUAUCAAUCUUAGUUUGUUUAUUCUAGAACUUGCUUUGUUAUGCAUGUUGAAGCCGCAUUACGGGAUUUUAUGCACUAAAAUGAUAAGGGCAAACCCUUUUCCAUUUUUCUAUUCUCGCAUUUUUUUUCUCUACCCGAAGAUCUUUAUUUGCUAUCUUUGUUUGAGCCUUAACAAUUACCCAUCUAAUUCUCUCCGUCUACUUAACCAUUUUUCUUCUUUUUUUUGAGCCUCAAUUUAAGGAGAUUUUUGGACUCAUUGUGUGGAUAUAUUUUGUUGCUUUUUCUACCUUGUAAUAAAGUUUCUCAAUUAGAUCAACAAGCAUUAUGCUUGAAUUAAAUUGUGCAAGGUUCGUUUCUUUUGUUUGAUUCAAAAACAAAAACAAAAAAAAAAAAACAAAAAACAAAAAAAAAAAAGAAAAAAAAAGAAAAAAAAAAAGAAAAAGAAAAAUCACAAAAAAAAAACAAAAAAAAAUGUUUACAUUCUUGGUGACUUAAGUAGAAAUAAGCAUUUUGAUAUCAUAAGUUCAUUCAAUGAGUUCAUUUUUCUCGUUUUAAUCUCUUUUUCUUUCGUAAACCUUUCUUUUUCAUUUAACCCAUUUAACCCCAUUACAACCCUCUUAAGACCCUUAGAUUUUUGCAUUUUAUUCAUGUUUUGUGGAUUGAGAUGUGAUAUAUGAGCAAGCUUAUGGUAAUAGCAUUCUUUGAUUUGAUUUGAGUGGAUAAAUGACACCCUAAAAACUUUGAGUGCAUGGAGUGAAGUUAUUGAGAGGGCUAUUAAAUCUUGUUGCACUUGAAUUUUGAAUGGAUCUCCUUGGUGGUUGAAUGUUCUUAUUCUAUCUUAUGAAAUUCUAUGCUUUAAAAUCCUUGUCUCUCGAAUGUUAAUCGACUUAAUUUCUUGAGGUAUGCUUUCUUAAAAUUGUUUUUGGAUGAGUUGAGAUGAGAAUUGAGUGGAGAUUUGAGAUUAAUCUUGAGUUAUAUGCUUGAGGACAAGCAUCAUCUUGGUGUGGGGGAAUUUGUUAGAGUGCAAUUUAUGCACUAGUUUUGCAUUGUUUACUUCCCUUAAUAUCGAUGUUUUACACUUAAUAAUAAUGUUUUACUUGUGUUUUACUUUUGUAGGUGCAAUUCUAUUGAUUGGUGAUAAAAUUGAGCUAAAAGAUGAUGUUUAAGGAGGAUUGUUCUCUUGGAGAAAUUAUGAGCGUCGAAAGAACUUUGUUGAUAAGGCGUGGGCGCGUGCUGUCAACUGCGGACCUGCAGUUUUUAGUUUAACGUGUUUUGUAUUUUUGGUUAUUUUUGUAAUUACGAAUUUAAUAUUUCAGAUAUUAGUAUUUUAUUUUAAAUAGAAUUCUAAAAGAGAAGAGAGAGAGAGUAUUUAAGGGAGGAAUCUAUUGUGAAAAGGGGGAUUUGGAUUGGAGAAAAAGAAAGAAACCCUAGAUCUAAUUUUUCUCUUCUCUCUAUGAAGAACUAAACCUAUUUUUCUGGUUGAAGGAUAAUGACGCUUUGAUUCAUCACUACUGUGAGAUUUUUCUUAUGCUUUAAUUGUUUUAUUACUUUUUGGGUAUUUGUUUAUUCUCUGAAUUAGUUUCAUGAUUAUGUUUGUUAAUUAGGUAAUUGUCCACUAUUUAAUUAUCAACUUAAUCUAUUGUCAAUUAAAGGAUUCAUCGUAUGAAGAAUUUAAUGUUUGUGACAAAUAACAUAGCAGAGAGUUGUGUUGUGAGAAUAAACAAUCUAAUUUAAAUGAAUCAUCAUAUGUGUUGAUUAGGAUUUGGGUCUCUCUGGUUUUUCAGGCUGUCAAUUGAUUAAAUCCUAUGAUCGUAUCAAGGGUUGUCUAUUGAUUAGGGAAAUAUCCAACGGUCGUACCUUGGUUAUCGACUAGUUAAGGAGAGAUUGGCUAUUAGAGGGUCUCAAUAGCUAUAACCGGUCUAUUCAUAAGUAAUAAUAAUAUAUAUUUGAAUCAAUGAUCAGUAGUCGAAUCAAGCUGAGUUAAUUCCUUCAACCAGAGCUUUCUCCAAUUUGAAUUACAACUUUAAUUUGCAUUUUGUAUUUAAUUUGAUUUUUAUUAUUGUCUACAAUUCCCCCAUUUUAUGUUUUACGUUUCAAAAGGAUUUAAAUAAUUACCGAUCUCUGUGGACACGACCCUGCUCAAUCACUAUACACAAUUUAUUUAGAGUAGGAAUUUAUUUUUGUUGGCUUCGACACCCAUCAGUUGAUUUGUGUUGUUUAUUGCUAGAUUUCGCAUAAUUGUUUGCUGAUUACUAGAACUGGCUCUGUUUGGAUCUGAUACCAUGUUUAAAAACAUAAAAAAUCACUGAUCAGUUUGUUUGGUUGCUAAGAAAAUUUGCUCUGUUUGCUGAGAAAGUUUCAAAGAAGAUUCUCGAUUUUUUUUAUUUCAUCUUUCUUACUUCACGAAUGAUUACAAACACACCUUUUAUACACAACUCAACUAGCUAACAGAAAGAAAGCUACAAAACAGAAUCUCAGUAAGCUUAACUAAUUUUGCUGAGCUGGCAUUACACACUUAACUAACUUCGGCUAACUAAAUUCUCACAUGUGCUAAGCAUGAGCAGACUGUUUGUACACAUUAUGUGCUUCUUUAACACAAUGGAGUUUUAAAAAUUUGGUACUUGUUAUCUUAUCGAAAGUUUUCAAAAUUAUAUGAAUGUUCAAACUUAGCCCCUCCCGGCACUGCCACUGCUUCUACGUGAAAGUCAUUUAAGUUUGUGUUAGCUGCCUAUAGAUUGAAUAACAAUUUUACUCCGGAUUUUUUGUCCAUUAUGAAAAUUUGAUUGAAAGUGCGGCUGCACUAAUUUUCUAGAUGAACUUCCCUACAUGUUUUUUCUCAUAUGACCCAGAAUACUGCUAUAACAAUUGUAUUGGAAACUAUUCAACUGGGUUACUAUUCUACAUCCCCACCAAAAUUUAAACAGUCGACAUUGUGGAAAGAAACUCAUUUCGCCACUAGGCUUUUAGUGAGGCUAAUUUCUCUGAAUUUGGACAGAGUAGAUUUCUAAGCUAAUGCUUGGAAGAUCUCUGGCGAUAUUACAAAGUGCAUGUACAUUGAGUCUUAAUAAAUAUAAACGAUUCUCUAAUAUGAUUCAAAACAUCACUACAUGCAUAAGUUAAUAAGAGAAAAAAUUAUAAGAUUAUUUAUGCAUCACCAUUUAUAGUUGCACCCUCUCUAAUGAAAUUGAAGGUGCAGCCAGCAAUUAAAAUGAAGCAGAAAUGUACAUUGACCCUUAAUAAAUAGAAACUAAGGCGUUAUCGAUUCAACUUCAGUUGAUCAAUUGCGGGUGAAAGAUAAAUAAAGGAUAAGAGAAUAGAGCUGGAGUGCUAAAUUGGCUAUUGAAGAAGGGUGUCACAUGAUCACAAUCACAUUGACGCACAACUCUUUGGAGGCAAAUUUUGUCUAUGUGUACUCUAAAUUCAGCCAAACCAUACAUGUAUGAACAGAAUUUAAACCGUAGUUCUCAUCACAAUAGUAAUUGAAGCUACAAAAGCCAGAAAAUCUGAACAAAAACUUAAAAGGAAGAUUUUAUUCAAGUUUGCCCCCAAAAGACAGUUGAAAUGAAAAAUAUUGACUAUUGAAUGGGUCAAUGCUGAAUUACAUUUCAAAUGGAAAGCUUGGCAACAGUUACAAUGUUUCCCCUCUGAUUUUCCUCCAAAACAAAUUCAGUUAUAAACAAUAACUGAAGUAGGAAUAAUUUAUUCAUCAAAGAAAAUACCCUAGUUUUCAACUAACAAAUCCUGCUAUCCAAAUUAAAAAAACUCGCAUCUCUAAAAUUUAUUUGUAAACUGUUGGAAAUGAGGAGUGAUCUGUCAACUCCGUAAAUAAACUCAGGCAUAAUAUUAAUAAUAAUUAUAAAUUACAUAAUAAUUAUUAUAAAGAAUCAUAAAUUGGAAACGCUAAUCAUUCUACAAUCUAUUAUAUAAGUAAGAUAAGUCUCAUAAUAAGUUAAGUUAUAAUGUAAUAAAUACUUUCAAUAUAUAAUUAUUUAAGAAGGCAUUUAACAAUAAAAUAUUUUUUUUUCUAUUCGGUUGAUCAUAUAGUGUUAUCUAAACUCUUGACGAUAUUAUUAUUACUCACUUUUCUAAAAAAAAAACAUGAUUAACGUUUAGAGAAAAGUCAUGCCCCUUAAAAAUAAUAUGUAUACAAGCUAUCCAUACUUUAUCUUACCAUGACAAAAUUGAUGGUGAUUAAAUCUACUUUUAAAAUAGAUUUAAUGCACAGAUAUUAUGACUUCUGGCAAAAAUUAGUUUUGGAAGACAUAAUGGUAGAAAAUAGUGAUGAUCAUUAUUUAAAUGUGUAAAUAGCCUAGGCAUAGCCUGUAAUACCAAUAUCCAUUUGCCUUUAUUUGGAUUAUCACAUUUCAUGAUAUUCUUAUAUUUAUGACCAUUGUUCGAGAUUUGAACUUGAUCAUAAAUUAAGCUGCAAGAGAUUUUACUUCAGUUUCUAAGCUUUUCAAUCGUGAUUCAUCCAUGCCUUUCUUGGAUACCAUUAUGUUACGUGCCAAUGUAACUGACCUUGUAAUUGGUGUGUAUAAGGAAACAUGCCCUUUCAAGAUUGUUUUCUUUUGUUUCCUUAUUGUAGUAGUCAAAUAAAUAAAGAACGAACAAUUGAACUUGGUCUACUUCGAGGAAAACCAAGGCCUGCAAUAUUAGAUGAACUUUGAACAAAAUUAAUCUACUGCUUUUAUUCAUCUUUGGACUAUGAAUUUAUACAAAGACUUUAACAAAAAAUAACAAAGACACAACUGAAUGAUAGCAACAAGUGCUGACUUAGCGGACUACUGCAACAACUAAAUAAAAACUAAAUAUUUAUUUUGACUGUAACAACAAUUGCCCUGAUGAAUAGGACUCCACAGCAGCCACGUGACAACUAAUUUCUCCUUAAUAUUAUUAUUAGUAGAAGUAGAUUUUCAAACUAGUCUUGAUAUAUUUCGAAGUUGUAUUAUUAUCAAUGUAUAUGUAUCUAGAUUGUAACUAUAUUUUAAAAAAUAUAAUUUUUUUAAUUAUUGCACAGUAAAUGUAGAAAAAUAUCUAUAAAAUAAUAUUAUUAGGACUAAGAAAAAAAUAUUAUUUUAUAUAAGUUAUUUAUUUAUUAUUGAAUGAAUAAUUUAUUAAUUUAUUGAUAAACGAAUAUUUAUUAAUUUAAAGAGAGAUUAUUUUGGUUUUAAGAAGAGUUUGUUUGGUACAUGUACACACUUAUAAAGAAACACAAAAGGUGCUUCCUCAAGUUAAUAGUAUUUGCUUUAAUCGCUAUAGUUCACAAUAAUAUAGCAUAGUUUGGAAAAUUGUAAUUAUACUAUGUCUACGUUUGGUACAAUUUUUCAAGAAGAACUUAUUUAAAUAGAGUUUUUGUUAGUAGAACAUUUAUAAAUAAAAUUUUUACUGAAAAAAUUUAAGUUAUUUGGUUGUCAUUGUCAAAAUUGAUGAACUUUUGAUCUUUUGUUAACAUGUGUUUUUUUUACUAAAUAAUAAAUGUUAGGUUACAAUUAUUUUCAAUAGUUUUUGAAGGAAUCAAGUUAUGAAAUUUUUAUCAAUGAACUUUCAAUAUGUCAGCAUAUGGUCUGUAAAAUUUGAGAGUUUUCCAAUGAGGGAAUAAUUUAUUAAAAAUAAGAGAAUAUGGAUUGUUCUGUUUUAAGGGCCGAUUAUUGAGGACAUUUGAGGUUGAGCUUAGGAGAUGUUUAAAUUGAGAUAUUUGAGGACAUUAUGUUAGCCUAAAGGGCUACACAUAAUGUAAUUUUGAUGAUAACAAACAUGUGUCUUAAGUAAAAAUAAUAAAUAUUGUAUUUCACAUUUUCACUAGUUUUUGAAGGAUAAUAUUUAUGCAAGUGAAUCAAGUGAAAUCAAGAUUGAAGAUACUCAACGGACAACGGCGACAUCAAGAAUAUAGUUUAGAGCUCAAUGAACAAAUUAGUGCGAUAAAUUCUUGUAAAGCCGGUAUGAUUUAAUUGAUGCAUGAUUUAGCAUUUGAGAAGCUCAAGAGAUUAAUUUAAUUAAAUACUUUUCAUAAACUAAAAGGUUUUAUUUUUAUAAAGUAAAGUAUUUUGUGGAUUUGAGUAAUUUGGACUUAAAUGCUAAGAUUUGAAAUCUUUGAUUUUAAUAAGUAUUAAAUUUCGGAGUUGGACGUUUUGAUAAACAUUUGAAAUGUUUUGGGUCAUACUAUAAUUUAUAAAUAUUUUGGACUAAAGUGAAAGGUUUUGAGAACUUUGAAAAAUAUGGGUAUUAUGUUGAAAAGGACCUUUGUGCGAACUAAAAAUUUCUUUGGGGCCAUAUCAUAAUUUCAGAAAGUUUGGGAAGACAACUACUCUUAGGAAGUUCUGAAAUUGGACCUAUUUGCAAAGUUUUAUGACAUUUUGAGCCAUAGUAUAAUUAUAGAAAGUUUUGAGCCAAAGUAUAAUUUUAGUGAACAGUGUUACUAUAGCAAUUCAAAAAUAACGGUAAUAUCACUGUUCCUGAGCGGCUAGCCGGAUAAAUCAAGCGGCUAACUGCUUGGGCGAGGGAAUUUGCCUAUAACGGCUAGUUUUCAGGCUUUAACUAUAAAAACUCAGCUCAAACUUCAUUCUAAGUACUAAUGCAUGCAAAUAUAAGAUCAUACAACAUAUAUUGAGCUUCCAAAAUGCAAAUCAUCAUUGAUUGAAUCAUUGUUGAGCUAUUAGUUGCAUAUCCACUCUUAAAGAGAGUUUUUGUUGUAAUUUUCAUUUCUUAUCAAAUUGUGAGUGUGUGAGUGUGUAAGUGUGGGAAACACUUGGGGUGAAGAGAUUGGGGAGAUAAUCUCUUGGUUGUAAAGGUUCAUUGACACCUUGGAAGUCAAUUGUAAAAACUUGAACCCUUGAGAGGCUUGGAUAGUGAAAUCCUCGAGCAUGGUUGGCUUGGAGGCGUGGACGUAAGCAGGGAUUGCCGAACCACGUAAAAAUCCGCGUGUUUGUUUCUCUCUUCCCUUGCUCUUUUAUUUUUACGCUUGUUUGAAUUUAUUGUUCUCUAUUUCAUUAAGGCGUUAGAUUGAUUUAUUGUGCGAAUUGUAUUGCAUUAUUUUUAAAAACUCAAUUCACCCUCCCUCUUGGGUUGCAUUACUUGCAUUUACAUUAGAGUUUAUGAUUGAGACUCGAUUAUAUCUUAUGAGAAAUUUAUUGAUGAUUUUAGGUUGAUGAUAACAGUACGCAUUUGUUACAUGAGGAUGCCAAGAGGUAAGUAAACUAGACUUAAAAACGAAUCACAAUAAACAAUAUAUAUGUUUGACUUGUAUGAAAAGUCUAUUUUGAUAUGUACGAAUAUAGAUUUAUAUGUCUCUACUCAUGUGUUUAUGUGAUGUGUUGUUAUGUAUUGGGCGUGAUUAUGUACAUAGGCAUAUGUAUGUGUGAUGGUUCAUUGUCAUGAGCACGAAAAUGCAUUGAGUUUUCUAUGAAUGAAAAGUGGAUUUUAGCAAAUGAGAUUUCUCUUUUAUGAGAUUUUGCAUUGGGGGCCACCUCUUGAGGGCCAGAGUGCCGCAAAGUACCACGCACAACACAAAGUGCCACAUUGCAGGAUACGUAUUUUAUUGAAAGGAAAUAUGAAAGUUUGAAAGCGACAGAAAGAGAUUUUUAUGAAUUUGUUUUACAGUAUUUCCAAAAGAUCAUGGCAUAGCAUCCAUCUACAUUAUGUAUAAGUAUGCAUGUUUGCUUAUUGAGUUUUGUACUCAUUAUAGUUUAUUAUGAUUCAGUUUCCAGAAGUCAGGAUUGAUUCGUGAUGAGUGAGAAGAUGAAUUUAAAUUGAGGAUGGUAGAUGGUUUGGCUAAAUUUUUAAGUUAUUCCGCUGGCUUUUGUAUUCGAGGCUCGAAUUUUAUCGGUUGUAAAGAGUUAUUUAAAUUCAUAUGUGAGUUGUAGUCAGAUUUGCCCUCGGAGUUCGGGUUGGGGCGUUACAGAUGCAGAAACAGAAAACUAUUAGCUUAUCUUGAUUUUCCCACUAUAUUCAUUUUCGAUGCUUUUCAAACGAGAUUCUUUUAAUCCUUCUGGCGUAUGCAGCCCUUGCUCUUCUUAUAAAUCUCCAUCCGACAUCUGCACUAGGAACAAGUUGAUUGAAAUUAAAUAACAUUAGAGAUGACGGACGGUUGAGCCGUUAACUCGGUAAAAAAACUCAUAUAUAAUAUUACUAAUAAAAAAAAAUAUAAUAAUCAUUACUAAGAAUCAUAAAUUAGAAAAAUUAAUUAUUUUACAAUCUAUUUCGCAAGUAAGAUAAAUCUCAUAAUAAGUUAAGUUAUAACGUAAAAAACAUUUUCAAUUUAUAAUCGUUUAAGAAGUCAUUUAACAAUAAAAUCUUUCUUUUGGUCAGUUGGCCAUGCCACAGAGUAUCAUCUAUAUUCGUGGUGAUAUUAUUAUUACUCCGUAUUCUCAAAAAACUUGAUUUAACAUUUAGAGAAAAUUCCUACCAUUUAAAAAGAACAUGUAUGCAGCAGCUACCCAUACUUUAUCUUACCCCGACAAAAUUAAUGGUGACUAAAUCAAUUUUCUCGAUUAAAGCAAAAUUUUCUUAAAAACGAUUUAAUGCACAAAUAUGAUGACUUUUUGCAAAAAUUAGUUUUGGAAAAUAUAGUGAGAGAAAAUAGUGACGAUUAUUGUUUAGAUGUGUAAAUAGCCUAAACAUAAUUGCUAAUACCAACAUCCACGUGCAUCUUAACACCUUUCGUGAUAAUCUUUCAUUCAUGGUCACUGGUUCAAGAUUUGAAUUUGAUCAUUAAAUCAUGUUCAAGAAUAUUAGAGAUCCCAACAAUUGAGUUCCAACUUAAAUCCUAAUGCUAUGUGUCAUUGACCAAUAUUGUGUCAUUUUUUGUUAACUGGGUGAUGAAUUUCUAGUUGAUAAAAUUACUUAAAAAUAUCUUAAAAAUCAGAUAAUAGUUAGCUUAAUUUUUUGAAGCUAACUGCUCAAGAUGCUCUAUUAGAAAUGAUAACCUAAUUAUAUAAAAAAAAAAAUGAUGUAUUUUUUUCGGUGUUGAUAGUGAGAUUAUCAUUCAACAUGUUAAAAUAUGAAAACAUAUGGAAGAAGGUUGUAAAUUGAUUGAAUGAAAAUAUUUCAGUGAAGUCUAAAAAAUUUGGUACUUGUUAUCUUAUCGAAAGUUUUCUAAAUUACAUUCGUGGCACUGCCACUGCUUCCAUGUGAAGGUCAUUAAAAUUUGUGUUAGUUACCUAUAUGUUGAAUAAUAAUUUUAUUCAUGAAUUGUUGCUCAAUAUAGCAGUUUCUAGAUGAAUUUUCCUACAUGUUUGUCCUCAUAUGACCUAGAAUGCUGCCAUAUCAAUUGUAUUGGAAAUUAUUCAAGUGGGUUUGUGCUCUAUACCCCCACCAAAAUUUAAGCAAUCUACAGAACAUUCCUUGUGGAAAGAAACUUAUUUCGCUACUAGGUGGGAGUAGAUUUCUAAGCUAAUGCUCGGCAGAUCUCUAGGCUAUACUAAAAAGUGUAUGCACUUUGACUCUCAAUAUAUACGAGUGAUUCUAUGAUAUGACUGAAAACAUCAGUACAUGCAUGAUUUUAUAAGAAAGAAUAUUCUAAAAUUAUUUAUGUAUCACCAUUUGAAGUUGUACCCUCUCGAAUGAAGGUGCAAUCAGCAACUAAAAUGAAGCCCGAAAUGUACACGCGUGAAGCAGUUUUUCUAGAAGAUUGAUAUUUCUCAAACUAGCAAACCGUACAAGUCCAAAGCUAGAAAAAGGAGUGCUUCUAAGCAGAAAACAUUGAUUAAAACAGAAUGCACACAAACAUACCAGCAAAUUCAAAAUAGAAAAAGGAGUGCAACUGUUCAAGUUUGUGGACAAUAUUGCAACCGUGGCAUAUUUAUAGCAAAUCCUUGAAAUCUGCUAAAUAAACAAUGCCCUGUCUCAUGAAUCAAAGCCGAAUUAAAAUUGAAAUUGAAAGUCCGGCUGGUGUUGUUUCCCUCUCCAGUUUUGCCCACAUAAGUGAAGGGAAAUGAGAAUCAUAAACUAAAAUCUGCUUUUACAGUUCUUAUUAGAUAGAUAUAAAGGGAUCUUUCUUUGUUUCUCUGCUGCAAUUUGUGGCUAUCCCACUCUGUUUUGCCACUCAAGCUUAGUCUACGUUGAGACACAAUUUUGACAUCAGAAGCAACCUCAAUUAGUUUGGCAUUUUUAUGACCUCCUUGUACGUUUUACGAUAAACAUAAAUCUACUGAGAAAGUGGGAAAAAAAGAAAAUGCAUAUAAAAGUAUGAGUUAUCAGACAUGAUUAAAACUCACCCAAUUCAAUCCAUUAGAUUCCGUAAGGAUAUAACUGGAUGUCAUACCGCCAUUCCAUAUCCUCGAAAGUCCGUAGCCUCUGUCUCAACUCUGUCUGAGGCCAAUGUAAAUCCAAUAUGCGCAAGCUCUUUAUGCACCACAGCUCUUCUGGAAGCUUUCUCAAGUAAGCACAAGGGUUGACAAUUAAGCUUUCAAGUUUUGGCAUUGCUCCAGCCCCCAUCGUCCACUCAUCUAGCCAAAACAUUGAUUUCAGGUGCAAAACCUUACGUUCCGGAAAGCAACCAGGGCCAACGCAGGCCAGCUUUCUUCCUAAAUACGAGUUUUGCUUCAGUUUCAGCACUUGAAGGCGUGGAAGCUUUUCCAGCAUUGGCAUGGGAUCCUCCAUUAGCUCAGUAUUCGAUAAGCUCAGAUGGCUCAGACUUGGAGGAAAUUGGUAUUCAGACAGGAUAAUCCGUGAGGGCUUGCUCUCAUUCACCAGCUUCAAGCAUUCAAGUUUGUGCAGUUCGCAUAGGCUUUUGGAAACCCCGGAUUGAUAGUAACUCAAAUCUCCAGAUAUUCUUAGACUUUGGACAAGAUAUUCUUAGACUUUGGACAUUUGGUAGUCUGCCCAAUAUAGCUGGACUGCAACUACUAGGAUGUAAGGCUGAUAAGAAAAUGAGAUUUUUCAGAGAGCUUCAAUAAUUUUUUGGAGGUGCGGGCAGAGUGAUGCAACCGAAGUUUAGAUGCAUGAGUUUUUGCAUCAUCCAAAUAUCCUCUGGUGAAUGAUCUAUGUAGCUAGAUGGCAUUUCUAGCGUUUGAAGGUUUAAAAGGGAGCAUAGCAGUGAAGGAAUGCAUUUGAGCGAAGGGAUAUUCAAUUUCAAAUACUUCAAAAGGAAUAAAUUUUCUAAUCCGGCUGGAUAUUGGUCGAGAACUGCAGAACCCAAGUUCAAUACCCGAAGGUAUUUGAACUUGUCGCAAUCUAUCAGAGCGAGAUGAUCGCUUGCCGAACUGUUAUUCAGAAAAGAUUGGAGAUAC